UGUAGUAUACUCUCUAUUGCUAUGGGUUUUUGAAUUUAUGAUGUGUUAAUCCACUUAUAUCAUUACUCUCUUCAUUUUAAUUGAAUUCUCGUGGUUGNNNNNNNNNNNNNNNNNNNNNNNNNNNNNNNNNNNNNNNNNNNNNNNNNNNNNNNNNNNNNNNNNNNNNNNNNNNNNNNNNNNNNNNNNNNNNNNNNNNNNNNNNNNNNNNNNNNNNNNNNNNNNNNNNNNNNNNNNNNNNNNNNNNNNNNNNNNNNNNNNNNNNNNNNNNNNNNNNNNNNNNNNNNNNNNNNNNNNNNNNNNNNNNNNNNNNNNNNNNNNNNNNNNNNNNNNNNNNNNNNNNNNNNNNNNNNNNNNNNNNNNNNNNNNNNNNNNNNNNNNNNNNNNNNNNNNNNNNNNNNNNNNNNNNNNNNNNNNNNNNNNNNNNNNNNNNNNNNNNNNNNNNNNNNNNNNNNNNNNNNNNNNNNNNNNNNNNNNNNNNNNNNNNNNNNNNNNNNNNNNNNNNNNNNNNNNNNNNNNNNNNNNNNNNNNNNNNNNNNNNNNNNNNNNNNNNNNNNNNNNNNNNNNNNNNNNNNNNNNNNNNNNNNNNNNNNNNNNNNNNNNNNNNNNNNNNNNNNNNNNNNNNNNNNNNNNNNNNNNNNNNNNNNNNNNNNNNNNNNNNNNNNNNNNNNNNNNNNNNNNNNNNNNNNNNNNNNNNNNNNNNNNNNNNNNNNNNNNNNNNNNNNNNNNNNNNNNNNNNNNNNNNNNNNNNNNNNNNNNNNNNNNNNNNNNNNNNNNNNNNNNNNNNNNNNNNNNNNNNNNNNNNNNNNNNNNNNNNNNNNNNNNNNNAUAUAUAUUGUAUAUUGGAGUGUAUAUAGUGUAUAUAGUGUAUAUUGGAUUUUUUAUUUAUUUUUUAAAUGGGUUUGACCGGUUUUUAACCGAGUUUGAUCAGGUUUUGGUGGGUUUGACCGGGUUGGGUUAAGUGGGCCGGGUUAGGGUGGGUUUUUAUUUUUUUACUAUUUUUCCCGGCCCGGACCGGCCCGGCUUGCGUCAAAACUGACCCUUAACCAGUCCUCAACCCGGUUAAAAUGGAAGGGCCAGUUUUGGGUUGGCCCGACCCGGCCCUUUUGACACCUAUAAUUCAAAGUGCUGACGUAUUUGCGCAAUGGUGUCUUAUACCAUAGGUUCAGAAACUCGAGCUCCAGAUCAGCAGUCAGAGUUAGAAAUGAGUCCUCAUCAUUCGAGGACAUGAUUAUUCCCUAUUAUCUCAUUAAUUAAUUUAUUAGUUGGAGUUAGUUGGGGACAUAUCCCAUCAGCUCCUUACUCAGAUAGUUCAGUCAGUUAGAGGCUUUCUAGACUAUCAUGUUUCAGACUUUAGUAUUUUCAGUUUUGUUUUGGGUAUCUUUUACCCCACACAGAUGUUAUAUUAUUCAUAUUAUGUACAAUUUUAAACCUUAUGGCCUUUCAGUUCAUGUUUCCACAUUAUUCAGUAUUUUAUGCAGUAUACAGGUACAGAUAUCAGUCAUGGUUAGCUUGUGGCCCUUCGAGGUCAUGAGCACCGUGUAGCGUUCUGGGUACCAGAUCCAGGGCGUUAUAGGUACGACUGGUAAGGUGGAGUCAUAAGUUGGGCAAUGAACAAAGGUCAUGCACUAUUUAAGAUAUGACUCAGGAAUACGAGUCGUACCCAGUGGGUAUGACCAGUACCUACCACUCGUACCCAAUUGAAACCAAGCACAUUGAACUUUAAUUUUUAAAUUUUUCUUUCCUUUUCUUAGUUACUAAUAUUAGUGCACUUACAGGAAAAUGCUCCAAAGAAUGCUUCGUCUUCUAAAAUAGUUGCUAAAAAGGGGAACAAACAAGCACCAGUCUAGAGUGAGGAACCAGUAUUUCUAGGUUUGAUUCCAUAUCUGAAAGCAGUAGAGAAAAGUAUGAUGGAACCUCAUCAAAGAAAGAUGCAAACAAAUGAAAGGCACCUGCUAAGUUGAAGGAAAAGAAAGUAGUGCCACAAGAAUCUGAAUCACCUCCACCAAAAGAGCCGAGAAAAAAAAAAUCGAUUAUUUCUCCUCUACACACACCAGUACCAGUUGAUGAUGAUGAUAACAAGGCUGAGUCUAGUUCAGAAUAGGAGAGUGUAGAUAAUCCUCAGGGUCCCGAGGUAGAUGCGACCCCUAUGGACAAACAGGACCCCCCACUCGCAUUGACCACUGCUUCAGUGCCCAUCGUUGAAAGAUGGGGGUACCCUGACAUACAAGAGACAUUUAACAUGAGACUGUCUCAUCUUUUGGGUGUUAAGAUAAAGAGAGUGCUAUAUCUAGAAAGGAGGAUGACCAUUAUAGGGAUGGCUGAAGUACUCGGGUUUGAAGAGCGCUUCAGGAACUAUUGUUUUGACUACAUGAUAAAAGCACCGGGUAGAUACAGUAAGGUACUUAUUUGUGAUUUCUAUGCUACAUAUAAAGGAGAACUUCAGCAGCAAUAUCCACAGGGUAUGUUGUGAAAGGGAGGUGACCCUAUUACAUCCCUCAUGAUCCAAGGGGUGCGUGUUGAUAUCUCUCUCUGAACUAUCGAGAGAUUUCUAUAUGGGCCAAAAUAUCAAGAUCCGGUCAACACCUAAAAGAUGGACUAUAAAAUGGCCAAGAUUAGAAAGAUCACAAAUUGAAUAUUGGGUACCGAUGAUAAAAUGGUGGUGUUUAGGUAGAUAGCUGAGCGGGUAGCUACACAUGGUGAGCAUGCCACUUGGGUUGCAGGUGGUAUUGAGGAUUCAAAGUAAAUAAAUAAAAGAACCCUAAGUUUUGAGGGUAAAGAUUGGUGGACACUAGACCGACACAGGUUGUGUCCGACCAUAGUAGACGAUAUCUUGAGCCCAGUCCAGGUUGCUAUGAUAGCAGGUUUCAUAGAAGGGUAUUCAUUUGAUUUGGGUGAGUUCUUGGCCCGAGAAUUGAGAGAUAGGGAAAUCUAGAGUCAAAAGGCACUACUAGACUACCCCUACAUGAUUACUCAGAUAUGAUUAGCUGUUAAAGUAUUGGAGAUGCCUGGCGUUGAUGAGACAAUUGAGUCUUGGAGGACGUUAGACAUUGGGAUGAUUCAAGAUGUGAACAACCCUCUGGCCCAACUUAUGCAAUAGGCUACGGAUGCUAUGGCGGGAUUAUUCCUACAAUAUGAUCGGACAGAUGCCCCUGCUCCAACUGAGAUGACUAAGGAGGUCACAGACUGAGGCUACACCUAUAGAUACAGUGGGCUCUUUUAGUACUCCACUGCCAAUCCAUUCUGUGCCACCUAGGCCAUGGGGUAUUUCUCUUGAUGUGAUACUGAUUUCCCAGGAUGCUUGGAUUAAAAUCAUAACCCAGUUGGCUACUCUCACUGUAAAGUUAGGUCACAUGUAGGGCAGAUCAUGAAGUUGGAUAGACAGACAGUUUGAGGCACAGUAUAGGUAAGUCCAAGGGCACCUAAAUGUAUUUGAGUCAAUUACACAACAAUUAGGUACUGGGAAGGUGCCCAAUAUUGCUGAUAUCCAAGCACAGAUUGCGGAGAUAAAGAAGAUGGUCACUAAGUUAUUUAAGAGGCCAAUUUUUAUUAAGGCAGUUAUGGAGACUAUGAUUCCCACAGUUGACAUGCCUAACAUUUGGGCUAUCUCGGUAGGUAUGUAUACUGAGGAGAUCGAGAAAGAAAAAAGAGAAAAAAGAAGGAAGCUAAAGCAGCUAAGAAGAAAGCCAGACUUGAUAGCAUACAAGAUGAGCAGGACCAUCAGACACGGGUCAUAGAGAUGGCUAGGAGAGCCAGUGAGUCAACAGCUACAGUUCCUAAUACUGAAAGGGUUGUUAUUGUGGCCCCGACUACUAUUAAGUCAAUCCCUAUUGAUGGGACGAUUGCUGAUGAGAGUGGGACCCAACUUAAGGGCCUACAUACUGAUGUUGAUACUCCGGUGCCCUAAGCGCCUAGGUAUGACCCUAAUUCGUACUCUAUCUUAUUUUUUAUAGCACUGAGGACAAUGCAAUAUUCUUGAGUUGGGGGUGGAAGCACCAAAAAUUUUGGGAGCAGAUUGAAAUUUUCAGAUAUAGCUACAACUAAAAUUCUGUUAUGACUUGCAAGUUUAAUGCAGGCAGCUGAGAUAAGGAGUAGAUCAGUGUGCCUAUGGAAGUAGAGAUUUUUUAUUUUUUUGAUUAAGAGUAAUGGCUUUUGAUUAAAUUUCUGAUUUGUGAUGUAUUGAAAGAUUUUGAUUCUAUUUUGAGUUUUACUUUUUUCUUGAGGAAACAACACUACUGACUUUUUGAAAUGCUAUUGUGAAAAGUGGUGUUAACGUUGUGCUGAAAAGAAUCAAAAAUGAUUGAAAAUAUUGAACCGCCUCGAAAAUUUUGUUUAAGUAUUUGCAUGAUUUAUAUAUUUGUGUAAGAUUGUUGAGUAUCUGAUAAUGGCAUUAGGAUUAGGGAUGGUAUAGAUCAUGAAAAAACAAUUUCAUAGUUGGUUAACUAGUACUUAGUAGUGUAGCCCUGUGCAAGUGUGCAUAUAAGGUUUACUGAGUUCUCGGUUAUGUGGGAAUCUAAAACUUUCUCGGUUUCUUUUACCUAGGUCUAGGGUGGUUAAGUAGGAGAUGAUCAUAGGCCAUUAUUGUAUGAGUCCACUUGAUCCUAAAAUACCUUAACCAAAGGAAUAAAUCCCCUUGAUCCAAAUGUUUGAGCCUUUAUAGACCAAUUUUUCUUGUUACACCGAUCACCUUCUCAUUUAACUUACAAUGAACCUGUUUUAGCCCUGGUCCUCUUAUGGACACUGCACACCUCAACUCAGGCAAAUCGCCUAAGUUAAGGGUGGUAUUAUAGGGGUACGUAAGAGAAAACCUAGAAUAAAGAAAAAUGUGUAUAAGGGAAAUAGUUGAAACAUGGGUAGGUGUGAUGUAAAGAAAAGAAAGAAAGGUACAAGGCGUAGAAAAAGAAAAAGAAUAAGAAAAAUAAGCGCUAGAAAGCAACACCUGACCCAAGUGGAAUGUGCUUAGAAGAAAAAAAGAGACAUAAUGGUGGAAAUAAAUGAAGUCAAAUAUAGUAAAUCUCGGGAAGUGCGUAAUGUCCAGGAGGCUUAGUCACUUUAAAUAUCCAUACAUAUCAUACCAGCCCCAAGUCUAUGUUACAAGCCAAAUAAAGUCCUAUAGUGAUCAUACUGUGACUGUCUGACAACUUAGGAAAAGAGCAUAAGGGCAAGCUUAUGGUAUUUUAUGCACACCGAUGAUACUUCUUUAUGAGAGAGAGAGAGAGAGUCAUUUGUAUAUCCCUGAUUAGAGUAGUCUAUCCAUGAAAAGUGAAUGGGAUUUCUUUGACUGUGAGUGCACAUGGGUUAUAUUGUCAGGUUGCUAGAUUGUUUGAUGAAUGUAAAGUAUGUCUAUGCCCAAGUGUCUAUUUCUAAUGUAAUUCCAUCAUCGGAUUCCUUCAUGUUUCUAGAUGUGCUAAAUUGUUAUAUGCAAACUUGAAGUUGAAAAAAAUUGGAAAAUUAAGAAGAAAACAACAAGAUUGAAAUUUAAUUCAAUAUCACUGCUAUGGGUUUGCUUGAGAUCUUCAUGUUUAAGCAUCGGCUCUAUGCUAGAAAUUAGUAAUUUGGUUUUAUUUGCCUGAGGACAUGCAAAAGUUAAAUUGAGGGUGUUGAUGUGGCGUGUAAACACAACACUUUUGAUGCUUAAAACCGCGAUUUUUUUGCAUCAACUUAGGGUAUUUUGUUGGAUAUGAUGCACUUUGGUGUUAAUUUCAGGUAAAACAGAUCUACAUCAGUACUUGAACAAAAAGAGAUGAAAAAGAUCUAAAAAAGACCAACUUCGAUUAGUAUACAAGUCUGUGCUUGAGUCGUAACCAAUCGAUAUGUCUUGUAUACUAGUCGCAUGAAUAACAUAACCAAAAGCUAAACUGAGGAGCCAAGUAUGAGGAAGAUAUGACUCAAGUACCCCAGUCGUAAACCAGGGUACGAGUCAUAUGUAGAAUUCAUGAGCAUAACAAAACUUGAGCUACUACCCAGGAGUUGAAGUGUCAGAGCUAUGCGAUUCGAAAGUCUGAGUACGACUCGUAUAGGUAUGUCGUAUACAAACCCGUGUUCAAGACUUGGAAAGGAAAAAGUCCUAGGUGAAUACGGAUAAAGAAAAUGAGUCUAUACUCAGGUACGACUCAUAUGAAGAAAUCGUAUGCUGAACAGAGAGUUGAAGACUUGGGUAGAUCAGAUACUGGAACGGAUACGACAAGGCAGGGUACGACCCGUAAGCUGUGGAUAUGAGUGAAGAUCAAGUCGUACCAAUUGCUGACUUAACUUUACCUUUCUCAUUUUUAAUAGGAUUUUCAUGUUAUUUUGAGAUACUACAAAUACCCUAGGGUUUAUAUUUUAUUAGGUUACUCAUUGUGACGUUCUUUUACAUGUUAUUACACAUUAUUACAUACUUUUACAAUUUUUCUUGAGAUUUUAGGGUUUAUUCAAUUAAAGACUUAAGAGUUUAUUCAUCUUACUCUUGUGCAAUUGAUUUUAUGUGUUCUUCAUUGAUAAUCAUGGUUUCUUGCACAAACAUGAGCGGCUAAUCUCCUUAGCUAGGGUUAUGGGAACCCUGGCAAAUUAGUUACGUAAAGGAAGUGUGAGACUCAAUUGUUCUAGGGUUUCUACAUGUAUCUUAAUCCUUCUUUAUAAUAAUUAGCCUCAAGUAGCUGCAGUAUCUUGAGAUUCCCUGUAUUCGCAUCCACUCGAUAACUAGGAACUUAUGAUUGGGGAAAAAAUAUUAAGACAGUGAUAUGAUAACCAAGUAUACCAGAGGUCGUAGCAAGGGGCAACAAGGCGACACUUCGAGAUGUCAAGUUGAGCUUAUAGUAGAGCUAUUACAAGCAGCAGAAACCUAGAGUUAGGUUCAUUGGAGUUUGUAAACAAGAGUGAUUAUAGUGGACUGUUUGGGUGCUUAUGAGUGCCAGUUGUGGUUUUUCCUCCCUUGAGCAAGGGGAUUUUCAUGUUAAAUCUUGUGUACUUUACUCUUCCUGCAUUGUAUUGUGUUCCUGGUUGCUUAACUGUAUUUUUGCCUAUGAUUGACUUUAAAGGACCUGGUCCCUUCCAGUGUGGUGCAACCCUCAGGAUUUCAACAUGUGCCUUUAACAAAACCCUAUGAAUAAAUUAUAAAAGAAAAAUGGGUGGCUUAAUAUACCGUUUGUUAUGAAGGGAUGCAUAUAAUCAUCAAGUUUCAUUUCUUCUUAAUACAAGUUACGGACGUGCUUCUUGAGAAAAACCCAAACAUAAAGUGGUGAAUCUAAAUGUUGAAUUUAUAUUGUCGAAUGAAACUUCCUUAUUCAAAUCACUCACUUUUUUAAUGAACCCAAUGUGAUUAUUGUUUUUGUGGGAUCUCAAAUAAGUAAAUCUUUAUCUUUUGCUUCUCGUAUUAUUGCUUACCUUUCUUAUCUCCUUCAUUUGAAAGAAAACUGAAUUAAAUUUCAGAAAUAAUUUUACUAUUCUGAUUUUUUGGUUUUACUUUUGCUAUUGAUUCUUGAAAGUAAUAAAAUUAAGAAGUGUUUCAUCCUCACAAGUUUAAUAUCCUAACAGUGUCGUACACAUGGAAGUGGUGCUCCUUCAUAUUCAUUUUGUUUGUGUUACAUUAGUAUCGAUCAAAAGUUUGUGUUCUAUUUUUUCCUCUCUUUCUCUUAAGUUUAUGUAAAAUUCAUUAUAUUUUUGUCGGUUUCUUGAUCAUAUGUAUAAUUCAAUAUUAUAAAUUGCUAACUACAACUCUAAUUCAAUUAUUGAAAAACUUUUGCUAUUUUUUGGUUGGUUUAGAAAUUUUAGUGGUAGAGAUGUUCUUAUAAUUACCUUUUCGAUGAGCUUUGAAGGUGCAAAUUAUAAUAAUUUCAAGUUUAUAUUAUAGAAGAAUGUUCAGUUGGACUUUGAGAAUUUUUUUAUGUAAAUGUUAAGAUUAAUUGUAUUGUUCUAAUAUUUAUUACACUGUUCUUUUAUUAUUUAUUGUUUUUCUACUUAAUUAAUACAGGUUGUUAGUGUUUCGAAUUGAUUGAUUCAAAAAAGUUUUUAGUUGUAUAAGGUUGAUCGGAUAAGAGUUCAAAUUGUUCAUAUCUGAAUGUUGAAUAUAAUAAAUUAUAAAUUUUUUUAUUGGGGAAGAACAUGAGGUAACCAAUUCACAUGUUCUGGUUUCAUAUAUCAAUAUAGAAGUUUUAAGGAAGAGCUGAUAACGCAUUAGUAACGCCACAUACAUUCCAAAAUGUAUAAGACCAACUUAGCAUCGACGAAAUCAUCUAAACUAGAGAUAGGUAUUUGAGCUUAUAGUUAAAAGGUAAGUGUUAAGUGGCCGGAUCAAGAUUUUGGGAAAAAACAAGAUAAAAUAAAUGAGGUACUUGCUUGACGUAAUUAAGCUAGUAGGUUCAUCACGUACUUUGACUAUUGGACCAAAUUGAGGCAUAUAUUAUUGGACAUUUUUAAGGCCCAAAUUAAGUGAAAGGAAAAGGGAAGGAUAUCAAGCCCAAUACCUAAUCUAUUUAAUGCCCAAACGUUCAUCCCAAUGCCCAAUCUAUUUAAGGUCCAAUAUGGUGUGAUCCAAUUAGAAAUGAACCAAGUAGGUGCAUCACCUACUUGGACUUUUUGGGCAGCUUAAAUUGCCAAGUAGAUGCAUCACCUACUUGGACUAUUUUGACCAAAAUAUGGCUAAGAAUAGGCAGAAGAAGCAGUCAAGUAAGGAGUUUAAAAGGUCCAAAUUAGUUUAUUUUCUCUUCAUUCUUACUUGCGAAAAAAUUUGAUUAUAAUUAGAUCUCUCUCUCUCUUUUCUCUCAACCCUAAAAUAGCUGCCUAUUUUCUCUUCUAGGGUUCUUGAAGAAAACCUUCCCUUGCAAGACAAGGUAAGUGAAAACACUUAUAGUUUAGUUCAAUUCUUAUUUAAGAGAUUAUGGAAAUCAUGUUCUUUGUGUUUAAAAGUAUAGGAAACCCUCUCCAAACUUGGAAGUCCAACUAUUUCUUAAAUUUUAAGAGAUUUAUCUUCUUCUUUCGAUUAAACAUGAAGAGAAGUUUAAAGUCGUAAAGAACCUAAGUUAAGAGGAUAAAAUUCCAGAAUUCUGAGGUAAGGAUCUGCCCCAAUUUUGUCCCUCUUUAUGUAUGUUUUGAUGGAGGAUUUUGUAUGUGAUUUUAUUUAGAUCUCAUAGGGUGGUGAUUGGAAAUAUUCUCCUGUUACGCUAAAAUGAAUUUACUGUUUUAGGUUAUUUCUUGUAUACUAUUGUGGGGAGAAUUUAGAUGGACUUAUAUAGUGGUUUUACUAAGGUGGAAAUGAAGGGUGUGAACUUAGGAGAAUGGUCUGGUGAUCUACUAAUAUUGGGCCAGUCACAAAGUGCCCUCUUUAGCUUUAAUUGUGAGAUUAGAUUAUUAAAUAUAAUGUAGAUAAAACUCACGCGCCGAUAGCUAUGUUAUCCAUGAGUUCAUAUCACAGGUUAAUUAUGAGGUACUGUUUUGUAUUAAUAGAAUAGGGGGGUAUAUCUGAAAAAGUGAGAAGUCAUGGAAUCCUUAUAAAGGAUAGAAAUAUUAAAUGUUGUGGUGGUACACCACAAUUUCAUGAGCUUACUGACCACACACUCUUGUACACUGUUUUAUAUGUGUAAUAAAGCCAAAGAAAUGUCGGAGAACCUUAUAAGAAAGUUGUAUGGCAUAUAGAUAAGAUUAGAGAAGAAGAGACUGAAAGAAGCACCAUUGAUUUUAUAACUAGGGGCUUAGUGCCCGGCUACUAUUUUGGUAAGGUUAGGUAUUCCAAAAAGAAUUAAUUAGCUAUUAAUACUAGUUUUACAACUUACCAUAUUGUAGAUAAGUAAUUUGAAGGGAAGAAGGUCAAUUCAUGGUAAUAUCUAAAUGCGCGGGAAGGUAUGUAAGGCUAAUUGAUUUUCUAAUUCUUUGGCAUGAAUCUGACACAUUGUGUUAUAAUAUAAGCUUUCUAAAUGCUCUAGGUAGCACAUAAUAUGUAGUGGCGGUAUAUGAUUAAGCAAUGUGUCUAAUGAUCAUAUUCCCACUCCUUAGUGUUUUAAAGUACUUCAAUAUGAGUUUAUUACUAGAUAUAUGUGCUUACUCUACCAAGGCUUAAAUCAUUUCAUCAUUAAAACAUAAACUAUUAUCAUAUGUUUCCCUUACAUGAGUCAAUUAGAUCCUAGAAUACAUAUGGUAGGUAUGUUCAUUUAUUGGGCACAUAAUCAGCCUACUUUCUAUUAACUUGAUUCAAUUGGUCUAUCUAAUUAUACAUUUCAUUCUCUCAUAUGUUUACAUGUUCCUUUCAUUAGGUAUCAUUCAUAUUGUCUUUAUCUACAAUCUUAGCUCACACACUCCUUAAUUGUUCCAUUAAAAAGUUUGGAUGUCUUAACUUGGGAUAUGUAUUUUCCCCAUGUUAAAUCUGUCCAUGUGCUUUAUUAGUUCCCAUGUUUAUGUAACCCUUUUAUUUGAUAUCAUUUACCAAGUAUUUUGCCAUCAUAUCAUUGACUAAAGUCCAUAUCUCUUGGCUUGAUAAGUUAAAUGUCUCCACUUGAUAUGUAUUUCAAUUUGAGCUAUCAAAAGCUUAUUGCAUCACAUAAACUCAUAAGUAUUACUUUGGUCUGAUAGUUGAUUUACAUGUCAUUGUUACUACCUUAAGUCCAUAAUCAUAUGUCUCCUACUAUGGUUGGUUAUCCCAAAGCUAAUACUAUGACCUCCAAAAUAACAAUCUCAAGGAUUAAAAAAGUGAUGGAAAGUAAAUAUACUUAUAUGUGGGUGGUAGCUUACGGGCAAAAGCCUAACAUGGGCAGAUCCCAAUUCAUGGAUUUAUAGGUGGUAUCCUUAGGGUGGAAGGAACACCUAGCAUAGAUUGAUCCCAUUAUCGGGUGGUAUCCCAGGGGUGAAAAAAAAUCCUAGCAUGGGUUGAUCUCAAUUUGUAUAUUGAAGAGGAACAUAUCCCAGGGGUAUAAUGCCUAGCAUGGGUCAUCCUAUUUUGCCACUGAUCAGCUGGUCAUAUGUGUCACAUGGCUUAUAAAGAUUAUUAAGCAAAGAAGAGUAGAGUAAAGAAAAGCAUGUAACGUACAGUCUUCCACAAGUGUAAGUAAAGGUGGUCGUUCAUCCUUAUCUAUAUAUUUAUAUAUUGAUCCCUGAUUUCAUUGAUUUCUUAUUUCACGUAUAGUUAUCUCAUGCCUUACAUAUUCAAUACAUUACUUCAUACUGACGUCCCUCAUAGGGGACCAGCAUUCUAUGUUGCGGGCGUAGUUUCUUAGCUAGUUGAUCUCCCCAAUAGAAGCACGGGAUACUCAGCGGCUAUUGGUAAGGUCCAGGUUGAUUUGGGGCCUUGCUGAGUCUUUAGUAUAUAUAUUUUAAUGGUUUCACAGUCAUGGAUUCCAUUCGAGUUUUUGUAGACAUUGUAAAGCAGUCCUAUGUAUUCAUAAAUUCAUAUGUCAUCUAUAUCGGUUUGGUUAAUUGGUUGGUAUUAUAUAUACUUCUUAUCAGCAAUUUCAUUUGUAUAGUGAUUCACUUUCUCAUCUAGUUUAGUUUUAUAGUAUGUGUUCCUAUAGUUAUUGUCCAUCUCAUCCAGUAUUGGGGUGUGACAAAAGUGGUAUCAGAGCAGUUCAUCCUAGAGAGUCUAUAAAGCCGUGUCUAGUAGAGCCUUACUUAUGAAUGUGUUGCGCGACAUAUUUAUAAUUAGGGGGCUACUUGGAUAUUCAGGAAUGUUGCUUUCUUUCAUUAGCUAGAUCGUGCGAUAGAGCAAUGUUAAGAAUUCUAUUCCCACUUGUACUCUGAUCUCUCAUAUUCAUACUAUGCCUACUAUAGCUAAAGUCAAUGGUGGAAAAAAGGCCAGCACCACUAAUGUCCAAGAAGAGACUUACAAUGAAGGGUCUUAAGUUAUCAAAAUUCAGAUUAAGGUGAGCCAAUUUAGUCCAACCCUCACGGCCCAUAAUAGUGUAAUAUUUUUUGUGUUACUUGCACAUAAGGUUGGAUUUGUACUAUUUGUAUUGUCCUUGUUCAUUUGAGCAAGAUAUAAGAGGGUUGUUAAUAUUUUAUAUAAUAAAUGUUACCUUAUUCAUAAAGAUUGGCUGGAAUGUUUCCUAGUUUAACUUAUUAAGAGGAUGUAAACGGUUCUUGGGUCUGAGGCUUCCUCCAUAUGACUCCUUCAAUAUAUAUAAUUUAAUCCUACGAAGGAUAUCUAGUACCUUGUUAGUAAUUAUAUAGGGCUUUAGAGUUGCACGCAUUUUGAAAAUAGAAUCUCCUGAACUAAUUUUGUAUUAGUUGAAAGAGGCUAGUAGCAUGGUCUGAAAGGUGAACCUUUCAAUGUGAUAGUAUUAUUAGGAAUACCCCUAAUUUGUUGAUAAGGACCAAACACCUACUAGAUAUCAUUCUAGAUUUUAGUAAUUAUCUCUUUAUAAGGUAUGUGUGUAUGACCACCCCAAAUAGGUAAUAAAAAUAUGCAAUCCUUUUUGUUGUUAGAAAACUCUAGGAUAAGCAUUUCCAAUUGUUCUAUAUAAGAGUAUAUGUAAACUUGUUUUCUAUGGUUCUAUGUUUUGGUUAUAUUAGAUUAGUAUACGACUACAACUUAAGGUCAAAAAAGGGAUAUUGACUGGUUAGGCCUAAGUUGUGAUUAUCUAGGCUAUUUUACUUACUAAAAUAUAUAAAGCGAGCAGUUUUGGUCAAAAGGGUAUUUUUCAGACAUGAAUCAGGUAAGAGUGACACUCAAAUGACUCAAUAUGAAUCCAUGUUUUGAUGCCUAGACUUAUUAAAUGCAAGAAUAGAGAGGCGAUCAGAAGAUAUUCACUUGACCUAACCUAUCAUUUAAGGAUGCAUCUGUAUUUUCCCUAUUAAAAUAAGAGAUAGUUUGUUAUGCAUAUGUAUAGGGUUCUGAUGGCUUAUUAAAAUUGUCGUGAAGUAUAAAGUCCCAUUUGUUCACUUGACUUCCUGAUAUGGCAAUUCCCUUAAUGCAUAGCUUAUUUAAAUUGCUCGACUAAGGGUAUCAGAUUUCCAUCUCUUUUUAAGGCACGAGUUUUUAUCCCUAAGUUGUUAUGGAAAAAUUAGUUAUCAUGGAUAGACCUAUCUAGUUAAGCUCAAAGUAAUUAACCCUCAGGUAUUUUAAAAUCAUGAUAUAAUUUUACAUGUACUUGACAUUUAUGUGUGACUUGCCGUAAAUAAGAGUUUAUAUGUUAUAGUGUCUUUAAAUUUCUCAAGUAAUUUGCUUAUUUGAACUUUCAUAUAGUACUAAACAUUGGUUUAAUGAUGACCUAGGUCAGUAGCAAAUAUAAGAUUGACCUCGACCUCUAUUCCUACAAAUUGACUAUUAAGGAUUUCUUUUCUAUCAUGGCCCUAGUGUUUACAUUGACCCAGAAGGAAACACCAAUAAGGAGAAUUCAUAGGAGAUUAGAAACAUAAUAUGAGGAAAUCAAUUACAUAUGUUCUAAGGUGAGUAAAGAACACGAGCAGAACUAUGCCACCAGUGAUUUAGCAUUAGCGGUAGUAUGCUUGCAAAUUAAUAGGGUAGAGUGACCCCAUAAGAUGUCUCUUAGUUUCCAAAGAAUAUGGUCUGUUAUAUAAUAUAUAUACUACAUGUUCUAUAGCUUGUCUAUUGUUAGGUCAUAUGUCUUUUGUGGGCUAUUUUCUCACUUAUAACAUAUGUCAUAGAAUACUUACGUAUAGAUGUUAUCUGCUUCACAGAAACCUCGUUUAUUGCUAAUUUAUUUCAUAGGAAUUUGCCCUAUAUGUAUGUUAUUACACCAAUUAUUUACCUCAAAUCACAUGUCCAUAUUUGCAUCACAGAUUAAUUUGAUCGUGUGCUAUAAGCAUAGGAAUUAGUGCUCAUGUGUUAAGUAUCACCUAUAACUUACCUAUAUGUUAUACUUUUAUAAGACCAUUUGCUUAUAUAUGUUGCAUUCCUCAUAGCCUACUUGCUUUGUAUAUUAUUCAUGUGUUAGUCUAGUCCACUUACGCAAUGUGAUUUGUGUUUUAUAGCUCACUUUCUUACAUUGCUUGAUUCUUAUAGGCCAUUUGUUUAUAUAUUGUUAAAUUAUCAUAACUUAGUCCUUUGCAUUAUGUGCUCAUGUAGUCCAUUUUCCCAAUGGGUUAUUCCACUUGCUCGCAUACUAUAGGUCUUUUAAUUCACCUAACUAUAUGUUACAUGUCUCAUUCAUUUGCUCAUAUGCUACUUUAUGGUUCAUAUGCUCAUUUGCUAAAUGCUUUAAUAUCUUUCAUUCACACAAAUCACAUAUUUCUAUAACUCAAUUAUCUAUAUGUCAUAAGCUUAUUAGGUUCAUACAAUUAUAUUUUAAGUGCUCUUUUGUGCUAAGCUGUUUGUGUGUCAUAGAUUCAAUGUCACUUAUCUACAUACUAUAUUCCCCUCUAUAUUUAUUAAUGUGAGUAUUAACAUGUUUGGAUAAAGUUUCCUCAUAUUGGGAUAUAAUGAGAAUAGUGUCUAGAAAAGGAUGGGCAUAUGAGUGAAUCUAGUAUGAAACUUACUCAUAGGUAAGUGGCUUAGUCUAAUAACCUAUUCAGAGGUGCGACACAAAAUGUUAGUUUUAUGUUGCAACUAUUUGCUCUUAAAAGAUUCUUCUAUGAGAUAAAAUAUAGAAUGAAAGGAAAGUUGAGCCCCAAUAUGUUAGGCCUUAUUAAAUUAUAUAGAUAACUGGCUAAGAAGCCUAUGAUUUCACGUGCCCAUUUUACAAAAAUUUGUGGGAGAUCCAUUCUUCAUUGUGCUCCCUUAAUGAUAAUAAAGGACCACGGAUCUACCAUGUAAGUAAGUCCCCAUAACCAUUCCUAAUUACUAGGAUGGGAAGUUAGGGACAAAAGGUUUACCUCCAUCGAAGUAUUGUUGAAGAACUAGGAUAUAGAAUAAGCUACUUGGGAAUAGAAGACGGUAGAAAUUCUAAAUCUCCCUCCUCAUUCCAAAAUCACCGAGAGGAACUUAGAUCAUGUGCUCCCCUAUAUGAUCUUAAGUUAUACUAGCAUUUGUUCAUUUGAUAUUCCAUCUGCAUGUCAUGUGUUCAAGUAUAUUAAAUUCCAUAAUUCAAUUGUUCUACUUGUUAAAAACUGUUUAUAGAGGAAAUGAGGGAAACCACAUUAUCUAAGAUAGUCUUCAUUAAAUUACAUGGUCAAGGAAGGGGUUUUAUUUAUCAUAUUGUCAUUUCAUGUGUUAUGUCUAUUGAGAUACCCUGUGAGUCUUGUCUAUACAUCCUUUUGGAUAGCCUACAGAUUUUGUACAGUCUUAUUUACAAAGGAAACUCUAGAAAAUUUUCUUGGGUAACUCUAGGGUUAAUCAAGUCAUUAGCUAUACCUCUUAUUAUAAUCCAAAGGUGGGGAUGAUGUAACUCCCCGUACAUUCCAAAACGUACAAGACCAACUUAGCAUCGACAAAAGUAUCUAAACUCGAGAUACGUAUUUGAACUUAUAAAAGGUAAGUGUUAAGUAGAGGGAUCAAGAUUUUGAAAAAAAAAUCAAGAUAAAAUAAGUGAGGUGCUUGCUUGACGUAAUUAAGCUAGUAGGUAACAAGUAGGUGCAUCACGUACUUUGACUAUUGGACCAAAUUGAGGCAUAUAUUAUUGGACAUAUUUAAGGCCCAAAUUAAGUGAAAGGAAAAGGGAAGGAUGUCCAUCCCAACACCUAACCUAUUUAAGGCCCAACUGUCCAGCCCAAUACCUAAUUUAUUAAGGCCCAAGAUGGUGUGAUCCAAUUAGAAAUGAACCAAGUAGGUGCUUCACCUACUUGGACUUUUUGAGCCGCUUAAAUAGACAAGUAGGUGUAUCACUUACUUGGACUAUUUUGACCAAAAUAUGGUUGAGACUAGGUAAAAAAAAGGCGGUCAAGUAGGGUGGGGGGUUUAUAAGGUCCAAAUUAGUUUAUUUUCUAAUCAUUCUUACUUGCUAAAAAAUUAGAUUAUAAUUAGAUCUCUCUCUCUUUCUCUCAAGCCUAAAAUAGCUGCCUCUUUUCUCUCCUAGGGUUCUUGAAGGAACCCUCCCCUUGCAAGUCAAGGUAAGUGAAAACACUUAUAGUUUAGUUCAAUUCUUACUUAAGAGACUGUGGAAAUCAUGUUCUUUGUGUUUAAAAGUGUAGGAAAGCCCUCACCAAACUUGGAAGUCCAACUAUUUCUUAAAUUUUAAGAGAUUUAUAUUCUUCUUUCGCUCAAACAUGAAAAGAAGUUUAAAGUUAUGAAGAACCUAAGUUAAGAGGAUGAAAUUCUAGAAUUCUGAGGUGAGGAUCUGUCCCAAUUUCGUCCCUCCUUAUGUAUGUUUUGAUAGAGGAUUUUGUACGUGAUUUAUUAAGAUCUCAUAGGGUGGUGAUUGGAAAUACUCUCCUAGUACUCUAAAAUACAUUUUGGGAUAUUUUUAGGUUGUUUUGUGUGUACUAUUUUGGGGAGCAGUUGGAUGGCCUUAUAUAGUGGUUUUACUAAGGUAGAAAUGAAGGGUGUGAUCUUGGGGAAUGGUCUGGUGAUUUAAUAAUAUUGGGACAGUGACAAAGUAUCCUCUUUACCUUAAAUUGUGAAAUUAACUUUUUAAAUAUAAUAUAGAUGAAACUCACGUGUCGAUAGCUAUGUAAUCCCUGAGUUCAUAUCACAGGCUAAUUGUGAGGUACUGUUUUGUAUUAAUAGAACAAGGGGUUAUAUCUGAAAAGGUGAGAAGUCAUGGAAUCCUCGUAAAGGAUAGAAACAUUAAAUGUUGUGGUAAUACACCACCAAUUGCAUGAGCUUACUAACCACACACUCUUGUACACUAUUUUAUAUGUGUAAUGACGCCAAAGAAGUAUCGGAGAACCUUAUAAGAAAGUUGUAUGGUAUAUAGAUGAGAUUAGAGAAUAAGAGGUUGAAAAAAGCACCACUGAUUUUACAACUAGGGGCUUAUUCCUGGCUAUUAUUUUGGUGAGGCUAGGUAUCCUAAAAAGUAUUAAUUAGCUACUAAUACUAGUUUUACAACUUACCUUAUUGUAGAUAAGUAAUUUGAAGGGAAGAAGGUCAAUUCAUGGUGAUAUCCAAAUGUGUGACAAGGUGUGUAAGGCUAUUUGAUUUUUUUAUUCUUUGGCAUGAAUCCGACCUAUUUUGUUAUAAUGUAAGCUUUCUAAAUGCUCUGGGUAGCUCAUGAUAUAUAGUGGCAGUAUAUGAUUAACCAAUGUGUCUAAUGAUCUCGUUCCCACUCCUUAGAGUGUUAAAGUACUUCAAUAUAAGUUUAUUACUAAAUAUAUGUGCUUACUCUACCAAGGCUUAAAUCGUUUCAUCAUUAAAACAUAAACUCUUGUCAUAUGUUUCCCUUACAUGAGUCAAUAAGAUCCUAGAAUACAUAUGGCAGGUAUGUUAAUUUGUUGGGCACACAAUCAGGCUAUUUUCUGUCAACUUGCUUCAAUUGGUAUAUCUAAUUAUAUACUUUAUUCUCUCAUAUGUUUACAUAUUCCCUUCAUUAGGUAUCACUCCCAUUGUCUUUCUCUACAAUCUUAGCUCACACACUCCUUAAUUGUUCCAUUAAAUAGUUUGGAUGUCCAAACUUGGGAUGUAUAUUUUUCCCAUGUUAAAUCUGUCCAUGCGCUUUAUUAGUUCCCAUGUUCAUGUAACCCUUUCAUUUGAUAUCAUUUACCAAGUAUUUUUCCAUCAUAUCAUUCACUAAAGUCCAUAUCUCUUGGAUUGAUAAGUUAAAUGUCUCUACUUGAUAUGUAUUUCAAUUUGAGCUAUCAAAAGCUUAUGCGUCACAUAAACUUAUGAGUAUUAGGUUGGUGUUACUGUUUAUUUCCAUGUCAUUGUUACUACCUUAAGUCCAUAAUCAUAUGUCUCCUACUAUGGUUGGUUAUCCCAAAGCUAACACUAUGACCACCAAAAUAACAAUCUCAAAGAUUAAAGAAGUGAUGUAAAGUAAAUAUACUUAUAUGUGGGUAGUAACUUAGGAGUAAAAGCUUAGCAUGGGACGAUCCCAAUUCAUGAAUUUAUGGAUGAUAUCCCAAGAGUGGAAGGAACAACUACCAUAGGUCGAUCCCAUUAUCGGGUGGUAUUCCAGGGGUGAAAGGAAAGCCUAGCAUGGGUCGAUCCCGAUUUAUAUAUUGAUGAGGAAUGUAUCCCAAGGGUAUAAUGCCUAGUAUGGGUCAUCCACUUUUACCACUGAUCAACUGGUUAUAUGUAUCACAUGGCUUAUAAAGAUUAUAAAGCCAAGAAGAGUAAAGUAAAGAAAAGCAUGUAACAUACAGUCUUCCAUAAGUGUAAGUAAAGGUGGUUGUUCAUCCUUAUCUAUAUAUUUAUAUAUUGAUCCCUGAUUUCAUUGAUUUCUUAUUUUAUGUAUGGUUAUCUCAUGCCUUACAUAUUCAUUACAUUACUUUGUACUGACGUCCCUCACGGGGGACCAACAUUCCAUGUUGUAGGCACAGGUUCUUAGCUAGUAGAUCUCCCCAAUAGAAGCACGGGAUACUCAGCGGUUAUUGGUGAGGUCCAAGUUGAUUUGGGGCCUUGCUGAGUCUUUAGCAUAUAUAUUUUGAUGGUUUUACAGUCAUGGAUUCCAUUAGAGUCUUUGUAGACAUUGUAAAGCAGUCAUAUGUAAUUAUAGAUACGCAUGUCACCUAUGUCGGUUUGGCUAAUUGUUUGGUAUUGUAUAUACAGCUUCUUAUCAGCGAUUUCAUUUGUAUAUUGAUUCACUUUCUCAUCUUGUUUAUUUUUAUAGUAUGUGUUCCUAUAGUUAUUGUCCACCUCAUCCAGUAUUGGGGUGUGACAGUAUUAAUAUUUAUUUUUAAACUUGAAUAGGUUAGCAACCUUUGACGAAUUUGGUUUUAGACCCUUCACCCCAGCAAGAGUUAGUUUUUUUUUUUUAUAAUAGUACUAAAGAAAAUUUGAAAUCUUUUAAAAGACUCUUUGGAUACUUUUUCAAAAGUUUUGAGCAGAAAAAGCAAAAACAAUUCAUAGUCUGCAAGUCAAAUCAAAUUUGUAUUAAAAUAUUUGAUAUUUUUGAAUACUAUAACUUAUUUUAUCAAAUGACUCCAAGAAUAUAUGGGACAAGAUAAAUAUAUAUAUAUAUAUAUAUAUAUAUAUGAUCGUGUAAAAAAUUAGAUUUUUAUAAUUAGAUCUUUCAUUUUUCAGAUGGGUGAGAAGAAGGAAAACGGGUGUUCAUCGAUGGGGCUGCAACUGUAUCCAUGUGAAGAACACAAGGAAGAUAACUAUGAGUACUUGGAGUCAGAAUUGGAGUUCAUCCCUCUAUUAUAUGAUUUUCUUAAGUGACAUCUUUCAAGCAACUUUUGUAAUUCAUUACAAGACAAUAUAGUCCAAUACAUGAAUGAAAUUCUCAUUUGCCAUUCUCCUCGAUCCAAGCGCAUUUCACCUAUAGAAACAAAGAUAAAAUAGGCAGAAGAUCAUAUAAAAUAUAAGCCUCCACACACUGUGUUAUAUACCAUGCACACAACAAAUUUCUUUGGGCCUUCAUUUAUUAAGGCAAUCAGUGAGAACUCAAAGGAAAGUUGCAAAAGUAUAAUAUCUGAACCAUCUCCAGGUGUUAUAAUAUCUGAACCAUCUCCAAGUGUUCUAACAUUUGAAAUACUUCAAACAUAUUUUUGUGAGAUAUUGUUGGAGGAGGUAGAAAACUAUGAAAAGUAAAUUCGUGAAACAAAAUUCAGAAUCAUGUUUCCCAACUCAAUGAAAGAAUAUGGAGUUGUUCUUGAUGACCCUAGCCUUCAAACUACGCUUCAAAAAUUUGUGGAAUAUUUUAUACGUCCUAUUUCAAGAUUUUAUUUUAUUGAAGUUGGUGGGUCGACACUCGAUAGCAACCAUAGUUUUGUCGUUGAGUAUGGAACAGACAGAAAUGUUGACUUGGAUUUCUAUGUUGAUGAUGCCAAAGUCACAUUGAAUGUGUGCUUCAAAAAAUAAUGCACUGGUGGAGAGCUAUUCUUUCGAGGUGUGCAGUGCGAAAAAAAUACAAACACUAAAACACAUCAAAGGAGAUAUUCGAUCAUUUGCAGGUUCUAGGGCAUGCAAUUCUUUAUUGCGGUCGGGAUAGAUAUGGUGCUAGAGCAAAAAUAUUUGGAAGGCGGAUCAACUUGUUGAUAUGGUAGAAAAGUUCCAUCUUUAGAGAGAUAAUGAAGUACCAAACAGAUUUUCUAUCUGGUGUUCAGAGUGCAAGCAUGGCAAGAAAGAAAGAAUGCGACAAAAGCUUUCGAUUCUCAAAAUUUCAUCUAUAUCGUCAUCAUGAUUUUUAGAUUUACUAUUAGCUUCUAAUCCCUUGCAUUUUACACCCCAAAGUGUCUUCCUUUCUUUAAUUUGCACCCUAUCCUAUUUAUUUUUACAAUUUACACCCUAACCUCUUGGGUCCCUUGCAUUUUACACCCCAAGAUGUCUUCCUUUUUUUAACUUACAUCCUAUCCUAUUUUUUUUUUUACAAUUUACACCUUAACCUCUUUAUUUCCUUACAAAAUAGUAAAAUUAUUUUUUAAUGAGGGCAAAAUAGGAAUAACAAUAUACUCCCUACAUUCUAUUUUACUCGUUCCAAUUUGACAUUGCACAUUGAUUAAGAAAAAUAAUUAAUAACAUGACUAUUUUACCAUAGUAACUUUAUUAAAUAAUGUUUACAUUUUAAUUUGGAGAUAAAACAAUUAAUACUAAGGGUAAAAAAGGAAAAAAAUUGCCUUGUCUUGAUUAAUGAAAAAUAAAAAGUAAAAUAAGAAAUCGAAUUAGGAAAUUUGGAACGAAUAAAAUGGAACGGAGGAAAUAUUAUUUUUUAAAAUAAAUUUAUUUAAUUUUUAGUGUAACGAACUUUCAAGAUAUGUUCUUGCAUUUACAUUUAUCAUCUAACUAUUGUCAUGUGAUAAGUAUUCUCACUUUAAUUUGUAACUGCUAAAAUUUCGUAGUGGUGUUGCUUCUGAAUGGUGAAAGUACGGUGCAGUGAAAUUUCUGGAGCCAUAUCUAUACUAAUGCAAUCAUAAUCACAUAUGCUACCUGUCAGAAAGAAAAUAAUAACGUAAAGAAAGGACCAAAAUAUUGAGGAAAAAUGAUAGAAUAGCAAUAGUUAAGGAUAAAGCAAAAAAUAUAACACAUGAAUUGAUGAAAUUUUGUCUUUAACAAUGUCUUCCUAUAUCACUAGUUCUGCAAUAUCAAUCUUCUCUUAACUCAGAUGACAUUCGUUUGGAAUUUUCUAAAAAUUUGAGUUUGCAAAUUUUUCAUCUAACUUAUUAAAUAAAUUUAUUUUAAAAAAUAAUACUUCCUCCAUUUCAUUUUACUCGUCCCAAAUUUCCUAAUUUGAUUUUUGAUUUUACUUGUUAUUUUUCAUUAAUCAAGACAAGAAAUUUUUUUUUUCUUUUUUACCCUUAGUAUUAAUUGUUUUAUCUCCAAAUUAAAAUGUAAACAUUAUUUAGUAAAGGUACUAUGGUAAAAUAAUCAGGUUAUUAAUUGUUUUUCUUAAUCAAUGUGUAAUGUCAAAUUGAAGCGAGUAAAAUGGAACGGAGGGAGUAUAUUGUUAUUCCUAUUUUGCCCUCAUGAAAAAAUCAUUAAAAAAAUAAUUUUACUGUUUUGUACGGAAAUACAAAGGCCAGUAAAUUGUAAAAAAAAAUAGAAUAGGGUGUAAAUUAAAAAAAGAAGACACCUUGGGGUGUAAAAUAAAAGGGACCCAAGCAGUUAGGGUGUAAAUUGUAAAAAUAAAUAGAAUAGGAUGCAAAUUAAAAAAAGAAAGACACUUUAGGGUGUAAAAUGCGAGGAACCCUUGAUUUUCCAAUACCCUAUCUAUCGGUUAAAAAUAAAGAUCUUCAAUUUUCAUAUUCUAAUUACGGGGCAUUCAUAGUUUUCGGUGGCUUUGUAGCCUUUCAUGUCUGGUCUUUUUAUUCACUAGUUGACCGCUUGAUUUUAAGCAUUUUCUUCGUCAUUUCAGAUUUUUAAAUAAUUUUUUUAUUAGAUUGUUAUUAUUUAACUUAGUAUUUAUUUUGGUGGUUUCAAUGUGAAACUUUUGGUUAUUAGAUAUUUUUUUGUGGUUUUUGCGCAACUAAAAAUCAAUAAUUGGUAAUGAGUUCUCCUUUUUUCGAUAAUUAUGUGUUUUUUCUUUUAGUUAAAUUUCUUAAUUGAAAAACUGAAUCAAAACAAGCAUCGAUAUUGUCUAUAAGCAUUGGUUUUCUACUACCUUGCUAUGUCAAGUCAUUGGCUAUCAGCAUAUCCGAAGACAAAGAAAAGUACGUGCAGAGAACACUACAAAAAACAUCUUAUUGAUUUAUUUAUUUUUUCCAUCUAUUCAAAUUGUGUUUGCACACAACAACUUUCCUCUGGUCGAGAAACAGAAGUCAAUGAAACUCUUCAUUUGGAGAAAAAAUAAUAAAGCUCCAGCAUUGACUAGGUGACUAGAGGAGGAUGAACAUUAUUUAGUUGAUUUUCAUGCUCAGUUAUCUGUGCUACAAGCAUUCUCUAUUUGUGUCUCAAUUUUGCAUUUUAUGGAAACAUCAAUUGUUGUGGGACAAGAGGACAAUGUAGAAUCUUUGCAAUCCAACACGUUGAGGAUGUUUGUUCAGGAUGACUUCAAAGAAUUGAUUAAUGCGGUUAGAGAGGAAAAGAAAUAAAAUGUACACAAGAAAGUGGAGCAAGUAUUUUCAUCUUUCGUGCUCAAUCCACCAUUUUCUUCAAUAGGUCGAGUACAGUAUUGAGUGACUCCUCGGCUAGGCAUUGAAUUUGUUGCUCCAUUCUAUAUGGAGUAUAUUAUGUCAAGUUCCAUCCAGAAAUUGGAUGUUGAAUUUUUACUCCAUUUUACUUCAAUGAUGUCCGCACAAUUUUCAACAAGAUGAUCCAUAUUUUUAUAUUUUUUAUGAAAUAGUCAAAAUCUUAGAGAUGCCAGACCAUACUAUUUAUAUUGUUAGUUGGUUGAAAGGGCAUAAGAAGCUCAAUUCAAUUGUUUCAACAAUAGAAAAAAAUCAAAAAUAUAAGCUCAGCUUACUUAUAAUUUCUUUAUGAUGGCCACAAGGUGCCGAAGGAAAGAAAGUUAUAAGGAAAAUUUUGAACAUUCUUUAUAGUAUGAGUUAGUAGAAUAGUUUUGUUUGAGCUUUUUUGUGUAAUUAUACUAGUGAAAAAAAAAUAGCUCUUGGACCAUUUAAUGUAAUUGUAUCAUUUGUGAGCAUUCUUUUUUACACAGCUUGCAAUUAAAAGCUGUGUUUUCACAUGACAAAUUAAUAUAGGAUUUUCUUCUUUCUUUUAAGUCAUAAAGAGAAAGAAUUAAUGAAGAUUUGAUGCAAAUUACAAUGGAUGGAGUUGCUCCUAUGUAAUCAGAGUUCUCAAUUUUGAGUAGUGAGUAUGAAAAAAAUUCUUGAUAGAAAAUGUUACCUCCAUAUGGCUCUAUACGAUAUCAUUAUGUUCCAUAAUUUUAGUCAUUUAUUUGCCUACUUUUUCAGAUUUUUAACUUUUUUUGCACAGGCUUUACUUUUUGAAAAUCUUAAUUACUAUUGGUUUUCUUAGACAAACUUUUAGACUUGUCAUUCAUGUUGAGUUCUGACACUAUUACUUAUGGAUAGGAAAAUUUACUUGCAUGAUUUUGUGUAGCUUCGGCCCGUGAAGCUAGCUUUUCCUAUUGAAUUAGGUCUAAGGUUCAUUUAAUAUCGUGGUAGAUAGCUAAAUAUGAAAGAAAAUACAAAGAAUAAUGAUUAUGAAGAGAAGCUAGCUAAAUAUGUAUGGAGAAAACAUGAAAAAUAAUUGUUUUGAGAAGGAUCCUUUUAACUAUGAAAGAAAUGACGGCAAAAUCCCUGAUUUCACUACAAAAGCGAAUAAUGAGUCGUCCAAAAAUUGAGAUUUUUGCACUAAAGUUAAUUUUUUUGGCUGUGUAUUGCUAUCUAUUUUAUAAUUGUUUGUAUCUUGCUAUUUUAUAAAUACAGAUAUGUUUUUUUAUUGUUUCAAAACUUUAUACUGACAGAAUUGAAAUACAUGUGUAACAUACGUGUCCAGAAACUAGUUUAGUUAAAUAAGCUAGGCCAGGAAAACUAUUAUAAUUAUUAAUUUAACUGAAAAAUGAAACAUGAGUUGCUACAACAUUUUGGCAUACCAAACUCCAAAAUAAACAAACAUGUAUUGAGGAAAUUGCAAGUGUUUAUUUUUUUUUUUUUUAGAAAAAAUAGGAUCGUGCUCAAAUUUUAUGAAGAAAACUAGUUACGAGAAGCAUGUGCUUUAUUUCUAUUCUAAAUGAAUAUUAUAAUAAUAACCAUAUCAAUUAAUGUGACAUUUUUUAAAUUUUAAAAUUUAAAUAAAUUUAUUUUUCAGAGUAAUUUUUGUAUAUAUUCUCAAAAUAUUUUAAAUUAUCAAUUAUUCUGAAUUAUUAUUCUGUAAAUAUAUAAUUUUAUUUCAAAAUUUCAAUUCACAAUCAAAAUUAAACUCUAUAAAUGUAUAAAUUAAUAAAGAGUGUGAAAAACAAAAUCUGAUGGGACUAUAUUACCAUUUUUCAAAUAACAUGGGCUCAGUAUAUGUUAUUUUUUCGUCUCAAUUUAUGCGACACAAAUAGAUUUUAAAUAAUCAAUCAUGCUUUUAAUAUGAUUUUAGAUACCUUAAACUAUUAACUAUUAUAAUUUAUAAUAUAUUUUAAGUAGUAUUGAAAUAAUAUGCGUUACUCUCCAUGUCCAAAUUUUUGUGGCAUUGAUAGUCAAUUAUAUUUUAAAAAGAAUUUAAGUUUUUAAUUAUUGUGAUUUAUAAUAUUUUUCUUCUAUUCCCAUUUAAGUGACAUUGAUAUAAUUUCGAGAGUCAACCAAAUAUUUUAUAUUAUUUAAAUUUUUUAAGUUGUUACUUAUUGUAAUUUAUAGAAUUUUUACGUAUUUUUUAAAAUAUAUAUUAGAUUAAUUUCUUAUAGAUAUUUUAAGUUGUUAACUACUGUAAAUUAUAAUACAUAUUAUGUAAUUUACAAAUAAUAUAUGUUACCUUCCUCGUCCAAACUUUCGUAGCAUUAAUAGUCAAUUAUAUUUUUUAAAUAAUUUAAAUUUUUAAUUAUUGUGAUUUAUAAUAUUUUUUCUUCUAUUCAAAUUUAAGUGACAUAAUGCUUAAAUAACUAUAAUAACUAAUUAGGGGUGAUAUAAUAAGAAUCACGGUUAAAGUAGCGAAACAAAUAUAACUUAAAUGACUCACAACUACUAAUUAGAAGUGAUAUAACAAAAUUACUAUAUAAAAUACUUGUGAAAGAAAUUUAAGUGAGCCUCAUAUAAGACGUAAAGUUAACUUAAAACAUCAAAAGUUAAUUUAUCAUUUUUUUAAUGUAUUUUAUCUUUUUUAUUAGAUAUUAUUAAUUUUUUAAUAUUUGGAUGACAUAUAAUAAUUAAUUAGAGGUGAUAUGUAGUAAAAUUACGAUUGAGACAUCUAAACUGACAUGUCAUAAUUGUCUAUUUUAUUUUUUAUUAAAUCUUAUUAAUGUUUUUAAUACGUAAAUAGCUUAUAAUAAUUAAAUGAGAAUAAUAUACGCCCUCCGUUUUAAAAAGAAUAAUCUACUUUUCUUUUUAGUCUGUUUAAAAAAGAAUGACCCCUUUCCCCUUUUAGCAACUUUUAAAUUUUAACUUUUCACAUGACAUGUUUAAGAUCACAAGAUUGAAGGACAUUUUGGUACAUUUGACAUAUCUUUAAUUUAACACCAUAAGGUUCAAAAGUUUUUUUUAUUUUUUUAAACUCCAUGCCAAGUCAAACUAGAUCAUUUUUUUGAAACGAAGAGAGUAACAAAAUUACGAUUAGUAAGUUAUAACCACUAGUCAAAUACUAAUUUAUUAUCAAAAGUAUUUUUACAUUUAUUGUUCAGAUAUAAAUUGUUUCUCACCUAUAAAUUAUUUCUCACCAACAUAUUUUUUUCGAAAUUUUUUUUUAAAAUAAACUAAUUUAAAAGAUUGACCAAAUAAAUUAUAAUAAAUCAGGUAGUUUAAUUGUAUUUUACUCAUUUGUGAGAUUAUUGUUAUGAAAGAAAAAGAUAUAUUUGCACAAAAUUGAAAAAGAUAAAACGAACACUAAAGGGUCCUGAGCAAAAUCAAAAAAGAAAAGCCAACAUCAAAAGAGGGCCCAACCGGGUUCUAACCGAUGACCUCUUGAUCUGCAGUCAAAUGAUACCCCAUUGAGCUUUGGACCUGAGUGUCACCCAGGCCCCGUAUUUACCCCAGUUACUUGCCUUCAACCGACUUGUUCCCGCCUCUGUGAUCUGCAGUCAAAUGAUACCCCAUUGAGCUUUGGACCUGAGUGUCACCCAGGCCCCGUAUUUACCCCAGUUACUUGCCUUCAACCGACUUGUUCCCGCCUCUGUUUAUUCUUCCGUCUUCCUCCCUCUCAAUCUAUCAGUACUGUGAAACAGAGAGAGCAAUGGUUUCGCCGCACGGCAUCAAGCUCGCUGUUUAUCUCAUCUCUUCUUACUUUGGCGAUCUUAAUGCUGUAAUUCUCUCCGUCUUUCUCCCCGCCAUGCCAAGCUUCAUACGUGUAGAAUUUUACUUUAUUAUUUAUUUUUUAUUUUUUUGCUUUUGGGAUCUUAUAACUUAACAAAUUACUGGUAUUGAAAUUAAACGGGCCAAGUAGAAUGGGAUAGAUAUAGAUGAUUCGUGUAUCCAGCCCAACUAGUUUGAAUGAGUUCGAGGGUGAUGGUACUUGUUCUUUUAUAUUCGGUUUUGGGGGUUUUAUAUAUCUUACGUAGAAACCAUAUAGAUGUAUCUUAAUUUAGCUAAACCAUAUAGAUGUCUUGUGGUCCUUACUAUUAGUCGUACCAUUACGCUUGUAGUUUCUUGUUCCUGGCUUUUUGUUUAUAUUUGUUGUUUCAGGUAGAUCAAUAGUAAUAUUUUAUUGUAGUACUGUUUUACUGUUUUGUUACUACUAUUGUAUCUGUAUUCUCAUUACUUCUUUUUCUAGACUAUUUUAUCUUGAGCCGAGGGUCUAUGGGCCAGCCUCUCUACCUCACCGAUGAGGUAGAGAUAACUGCAUACAUGCUACCCUCCCUAGUCCCCACUUUGUGGGGAUACACUGGGUAUGUUGUUAUAGUAAAAUAAUUUGUUGAUCCCCUUUUCUUAAUUUAUCUUCUAAUAAUAUUUGCAGAAGGUUUGCGAUUGUCUGUUGCGAAGAGGAACACAACCUUUAUCUCAGAUUGUACAUUUCACAGAGUUUAGCAGAGAGAAUGUUAAGAGCUGUUUGCUCGUGCUUAUUCAUCACAAUUAUGUUCAAGCUUUUGCAGUGCAACAAAAAGGUACCAACACUAACACGGCAAGUACUACUUUCUCAUAUUACAAUUAACUAUUCAAUUUGAGUUGUCUGAUAAAUUGCCAUUUAGGUGGAUUUGGGGAGGCACCAAGAGUUAUUACACAAUACAUGGCAUUAUUUGGCAACAUAAUACAUAAAUUAAGGUUCCCUAAGUUUAUAAAGAUUGUGUCUGAGCUGGGAAAAGAGGUGCAUUUAUUGGUUUCGCUAUGUAUAAUAUUUGUUCUCCUAUCUCGAGCUGAUUAUACUUUAUGUUAAUGGUAGUGAAUGUGUUUGUAUUGUAGUGUGAAGAGAUUUUUGAAAGGUUGCUUCAACAUGGUAGGGUUGGACUCCCAGGAUGUGUGUAAGAAGGAUAGUUUUAAGUACCUUGGGUCUAUGAUCCAGGUGCAUGGUGAGAUUGAUGAGGAUAUUUCUAACCGUAUUGGAGCAGGUUGGAUGAAGUGGAGGCUCGCCUCGUGAGUGUUGUGCGAUAAGAAGGUGCUCCUUAAGCUUAAAGGCAAAUUCUAUGGAGUGGCAGUUUGUCCGGCCAUGUUGUAUGGAGCGGAGUGUUGGCUAGUUAAGCACGUUCACAUCCAAAAAUUGAAGGUGGCGGAAAUGAGAAUGUUGCGUUGGAUGUGUGGGCUUACUAAAGGAGACAGAGUUAGGAAUGAGAUUAUCCGGGAUAAGGUGGGAGUGGCUUUGUGGAGGACAAGAUGCGGGAAGGAAGGCUGAGAUGGUUUGGGCAUGUGAUGAGGAGGGGCGCGAAUGCCUCGGUUCGGAGGUGUGAGAGGCUAGCGUUGGAUGGCUUCAGGAGGAGAAGAGGUAGGUCGAAGAAAUACUGGAGGGAGGUGAUUAAACAUGACAUGGAGUAGCUUCAGCUUACUGAGGAUAUGAUCAUAGAUAGAAAGGCGUGGAGGUCGAGGAUUAGGGUAGAAGGCUAGUGUUAGUGUGUGGGUUAUAGCUAGCAGUCAGGAGAAUUCUUGUGUAGCCGGAUUUAGUAAUCAUAGGUCAGUGUACAUAGGUGUCUUUAGGAUGUGAGUGUAUGUCACUACUAGGUGGGUGUCCUAUUUUCUAUUGCUUAGUUCCUAUUUUUCUUAUUCCGUGUUGCUCUUAUUUCCCAUAUUUCUUAUUCUUGUGAUUUUAUUCUAUUAUUUCCUAUUCUUUACUUUGGUUAUGUCAUCCAUCCCCUUGUUUAUUAUCCUUAUCUUGAGCCGGGGGUUUAUCGGAAACAACCUUUCUACUUCUUCGGAGGUAGCGGUACGGACUGCGUACAUCUUACCCUCCCUAGAUCCCACGCUGUGGGAAUACACUGGGUUUGUUGUUGUUACUUCAGCAUGGUAGGCUGUCGCUCAACCAAAUUAUAGGUAGAUACAAGCAGUCAUCAAAUCAAGGUGAAACAAUAUCCUUUCUGUAGUUUUUUGUGAAUCGUCUUGCAAAUUAUGAUUGUGUUUUGGUAUCAUCAUAACUAAUUGGUUUGAUAUGCGAGUUUGAGUUCUAUUUUGGCUUUUCAUUUGUGUUUGCUUCUGUUUUCUAAGAAAGAAAAACUGAGAAGAAGGUUUUUACUGAUAUUAAGGUAAAAAAUCACUUCCUUUGAAAAUGGUUCUAAUUGAAGAUGAUUGGCAAUAAUGAACAUACUUCUUGUUUCUUAUACUUUGAAAAGCAAAAAAAGAUGUUGACAAAGAACACGUGAACAUAUUUGUUCAUAACCUCAACUUGCAUUUUUAUUUGUUUUUUGAUUAUAACUACUUGAACUUAAAGCAACAAAACUUGGGUUGUCAAUUUCUAAAAGCCUAGGCUGCACCUCUUAAACAACUUUCUUACUUUAAGAGGCCCUUGUCCCUGUCUAGGAGAUUCUAGCGUUGAUACUGCACGGGAUAGCUUCAACAGCCUAGUUAAUGCUAGAUAUGUGGAACGCUGUCCUGCCCCUGAAGCAUUUCUUAAACCACCUUCUGAAGAAGAAACUGCAGCAAAGAAACGAGGUGCUAAAUCUGCCAAGGUACAAGUUUAUAAUAUGAUGACACCUUUUGUCAAUUUUCUUUCCCAUCGAGAUACUGCUUCACUUUUAUCAAGAAGAAUAGUGCUAUCGAUAUGUUAACUGGGGUGAGGAAGGUGGAGUAGAGCAUUAACAUCCUUGUUUUAUAAAAUACUCCUAAUAAGUAAAUAUAUUGCAGAAAAAGCUGCAACUUUUUUAAGUUGGUAUUUUACUGUUCAUGUUCUUGAGUUUAUCAUUUACUGAUGAAAACAGAUUCAAGCACAAACCAUGGAACAAUGAGCCUUAGCAGCAGCAGCUCCGAUGGAAUCCUUGAGGAAUUACCUACUACAAAAAAUUUACCAAAAUCCGAAUUACCAAAGAAAAAAAUUUACAACCUAAAUAAGAUAUUUGAAAAACCUUAUGCACCACCAAAUAUCCAAAAGAAUGAAUUAUUUGUGCCCCGCAGUUAUACCCUUAUUCAGAAGCAAUUAACUAGAAGAAACAAGCUUACAACCAUUUAACCCGUGUUUAUAUUGAAAAUUUAUAUACAAUCCAAACCUUACUAAACACCAAAUCCGUCCAAGAUAUUGAGCUAGCCAAAAAACACCAAGGCUAUAUAACCCAAAAGUUACAAAAUUAUAAUAAACUUAUUGUGCUCCCAGGAAUCAGCCCAAAUUUAAUCGCUACAUGUUAUUCUUAUGGAUUAUUAUCAACAGUAUAUACAAAAGAUGAUAAAGAAUUAGCCAUGAUUCCUGAAGUACAUAAAGGAAUUAUGACAUAUAUAAAAUUACAAAAGGAAAGCUAUUUUACAUAAGAUUUUAUUCGGCCCCCGCUGAGAUACUAUUUGAUGAAAUUAAACCAGUGAUUACAGUAGUAAAAAUUGGUAUGACAAGAGACUACAUUAUACCAGAAGAAAUAUCUGAACAAGACGAAAUACAGAAAACUGAGAUGCCAGACUUUUUCAAGAACAAACAAGUUAUUGGCUUGAGCACAAUUAUACAAGAGUUAGCACAUAACUAUUUGAACUGUAAUCCAGUUUGAAAUUAUUAUUCUAGAGAUCAUUUAUUGGUUUAUUCAACAUGUAAAGACAUAAGAGAAAAUGAUAUGGAAGAAAUUCGUAGAUGGACAAUGACAUUAUUAAAACCAGAAGAUAACCCUCUCACAAGAUCUAUCAAGAAAGGAGUUAUUUCUGACGGACUUAUGGAACAAUUCUGCAAAUUAAUUGGACAGAGAUAUGAUGAUCAUCAAUGCAGUUGUUGUAGUGGACGACAUAAUAUUAUUCCAGAAGUGACACUACAAUAGAAACAAACGAAAAAAUUAAGACAGAUGGAAAAGUAAAGACAAAAAGACAAAAACAUUAAAGAGAUAUGACUUAUUAAGACAGUUUUUGAAACAUGUGAAUUAUAAUACGUAAAGUAUUAGGUAGCCUUUAUUAGUUUUGACUUUUUGGCCAAAGUGCCAUUAUUGGUUUUUUGUUUUUUAGUUUUAAGAUUUUUUUUAAAAUUUACUUUAAGUAACAAGUGUAAAGUUGUAGGACCUAAGGCCAUUAUUAGUCUUUUAAUUUUUGACAGAUGUAAAGGUAGGAAUAGUAUAAAGUAGUUUAAGCGUUUUCUUUUUAGUCUAUAAAUAUGUAAGCCUUCGGCAAGUUAAAGGCAAGACUUUAUGAGUUGAAGCAAGCCUCCUCUUGUACACAAAUACUUUUGAAUAUUUAAUAAAAAUAGAUAUAUUUCUAAGGAAAGGCUAUGGAUGAACAAAACCCAGAAUUAUCAAACCUACCAGAACAGGUAUAUUUAUUUAUGAUUAUGAAUAGCCAAAUUCAUAAAUUUCUGAUAAUUAUGAUAUGAUAAAAUAAGUUUAUGUUAGUUACUACAUAGUAGAAUUAUUCGAAGAAUAAUAUGUUACAAAGUUUAUUAGCAAAGAGGAAAAGGAGAAAAAUCCUUAGGACUAUGCCAUCCUAAAGGUGAAACCGUUGAGGCAAGAAGGCCGUCAUAGGAGAAUAACCAUUGUAGAAGCGCUGUUUAAGGGAAAAUUAUUCAGACUACCAUGCUAAUAAUGACAGAGUAACAUAAUUAUUUAAGAAUAAUCUGGUAUAUAGUAAUCUAAGAUGACCAUAUUUUGUUAUGUAUAUGAUUGAAGGAAAUAUUUUGAAAUGGCAUCAUAUAAAAAAUGAAUAUUUAUUUAUCUGAUGAAAUGGUAGAUAAAUUUAAAAUGUUUGUUUUGUAUGUACUUAAGGUUAUAGAAAUUGUAGAUACAAGAAAAAUCAUAUGAGAAAAAAUAUUUGAUAAAUAUUUUAUGGCUAGAAUAAAUUACAUACCACACCUACCUACCUAUUCUGACAAAUACCUACAUACCAAAUCUACACAUCAACUAUGAUAAAUUAUGUAUAUUUAGAAUAUUAGAAAAUGGAUAUGAAAAAUAUACAAUUAAUAGAAAAAUUAAUGAAAACAAAUCUAGAAACAAAUAUAUGAGAACUAAAGAUAUAAAAUAUAUAGAAUUCCUUAAUGAAAAAUAUACAAGAACUAUUAAAAUUAAAAGAAACAACCAGUAAAUAUUAUGAUAAAACAUUUAAUAACCCAUAAAUCUAAUUCCAAGUUAUCUAAGUUAUUCGUAGAAACCUAACCAUCAUAUGAACAAUAUGACAAGCUAUAUAUCUGAUGAAAUUAAAAUACUUGUUUUAUAUAUCAUUAAAGACUUAGAAAUAGAAGACAUAAAGAAAAUAAUAUGGGAAAAAAUAUUUCAUGAAGAAUCGUUAAGUUUAGAAUGGUUAGAAGAUAUGCAUGAUCUUAGCUUAUAUUAUUCAGAUAGUUAUUACUCAGAUAAUAANNNNNNNNNNNNNNNNNNNNNNNNNNNNNNNNNNNNNNNNNNNNNNNNNNNNNNNNNNNNNNNNNNNNNNNNNNNNNNNNNNNNNNNNNNNNNNNNNNNNNNNNNNNNNNNNNNNNNNNNNNNNNNNNNNNNNNNNNNNNNNNNNNNNNNNNNNNNNNNNNNNNNNNNNNNNNNNNNNNNNNNNNNNNNNNNNNNNNNNNNNNNNNNNNNNNNNNNNNNNNNNNNNNNNNNNNNNNNNNNNNNNNNNNNNNNNNNNNNNNNNNNNNNNNNNNNNNNNNNNNNNNNNNNNNNNNNNNNNNNNNNNNNNNNNNNNNNNNNNNNNNNNNNNNNNNNNNNNNNNNNNNNNNNNNNNNNNNNNNNNNNNNNNNNNNNNNNNNNNNNNNNNNNNNNNNNNNNNNNNNNNNNNNNNNNNNNNNNNNNNNNNNNNNNNNNNNNNNNNNNNNNNNNNNNNNNNNNNNNNNNNNNNNNNNNNNNNNNNNNNNNNNNNNNNNNNNNNNNNNNNNNNNNNNNNNNNNNNNNNNNNNNNNNNNNNNNNNNNNNNNNNNNNNNNNNNNNNNNNNNNNNNNNNNNNNNNNNNNNNNNNNNNNNNNNNNNNNNNNNNNNNNNNNNNNNNNNNNNNNNNNNNNNNNNNNNNNNNNNNNNNNNNNNNNNNNNNNNNNNNNNNNNNNNNNNNNNNNNNNNNNNNNNNNNNNNNNNNNNNNNNNNNNNNNNNNNNNNNNNNNNNNNNNNNNNNNNNNNNNNNNNNNNNNNNNNNNNNNNNNNNNNNNNNNNNNNNNNNNNNNNNNNNNNNNNNNNNNNNNNNNNNNNNNNNNNNNNNNNNNNNNNNNNNNNNNNNNNNNNNNNNNNNNNNNNNNNNNNNNNNNNNNNNNNNNNNNNNNNNNNNNNNNNNNNNNNNNNNNNNNNNNNNNNNNNNNNNNNNNNNNNNNNNNNNNNNNNNNNNNNNNNNNNNNNNNNNNNNNNNNNNNNNNNNNNNNNNNNNNNNNNNNNNNNNNNNNNNNNNNNNNNNNNNNNNNNNNNNNNNNNNNNNNNNNNNNNNNNNNNNNNNNNNNNNNNNNNNNNNNNNNNNNNNNNNNNNNNNNNNNNNNNNNNNNNNNNNNNNNNNNNNNNNNNNNNNNNNNNNNNNNNNNNNNNNNNNNNNNNNNNNNNNNNNNNNNNNNNNNNNNNNNNNNNNNNNNNNNNNNNNNNNNNNNNNNNNNNNNNNNNNNNNNNNNNNNNNNNNNNNNNNNNNNNNNNNNNNNNNNNNNNNNNNNNNNNNNNNNNNNNNNNNNNNNNNNNNNNNNNNNNNNNNNNNNNNNNNNNNNNNNNNNNNNNNNNNNNNNNNNNNNNNNNNNNNNNNNNNNNNNNNNNNNNNNNNNNNNNNNNNNNNNNNNNNNNNNNNNNNNNNNNNNNNNNNNNNNNNNNNNNNNNNNNNNNNNNNACAACUACUUUAGGAUAAAAUGAUAAACUACGAAUACUUAGAAUAUUGGAGAAAAGAUAUUGAGGAAAUAAGAUUAACAGAAAUACUUAUGAAAGAGAAUCUACUUGACUAUCUAAAAACUAGAGAUAUGAAACAUAUAAAAUACCUUAAAAAUAAUAUAGAGGAAUUAAUAAGGUUAAAACAAAAAACUAAGGAAUACUAUGACAUAGCAUUUCAAUUAACAUGAUAGAACUAGUAAGUACUAGUUAUCUUCUAGUUAUCCACGCAAAUUACCUAAGUUAUACGCACCUCCGUACAAUUAACAUGACUCUGAUACCAAUUGACACAUAUCUAUUUGUAGGUUUUAUAAUUAACAUGGCUCUGAUACCAAUUGUAGGGGAGUGCGGAUAACUUGGGUAAUUUGUGUGGAUAACUAGUACUUACUAGUUCUAUCAUGUUAAUUGAAAUGGUAUGUCAUAGUAUUCCUUAGUUUUUUGUUUUAACUUUAUUAAUUUCUCUAUAUUAUUUUUAAAGUAUUCUAUAUGUUCUAUAUUUCUAGUUUUUAGGUAGUCAAGUAGAUUCUCUUUUAUAAAUAUUCUGUUAAUCUUAUUUCCUCUAUAUCUUUUCUCCAAUAUUCUAAGUAUUUGUAGUUUAUCAUUUUAUCCUAAGGUAGUUAUAAUACUGCAAAUUUCUUUAUAAUAGUUAUUCUAAUUAUACUAUAUCUGAUAUUAAAUUCUAGGUUGUGUAUUUCGUUAAUUAUCCUGUCUUUUUCUUCUAUGAAUAAUUCUUUGUCUAAAUCAAAUUCUAAACUGUCGUUUAAUUCUAGUUGUUUCAUGGUUUUAUCUAUUCAAAUUAAUCUUUCUUUUAAUUGUUUUCUUCCUCUUCUAAGCUGGUUUCUAUAAUUAAUUUCUUCGUAUAGCCAACUUUGUUGUUCUCUAACUCUUUUAAUAUAUUCUAACAUUUUAUUUGUAUAAUAUCCAUCUGAGUAAUAACUAUCUAAAUAAAAUAAGCUAAGAUUAUGCGUAUCUUCUAACCAUUCUAGACUUAACGAUUCUUCAUGAAAUAUUUUUUUCCAUAUUAUUUUCUUUAUGUCUUCUAUUUCUAAGUCUUUAAUGAUAUAUAAAACAAGUAUUUUAAUUUCAUCAAAUAUAUAGCUUAUCAUAUUGUUCAGAUGAUGGUUAGGUUUCUACGAAUUACUUGAAAUUAGAUUUAUGGGUUAUUAAAUACUUUAUCAUAAUAUUUACUGGUUGUUUGUUUUAAUCUUAAUAAUUCUUGUAUAUUUUUUAUUAAGGAAUUUUAUAUCUUUAGUUCUCAUAUAUUUGUUUUCAUUAGUUUUUCUAUUAAUUGUAUAUUUUUCAUAUUCAUUUUUCAAUAUUCUAAAUAUACGUAAUUUAUCAUGGUUGAUGUGUAGGUUUGGUAUGUAGGUAUUUGUAAAAUAGGUAGGUAGGUGUGGUAUGUAAUUUAAAUAUUUAUCAAAUAUUUUUUUCCAUAUGAUUUUUCUUAUAUCUACAAUUUCGAUAUCUUUAAGUACAUACAAAACAAGCAUUUUAAAUUUAUCUAUCAUUUCAUCAGAUAAAUAAGUAUUCAUUUUUCAUAUGAUGCUAUUUCAAAAUAUUUCCUUCAAUUAUAUACAUAACAAAAUAUGGUCAUCUUAGAUCUCUAUAUAUCAGAUUAUUCUUAAAUAAUUAUGUUACUCUGUCACUAUUAGUAUGGUAGUCUGGAUACUUUGCACUUAAACAGCGCCUCUACACUGGUUACUCUCCUAUCAUGGUUUUUUUGCCUCAUCGGUUUCACCUUUAGGAUGGCAUAGUCCUAAGGAUUUUUCUCCUUUUCCUCUUUGCUAAUAAACUUUGUAACAUAUUAUUCUUCGAAUAAUUCUACUAUAUAGUAACUACCAUGAACUUAUUUUAUUAUAUCAUGAUUGUCAGAAAUUUAUGAAUUUAGCUAUUCAUAAUCAUAAAUAAAUAUACUGUUCUGGUAGGUUUGAUAAUUCUGGGCUUUGUUCAUCCAUAGCUUUUCCUUAGAAAUAUAUCUGUUUUUAUUAAAUAUUCAAAAGUAUUUGUGUACAAGAGAAGGCUUGCUUCAACUCAUGAAGUUUUGCCUUUAACUUGCCAAAGGCUUACAUAUUUAUAGACUAAAAAGAAAACGCGUAAACUACUUUAUAUUAUUCCUAUCUUUACAUCUGUCAAAAAUUAAAAGACUAAUAAUGGCCUAGGUCCUACAACUUUACACUUGUUAAUGCUAUUUUAAAAAAAAUCUUAAGACUAAAAACCCAAUAAUGGCACUUUGGCCAAAAAGUCAAACUAAUAAAUGCUACUUAAUGCUUUACGUAUUAUAAUUCACAUGUUUCAAAAACUAUCUUAAUAAGUCAUAUAUCUCUUUAAUGUUUGUCUUUAUUUUUUCAUCUGUCCGUGUUGCUUUAUAUCUUUUGUCGUAUAUCUUCCAGCUGUCUUAAUUUUUUCGUUUGCUUCUAUUAUAGUGUUACUUCUGGAAUAAUAUUAUGUGGUCCACUACAACAGCUGCAUUGAUGAUCAUCAUAUCUCUGUCCAAUUAAUUUGCAGAAUUGUUUCAUAAGUCCGUUAGAAAUAACUCCUUUCUUGAUAGAUCUUGUGAGAGGGUUAUCUUCUGGUUUUAAUAAUGUCAUUGUCCAUCUACGAAUUUCUUCCAUAUCAUUUUCUCUUAUGUCUUUACAUGUUGAAUAAACCAAUAAAUGAUCUCUAGAAUAAUAAUUCCAAACUGGAUUACGGUUCAAAUAGUUAUGUGCUAACUUUUGUAUAAUUGUGCUCAAGCCAAUAACUCGUUUGUUCUUGAAAAAGUCUGGUAUCUCGUUUUCUAUAUUUCGUCUUGUUCAGAUAUUUCUUCUGGUAUAAUGUAGUCUCUUGUCAUACCAAUUUUUACUACUGUAACCACUGGUUUAAUUUCAUCAAAUAGUAUCUUAGCAGAGGCCAAAUAAAAUCUUAUGUAAAAUAGCUUUCUUUUUGUAAUUUUUAUAUAUGUCAUAAUUCCUUUAUGUACUGCAGGAAUCAUGGCUAAUUCUUUCUCAUCUGUUGUAUAAACUGUUGAUAAUAAUCCAUUAGAAUAACAUGUAGCGAUUAAAUUUGGGAUGGUUCCUGGGAGCGCAAUAAGUUUAUUAUAAUUUUGUAACUUUUGGGUUAUAUAGCCUUGGUGUUUUUUGGCUAGCUCAAUAUCUUGGACGGGUUUGGUAUUUAGUAUGGUUUGGAUUGUAUAUAAAUUUUCAAUAUAAACACGGGUUAAAUGGUUGUAAGCUUGUUUUUUCUGGUUAAUUGCUUCUGAAUAAGGGUAUAACUGCGGGGGUAAUUCAUUCUUUUGGAUAUUUGGUGGUGCAUAAGGUUUUUCAAAUAUCCUAUUUAGGUUGUAAUUCUUUUUCUUUGGUAAUUCAGAUUUUGGUAAAUUUUUUGUAGUGGGUAAUUCCUUAGCUGUAUCUGAUGUUCCUGCACAUGUAACAACCGUUUUGGUUUUAAGGUGUGUCCGAACGUCACCUUUUAGAUCUAGUUUUUUAAAGUUCUCUUCUUGCACUAUAUCUAUGUCUUUGGCUUUUUCCUGUUUUUUUAGAGUGCUCAGAUUGCUCUUUUAAUUCUGUGACUUCAAUAGUCAAUAGAGUAACUUGUUCUUUUAAUAAUUUUACGUGUUCAAAUAAUUGAACUAGUAAAUCAUUCUGACUAACUUCUUCUAUUGUUAAAUCAGUCUGAGUAGCCUUGUCGUGACAAGUAAUCUGCAAUGAUAUUUUUGUUAGUACUAGUUACUUCAAUUGUAAAUGUAAAAUUAAUUUAAUAUGUUCAAGAAUAGUCUCCGUAUUUCCUUUAUUGUAACUGAAUUUUGUAUUUUCUUUAUUAACCACCAACGUACCUGCGUAUUAUCUGUUCGUAUAAUAAACUUGUUAUAUACUAUAUAUGGCUCAAAUGCUAAUAAACAUUUAUAUAAUAAGCAUAAUUCUUUUCUAUUUAUUUUCUGUUUUAUCUCUGUUUCAUUAAACGUACCUAAGUAGUAUCUACAAUGAUGUUCUAAUUUUUCUUCUUCAUAUCUAUAUUUAAGUAUUCCUCCAUAACUAUAUUCGCUUGCCUCUGCUUCUACUAUAUAUGUAAAUUUUUUAUUUUCGUCUGAAAAUUGUAAUUUUGGUAAUUCUUUACAAAGUAUUUUUAUUUUCUGGACUUGCUUUUUAUCUUCUUCAUUGUAAUUAUAUUCUACAUCCUUUUUUAAUUUUUUCUGUAAUGGCUUUAGGUUUUCUGCUAAUUUUGGUAUAUAUUCUCUUACUUGGUUUACUAAUACUAAAAAUGAUUGUAAUUUCUUUUUUUAAUCUAAUUCUUCUUUUGAAUUUAUUAUUUUUGUACUAUAUGUUGUUGCAUUUUUACUCCACUCUUAUCUAUUUGUAUUCCUAUAAAUUCUAUCUGAUUUUUCAUAAUUUAACUUUCUUUUCACUUUAGCUUAUUCCUGAUUUUUCUAUUAUAUCUUUAAAUUGUUCUAAUAAUUUUAAAUGUUCUUCUUUUGUUUUUGUGUAUAGUAGUAUAUCAUCUAUGUAUACUACACAAUUAGGUAAUUGUUUAAAAUAACUAUCGAUAAAAUGUUGAUAUCUACCUGGUGCAUUUUUAUAUCCAAAUAGUAAUACGUUCCAUUCAUAAAAUCCUUGUGGUGCCGUAAAUGCAGUUAAUUCUUUAGAAUCUUCAUCUAACUUUAAGUGGUAAAAUCUUGAUUUACAGUCAAAUUUACUAAAGUAGUUAUAUCCUUGUAUUUGUCUUAUUUUUAAUAUCUUAUUUGGUAUUGGAUAAUUAUAUGUCAUAGUUUUUGCAUUUAAAUUUCUAUAGUCAAUAAUCAUUCUACUUUUUCUUUUUGUUCACUAUGUUUAUUUACUAUAGACGCUGGACAAUUGUGUUUACUAGUACUUUUUUGUAUGUAUUGUUUUUCUAAUAAUUCAUCUAUAUGCAUUUUAAAUUCUUUUAAAUCAUCAAAAUUAUAUGUUAAUUGUUUCUACGUUAUUAUACUAUUUUUAUCUAUUAGCUCUAUUUUUACAGUAAUUUUAUGUUUUUCCAUUCUUUUAAUGGACUUCACUGUAUAAUUGUCUUAAUUUUUUCUUUAUUAUUUCUACCUUAUCUAUUGAAAAUAUAGUUAUUUCUUCUUUAUUUAUUAAAAAUAUAACUAGUUCUAUUGUGUUUUCAGUAUUUUUUAUAUUUUCUAAUUUUUGUGUGAUUUUUUCACUUCCUUUAUUCCAAUCAGUUUUCUUUCUUAUUUUAUUAGUAACUUUUUUUGCUCUUACUUUUUGUUUACAUGGUAUUGUAAACCACCAGUGUGUUCUAGUUAUUAUAUAUGAGUAUAAUUUAUCUAAAAAUGACAUUUCUAAAAGCAUAUCUUUUGAUGUUAGCUCAUAAUUAUAGAUUUCUUCUAUUGUUAAUAUCUUAUCUCAUACUUGUAUUUUUACAUUUCUAUGCUUAUAAGUAAUUAAGCUUCCUUCGUUAUUAAAUCCUCUAACUACUAUUGAUGUUUUUAAUUUAUCCCAUUUACUUUCUGAUAAACAAUUAUAUCUACAUAAAUUGUCUUCUGCUCCUGUAUCUAUCAUUGGUUUAUAAUAUCUAUUAUAAUAUCUUUCUACUAUUAUUUUCAUAUCAUGUCAAAGCUCUCUUUAUUAAUAAUUUUUCUCUAUUAUAGGUUAUGAUUAUUUGUGUAUGUUCUAUAUUGUAGGGCUUUACUUGUUUUAACUAUUUUAUUUCUAAUAUUAUGUCUGCUUUUUGCAUAUCUUCCUUUAUUUCAAAUUCUAUUUUUAUUUUUCUAACUCCUAUUAUAUUUUUUUUUCUGCUGUAUCUUUAAUGUUUAUUAGACUACGUGGUAGAUCUGGACACAUAUUACUAUUGAAUUUUAUUUCUUCAUUUUUUACUAGAUAUUUUGUCAGGUAAUUUUCUUCCUGUCCUGUAUUUAUGAGUAUUAAAUAUUCCUUUUCAUUUAUUGUUACUAUUAUGUAAUAUUGAGUUAAAUUAACUGUUGAAGUUGUUUCAUAAUUUGUUCUUUUUUAUGAGCUUGAUGAUUCUGGUUUUUCAUAAGCUAUUCUUUUUGUUGUACUUAUCCUAUCAUUUAUUAUUUCUAAAUCUUCUUCUAUGUUUAUAUCUUUGUAACUAUAAUCAUUGUUAUCAAUUGUUUUUACGAAUUAUUCAAAAAGGACUUUCUAUGUGUAUUUUAUUAAUUUUAUUUUUUUCAGUUAUUUUAUGUUUUGUUGUUAAUACAUAUAGAUUUUUACAUCUUGCUGUAAAUAUUUUACUUCCUGAAAUUAGUUCUAUUCUUGAUAUAUUCAAUAUAAUACUAAUGAUUUAUCUAUAUUUUUAUCUGUUAUUGGUACUGAAUAAUUUGCACUUAUUAUAAAUUUGAAUUUUUGGUAUAUUAAAUUUUCUUUUAUGACACUAAUUAUGCUUUUUUCUAUAGGUUUUACUAUCCUAUCAUCCGUUAAAUAUAGUUCUAUUGGUGUAUCUAUUCCUUCUCUAAAACAUGCUUUUAUUAAUAUCUCUGUUCCUCUAAGGUGUACAUAUUUUAUUGGGUCUCUACUUUUUAUAUCUUGUAUUUUUUUAAUAACUGUUCUUCUUGUUACUAAUGGUAUACUAGCUUUACCUCUUGUAUGUUUAUAAUCUAUUAUAUGUUCUUUUUGGCUUACUAUAUAGUAUUCCUCUUUUCUUUUACUAAAUAUAUUUUUUAUUGUUGGUAUUUUAAAUAUUUUUUCUACACUUAAGUCUAACUCUUUUCCUUUUAUUUCUUCAAAUAUAUUACUGUCAAAUAUUACUUUUUGGUCAGUUCCUUCUUCGUUUAAGUAUUCCUCCUUUGUGAUUAUUUUUAUUUCUUUUUCAGUCAUUAUUUAUACUUUCGUCUAAUUCACUAUCUAUUUCAUUAUCUGUCUCAUUUUCUGAAAUUUCAUAUAUACUAUCUUCACUUUCUAAUUCGUAAUCUAUAUAAUCUAUUUGCAUAUAUUCUGCAUUUUCUAUCUUUAUUUCUGAUAUUUGUUUCUUUUUUGGAUCUUUAGACAUUUUACAAUCUCUAACUAAAUGUCCUAGUUUUCCACAAUUAUAACAAGUACAUUCUUUUACAGAUUUCUUUUUCCUAUAUGGUCUUUUAUGUUUAUAAUUUUUUACAUAAUAUGUUUUUCUUGGUUUCUUAUACUUAUAUUUUGAUUAUUCGUAUUUGUUAUAUUUCUUAUAUUUCUUAUGUCUUUUUCUUUUCUUAUAAUAUCUUUCUUCACAUCCAAAUCGAGGCGCUAUUUUAUCUUUGCAACAUGCUAAAUUUUUUAUUGAUGUUUUUUUUCAUUUUUAUUCCUUCUCUAUAUUUUUCACAUAGAUUUUUAUACCAUUGUCGUAGAAAUUUUAUUCUUGCUCCUAGGGUAUCUACUAUUUUUGCUUCAUCCCAACUCUUUAUUAUUUUUGAACUAAAUGAUUCAGAUAAUUUACUAAAAUAUAAUCUUUUAACUUCUUUAUUUCCUUUUGUAUUAUAUGCUCCUUUAUAAUAGUAUUCUUUAAAUGCGCACAUAUAUUCAUCUAUAUAACACAUAUUACAUAUUGCUAGUUUUAAUAUUAAAUUCCUGUUUGUAUCUUUUUCUUUGUUUUGUUGUUGUUGUUGUUGUUCUUCUUCUUCUUCUUCUUCUGUUGCUAUACUGUUAAACUUAUCUCUUAUAGUCAUUUCAUAUUUUUUCAAUAUGUCUGUAGGUGUUAGUUUAGUUACUGUUGUUCCUUCUGUUUCUUUAUCAUUUCUUAAUACCUUUUUACUAUUUUCAGUUAAAUUUAAAAACCAUAAUUUUGUUGUUCCUAUUAGUGUUNNNNNNNNNNNNNNNNNNNNNNNNNNNNNNNNNNNNNNNNNNNNNNNNNNNNNNNNNNNNNNNNNNNNNNNNNNNNNNNNNNNNNNNNNNNNNNNNNNNNNNNNNNNNNNNNNNNNNNNNNNNNNNNNNNNNNNNNNNNNNNNNNNNNNNNNNNNNNNNNNNNNNNNNNNNNNNNNNNNNNNNNNNNNNNNNNNNNNNNNNNNNNNNNNNNNNNNNNNNNNNNNNNNNNNNNNNNNNNNNNNNNNNNNNNNNNNNNNNNNNNNNUCCUAAGGUAUCUACUAUUUUUGCUUCAUCCCAACUCUUUAUUAUUUUUGAACUAAAUGGUUCAGGUAAUUUACUAAAAUAUAAUCUUCUCACUUCGUUACUUUCUUCUGUAUUAUAUGCUCUCUUAUAAUAGUAUUCUUUAAAUGCGCACGUAUAUUCAUCUAUAUAUCACAUAUUACAUAUUGCUAGUUUUAACAUUAAAUUCUUAUUUGUAUUUUUUUCUUUGUUUUGUUCUUCUUCUGUUGUCAUACUACUAAAUUCAUCUCUUAUAGCCAUUUCAUAUUUUUUCAAUAUGUCUAUAGGUGUUAGUUUAGUUACUGUUGUUCCUUCUGUUUCUUUAUCAUUCCUUAAUACCUUUUUACUAUUUUCAGUUAAAUUUAAAAAUCAUAAUUUUGUUGUUCCUAUUAGUGUUCUUUCUAUAUAUUCUAUUGUAUCUAUUGCAUUUAUACCAUUGUCUAAUAAUUGUUUUGCUAUNNNNNNNNNNNNNNNNNNNNNNNNNNNNNNNNNNNNNNNNNNNNNNNNNNNNNNNNNNNNNNNNNNNNNNNNNNNNNNNNNNNNNNNNNNNNNNNNNNNNNNNNNNNNNNNNNNNNNNNNNNNNNNNNNNNNNNNNNNNNNNNNNNNNNNNNNNNNNNNNNNNNNNNNNNNNNNNNNNNNNNNNNNNNNNNNNNNNNNNNNNNNNNNNNNNNNNNNNNNNNNNNNNNNNNNNNNNNNNNNNNNNNNNNNNNNNNNNNNNNNNNNNNNNNNNNNNNNNNNNNNNNNNNNNNNNNNNNNNNNNNNNNNNNNNNNNNNNNNNNNNNNNNNNNNNNNNNNNNNNNNNNNNNNNNNNNNNNNNNNNNNNNNNNNNNNNNNNNNNNNNNNNNNNNNNNNNNNNNNNNNNNNNNNNNNNNNNNNNNNNNNNNNNNNNNNNNNNAGUCCUACUAUUUUUAGUUUUUUCUAUUUUUUGUAUUUCUUCUGUAGUUUGUUGUUUUAUUAUCUAUUUCCUUUUUUCUAUCUAUCUCUUCGUUUUCUUUUUUUAUUCUUACCAUGGCUGUCAACUUAUUUUCUAAUUUUAAUUCUUUUUUUUCUAACAUUAAGUAUAAAUGUUCACCUAUUUUCUUAUAUCUUCUUCCUAAAUUGGAAAAUACUAUCCUUAUUUUUAAUCCUUCAUAGUUUUCAUAUGUUUUUCAUCUAUUAUAAAUUCUUCUUUGUUCAUGUUAUCUACUUGGUAGUAUAUAGAUCAUGUUGAUAUAUGUAUUCUAGACUAUCUAUUUGUGAUUCUAAAUAUGAUAUUUCUUCUUUUUGUGCUUUUAUUGAUUUUUGACAUACUCCUAUAAUUAUGUUAUAUUGUAGUUUUUCUUUUCUUAUUUUUAAUUCUCUCCGUUUUUCAGAUAUUAUUUGUUUUAGUUCUUUAUAUUUUUGAAAUUUUGUUAUAUUAUUCAUCUAUACAAUGUUUAUAAUAUUUUGGUGGAUACCGAAAUCUGAUUCUAUCAUAAUUAGGUGGUAUGUAUCUCAUUCUUCUAGAUUUUAAAUGGAUUAUUAAUUUUGCCUCAUUGCUAGAUAUUAAGGUAAUUAAGUAAGCUAAUUUGUGGGGAUUUUCUUUUGUUUUAUUUAACUUGGUAUAUUCUGGGUAAUAAUUAGUUAAAGUUUCUUUAAUUUUUCUAAAAGCUUCUAUAUUUUUAAAUGGUCUUCUCAUUUUUAACAAAUAAAUAACAAUGUAAAUAAUAAUAACUCAUAAUUAAUAAAUACGAUUAAAUUAACUUUUGUAAUUUUUUUCAUAAUUAACACAUAUCUAAUUGACACAUAUCUACUUGUACGUUUUUUAAUUAACAUGGCUUUGAUACCAAUUGUAGGGGGUAUGGAUAACUUGGGUAAUUUGCAUGGAUAACUAGUAGAUAACUAGUAUCCACCGAAAUCUCGUUUGGCCUAGUCGCCGGACACUAUGCAUCCCACGAAUAGCACCCUUGACCUCCUCAACCUUGAUACGCCUGUAAUAACUAUAAUCGUGACACUUUUCUGUGUGCUCCAAGUCCCCAACACAAAACUUUUGUCCCUCUCAUCGUUUAAAAGUCUAUGGAAAUAGAACUGUCACCUCCUUCUAAUGAGGGCAUCCUCUAUCAAUACUUCGCCUUCCUUCUCCUUGAUGUACUUCACUUCGCGAAGGUCACGGGCCUCCGUUCCCUAGCCUUGACGAGCCUAUACAUUAUUUCCGCUUUCUUCUCUACAAGCUCUCAAAAGUUGUUGUCUUAGCUGCCGUAACUACUAACUUAGCCUUUUUCCUAGCUAACUUAUACUCCCUAUUCAUCCGCUUCUCGUCGUCAUCCUUGCUCUCACCAACUUUGCAUAGGCCGCCAUCUUAGUCUCCAUAUUUUUAACUUCUUCGUUCCACCACUAGUCCCCUCGUUGCUUGCCAGAUCAGCCUCUCGAGAUACCCAAUACCUAUCUGGCUGUCUCCCUGAUGUAACUAUGCAACUGGCAGUUAUCUCCCACAUACUACUAUCCACAUCCCGUCUGCUCUUCUAAGCCUCCAUUGUCAACUUCUUUCCAAUCUCCAAAGUGCUGGCCAAAGUCAAGCUACCCCACUUAAUCCUAGUUCGAUCCUCCACACCCUUAUUCUUUCUGUCCUUUUUUAUUUCCAAGUCCAUCACUAGCAACUUAUGUUGGGUCGAAAGAUCCUCUCUAGGUAUGACUUUACAGUCCUCAAACCUCCACAUAGUACUUUCCAAAGUGCUUGAAACGCCUUUUACCACCUUAUCCAAAACCUCCCAAAAGCUCUUCUUCUCCUCUUCGUCCAAGCCCGCUUGCGGGGUAGGCACUAAUAAUGUUCGACUUAGACCCUCCAAUGACCAACUUAAUCGACAUCAACCUAUCGUUGACCCUCUUAACCUCCACCACUUGCCCCCGUACCUCUUCAUCCACUAAGAUACCUACCCCAUUCCUAUGCCUCACGCUACCAGAAUACCAUAACUUAUCCUAGACAGUUUACCUCAUGGAAUUGUCAAAACUCAAAUCUAAGACCGUUAACCUAAAAUAUUGACUUUGAUCAAACUUCUCAUUUCCAAACUUCCAAAAUAGAAUUUCUUCUUUAAAGCCCUCGAACCGCGCCACUCAUCCCUGCAAGUCGUAAGUAGCUAAGGAAAGCUAUGGGGAUGGUCAACGAGGCAAAAGAGACAGAAAUUACAAAACAACCAUGAGGGUCGUUAUAACCUUUGUGGACAAAGUUACUCGAUACCUUUACUGGCGGGGAAUAUCAUGUAAUGAUAUAGUCAAGGUGCCCACAAGAUGGUUCAGCCACCACCAUUAUGAGAAUUAAAUAAAUGGCUAUGAGACUGCUCUAUAUGUGCCAGAUGACGUUUAUCAUGGGUUGUCAUCCCUCUUUCUUUAUAGUCCAUAAGACAUCUAGUAUCAAAUCCAGCUAAUGUUGUAGAGAAAUGAAAGUGAUUUAAUGUAAUCAUUAAAGAAUAGAUAGCUGUUUUUUUUCCUCUGGAACUGGUUUAUAUAUUUGCUAUCAACUUCAAUUGAUGGUCGUCAUUUUGGAUAUUCUCCUAUUUGCUUGUAGUAUUACGAUUGUUUACUAGUCUUUGUUUAUUCUUUCCCUGUAUGUGGCGUCUCUAUGUUGUCUUGUUCCAGGUUUUUUGGUAUGACUUUGAUUACUAUUCCUUGUCUUGAACUGGGGGUCUAUCGGAAACAGCCUUGCUACUCCCCGGGAGUAGUGGUAUGGACUGCGUAUAUCUUACCCUCCCCAGACCUCACUAUGUGGGAAUACACUGGGUUUGUUGUUGUUGUUGUUGUCCUAUUUCCUGUUCAAUGCUUCAUGUAUUAUCAAAACGCCAAGCUCACUUCACCAAGCAAUAUGCAUUUCUUGGUAAAAGAAGGAAUGCAUCUCUCCUUGGUUCUCUAAAGUGUAAUUUACUCUUGCAAAUGUAAAUUUAAAGAAGGCCUUCAAAACAUUUUAGUCCUGAAAUGUUGGAAAAAGCAUUUCAUAAAACUGAAGCAAAGAACAAAAUAGUAUGAUAGAUAGAGUAUUAAGAAAUAGAUGAAAAUAGCAAUUACCAGUUUCUCAAAAAAAAAAAAAAAGAAAUAGAUGAAAGUAGAACAGAUUUAGGAUCUAUAUAUACACAUCACUUGUUCCAUACUUCCAUUGAUAUUCUUGCUCACAUGUAGAGGUUCCUGAGGAAGUACACAUACAUGAGAAUAGUGUUGAAGUGCACUAGUGUGUGAGUUUUCCGGAAUGUUUAAGUGAGCGAGGGUUUUGUUUUUUUGGAUGCUACAAUUUGUUUAGAGAUGAAAGCAACCUCAUUAUGCUGUAAUUUUUCAGAUUUCAGAUACCACAUUUGUUGAAAAGAAAGAUGCAGUCAAGAUUCUAUGUAAGCUGUGGAAAGAUGAGUACUUAGAGAUGAAGGUAAUAUGUUUCCGGUUUUCUGUUGUUGUAGUCUAAGUUGCGCGGACUCUUCACUUUUAAUGCUGCACCUGUGUCAGAUUCUUCAAAAAUACACUACUUUUGGCGAAUUCUACACGCACCCAUUGACAUUUUCAACGAGUCCGAGCAACAUAGGUUGUAGUAGAAUAAUAUGUCUUGAUUCGCCUGCGUAGUUAAAAUUGAAGAGACCUUGAGAGUAGAACAAAGCAUAUCUCGAAACUAUCAUGUGUAUUUUCUUGCUCUCUUAUGUCAAUGUUAUGGAAGUAGCAAACAGACAUAUUUGGCUUUGCUUCUGUAUCUGAAGAUAGCUAAAGUCAAUAUUAAGGGAGGGUAAGUGCUGGUUCGGAUACAUGCUAUAUAAACUAUAUUUUAUCUCUGUUAAAUAUUAACAUGACCAAAUCUGAUCUAUUCUGUGAUGAGUUACUGGACACUUGGUGCAUACCCUGAAAUUCAUAGAGUAAUCUAAAACAAAAGAUCUUUACGUUAAACGAAAAUAUCCUUAGGAAGUUCCAGAUACUUUGCACAACUUUGUUACAAAUAUUUCUGCUUCAUAGUACCAGAUACUUUGCUCAACUUCGUUACAGCUAUUUUCUGCUUCACAGUAGAGAUCCAUACUAAAAAUUGGGGGGCCCAAAUUUAAGCUCAAGAUCGGAUGGGACUUUGGAGACCAUGAACUCUCAACCCAACACAAUUACCCGAGUACGCAAAGUGGGUGAAUGGUUAAGCUCCUCAAUAGGAAAAUCUACCACUGGUUUUGAACCCAUGAUUCUGUUCAAACAUAAAAUCUCAUGAAUACCCCGAGUACGCAAAGUGGGUGAAUUGUUAAGCUCCUCCCCAACAGGAAAAUCUACCACUGAUUUUGAACGCAUGAUUCUGUUCAAAAGUAAAAUCUCAAAAAUCAAGUGUGAAGAUCAUUCUGAUUCAUCAAAAGUACAGAAGAAUCAGGGGCAGAGCUACAGUGCAAAAAAGGGUUUAGGCGUGUCAAUUUUCUGCUAAAUGCCUCUCAAUAUUGAGAGUCUUGCCAUUAAAUAGAAUCAUUCAAAAAUUACAUCCCUAAAGAUCCGUCUUUUCUAUCCCUCUAAAUCCGGUAUUCUAUCCUACCAGAUUUGCUGUCCUAUAAUCAAUAUUACUCUCUUUAAUUACUAAAUCAAAUUUUUGUAAUUACACUAAUAUACAACAAUAUAUAACUACAUUAAUAUAUAUAAUAUUUACUAGUUGUCCAUCAUGUUACAUCACCCCUCAAAUUGAUGUUGGUAGAUCAAGAAGCAUCAAUUUGCCUACUAGAAACUGAUGUCGUCGUCGUGCCAUUGAUUUUAUAAAUGCAUCAGCAAUUUGAAGAUCACUGGACACGUGUGGAAGAGUAAUGACUCCUUUAUCUCCAGCUUCUCGUGUAUAAUGACAGUCUACUUCGAUUUGUUUGGUUCGCUUCAUGAUAAACCGGAUUAGUAGUAAUCUGAACAACACUUGUAUUGUCAGCACAGAGAGGAUUAGGAUUAGAUUGAGGAAAUCCAAUCUCAACAAGUAAUCCGCGAAGCCACACAAUCUCGAAGCAAGUAGUAGACAUUGCUCGAUAUUCAACCUCUAUUGAAGAUUUUGACACACGGUCUUACUUUUUACUCUUCUGAGAUAUCGAAGACUUUACAAGAAACAUGCACCAACCAGUGACCAAACGAGGAGUGUCAGAACAUCCUUCCCAAUCAAAAUCACUAAAAGCAUAAAGACUAAUAGGAGAACCACUAGGAAAGAAUAAUACACGAUUAAAUGUUCCUAGGAGAUAUUGAAUGAUGCGACGGACGACCACCAAAUGAAGAUGACGGGAGCUUGCAUAAAUUGACUAGCUUGUUGAACUAUAAAAGGGAUAUCAGUUCGAGUAAUAGUAAGGUAAUUUAAGCUCCCAACUAACUGCCGAAAUAUAGUUGGAUCAUGAAGAUCUCCUUUCGCUCGCCAAUACUUUACAUUCAACUCUAGUGGAGUAUCUACGAAGGAGGAAUCCUGAGUUGGUUUAGAAACACACCUGAUGAAGCACGAUGAACUUCCAAACCCAAGAAAUAUGUAAGAGUACCAAGAUCUUUCAUAAGGAAGGAAUCCAUAAGUUGUGCUGCUGGAGGCUAGUGAUCGGUGAAGAAUCGGUUCCUGUGAUAAUAAUAUCAUCUAUAUAUACCAAAAGAACACAACUUGUACAUGUUUUCUAAAGAAAUAAAGAUGAGUCAUAUUUGCUCUGCUCAAAAGAGAAUUGUAGCAAAGUAGAUCGAAAUUUGUCCAACCAAGUUUUGGGAGCUUGUUUUACUCUAUGCAAAAACUGCUUCAACUUGCAUACAUUUGACGUAGGUGAUGAGAACAAACCAGUUGGAGGUUUCAUAUAAAUAUCUUCUUUAAGAUCACCAUGGAGAAAAACAUUUUUGAUAUCCAUUUGAUGAAGAGGCCAUUUUUGUGAAGAAGCAAUGGCAUUGAUUUGCAUGGUAGUCAUUUUUGCUACUGGUGCAAAAGUCUCCUCAUAGUCUACACCAUACUCCCGUCUGUUACCAAGAACAACCAGUCGAACUUUGUACCGGUCAAGAGUUCCAUCAGAAUGAAGUUUAAUUGAAUAGACCCAUUUACAUCCAAUUGGGCGGACAUUUGAAGGACAUGAAACAGUAUCCCAUGUGUUGUUUUCCUUAAAGAGCGAAAAGUUCUUCCAUUGCUUUCUGCCAACAUUCAUGCUUGGAAGUUUGUGAGUAACAAGUUGGAAUAGAAAUGGUGGAUAAAGUAAAGGAAAAGUCAUACCAAUUAGGAGGACGAGAUAUCUGGUAGAUCGUCGAGUGGGCUCAAGAGGAGCAAAGCUUGAAGAAUUUUCAGAUUCUAGUUAUAGAGCAGUCUCAGGUGGUGGAUCAGUUUCGCGAGGAGGUAAAGUUGGCCAACGUCGUUCAUACUCAAAUCUAGGUUUGAACCGCUUAGAAGAAGAUGACAAAUCAUCAAAAGUAAGAAGAAGAGGGGAAACAGGAGAUGACUCAACAUGAGUAGGAAAGAAAUACUGAUUCUCAAAGAAAACAUUUCAGGAAAUACAAAAUUUGUUAGAACGUAGAUCAUAGCAAAUAAAACUUUUCUGCGAAGUACUAUAGCCCAUAAAAGCACAUUUAGUAGAUGGACAGAAAGUUUAUUACGCUGAGAAGGAGGCAGGUGCACAAAACAAACACAACCAAAUGCAUGAAAAUUAUCAUAGCUAGGAUUUUUGUAAUAAAGACGAUAAUACGGAGACUCAAGAUUUAACCCUUUAGAUGACAGUCUAUUAAUUAAAUAGACAACAGAGACAAAGCUUUAACCCAAUAUUUAGAUGGGAUAGAGGACUCAAUCAAUAAAGUACGAGUGAUAUCCAAAAGGUGAGCAUUUUUACGCUUAGUGACCCCAUUUUUUUGUGGUGUAUAUGGAGAAGAGCAUUGUGAGAUAAUUCCUUUCUCAAGCAAAAUUUUUUUGAAUUUAUUUGACAUAUAUUCUCCAUCAGAAUCAGAUCUUAAUAAUUUGAUACAAGUAGAAAAUUGAGUCUUAGUGUAAGCCAAAAAUAUCUUGAACAUGGAAAAUACCUCAUAUUUGGAACAAAGAAAAUACACCUACGUAAAUCGACUAUAAUAAUCUAUGAAUGUCACAAAGUACUUGAACUGAGCAUGAGAAACAGUUGGUGAAAUACCUCAAACAACACUAUGAACGACAUCAAAACACUUUAUAGCAUGACUGCCAAAAUUAAGAAUAGGAAGAAUUUUAUUGUUCCCUAAUUUACAAGUAGAACAAUCAAAUGAAGCAGUAGAAAAUUAUUUUUUUUCUCAAUAAAUCAGAAUUUGGAUGUCCUAGACGCUUAUGCCAAACCUCAAUCUUAUUAGUUGUAGAAGUACAAGCAAAAGAUAUAACAGGAGGAAUGGAGAAAUAUAUAGGAAACAGUCUUCCAACUUUAGGCCCCUUCACGAUUAUCGUCCCCGACACCUGACCCUGCACAAGACAACCAUUACGAGAAAAAUUUACAUCACAAUUGUCCUAUUGAAAUAAGACUGGUUGAGAGCUUUGGUGAAACAAAAACAUUCUUGAAAGUUAAAGUAAUAUCCCCAACCUUGGUAAUGGGUAAAUUACUACCAUUAGCAACCUGUAUUUGUGAUAAAUCUUGAUAUUUACAAAUAUUUUUUAUUAUGCUUGUUGAGUUGGUCAUAUGAUUGGUCAAAAUCAACAAUCCAAAAAGUAGAUUUAACAUUAGUACCUUGUAAUCCCAAUGUUGAAAAGGCUGAAACGAUCAUUUGUUGUACCAUUUCAGGAGUAAGAACUUGUCCUGAAUAUGAGCUCUCAAGAAUGGAAUCAUUUAUCCCUGCAUGAAAAGCAUUUAUUUACGAUUUUAAGGGAGUGUGGGACGUUUUUGGUUAAUGUGUCCUUGUUGCUUACAAUAAUUACAGAACUUCUUUCCACAAUUGCUAGCAAUAUGGCCAUAUUCCUUGCACCUGUAGCAUUGAGUUCUAGUCAUAUCCCUAUCAUUUCCUUUACCUUGAGCAGCAAAUGCAACAGCGACAUCAUUUCCUCUUUUGAAAGCAUCUUGUGUGACAAAAUGCUGCUCUUCACGAAGUAAUUCCCUAAAACAAACAUCCAGGGAGGGAGGCGGGUAACGAUUUAUCAAGUUAGAGCGAACACUCUCAAACUCAAAGCAUAACUUUAUCAAAAAUUGAUCUCGCUUGCUUUGCUCAUGAACUUCUUGUAUUAUAGAGAGAGACAGAGAGAUUCGGUAGGUAUUUUGGCAUAAACAAUAUUUGUAAAUUCAACCCAUAAAUUCUGAAAUCUCGAAAAAUAAUCCUAGAGACCUUCUUGAGAGUAAUUAGCAAUUUCAUACUCUAAGUGAAAGACUCGAACACUAUUAUCUUGGUUUUAAAUCUUUUGUAAAUAAUCUCACAUGGCUUUAGCUGUUUUGUAAGGGCUGAGAUUAAGAAUAAUAAGAGGGUCAGCCAUGUCAUCACCCGAGCAUCUUUAAUCUUCCAUUCACCUAACUUUGUUGAAUCAGUAAGAGCAAGAUCGGCUAUAUCUAUAUGGCCCCAUAGUUCUUUUCCGGUGACAAAUAACUGCAACUGAAACUCCCAGAACGAAAAGUUCUUUCCAGUGAAACGAUUCAUCGGACUCAAAAAGAACUACCAAACUGAAACUCAAACACUAAAUGAUUCAAAUUGAUGUGAAGUCAUAUUUAUGAAACUAGAAGCACAAUGACUCAAAAAGAACAACCAAAAUGUCCAAGGUCAAAGUCCUAGGUGUUAAUUGUCGAUGAACAAUCAACAAAACUGAAAUUUUCAAAAAAUAUUAAAGGAACCACAUAUGGACUCUCUAUGAAAUACGACAGCCAAGAAAAGGCUCUGACUCAAUAUUGAGAGUCUUGCCAUUAAAUAGAAAGUAUUCAAAGAUUACAUCCCUAAAGAUCCGUCUUCGCUAUCCCUAAAGAUCAGAUUUUCUAUCCCACCAGAUCUGUUCUACUAUAAUCAAUAUUACUCUCUUUAAUUACUAAAUCAAAUCUUUGUAAUUACACUAAUAUACAAUAAUAUAUAACUACAUUAAUAUAUACAAUAUUUACUAGUUGUCCAUCAUGCUAACAGGGGGAACCAGUAGCUUUUGUGUAGACCCUGUAUUUGUACUAAAAAUCAAGAAAUAUUAUAUAAUUAUGUAGGUGCGAACCCACAUACAAAGACUGACGGAUGGUCCAGUGGUCUCCAAGGAGAUUUGAAGGCUAGCGUCCCUGAGAUGUGGGUUCGAAACCCGCUAGCAGCAAGUUUACUUUUUUUAUUUUUUGCUUUUUUACUCACUUUUCCACAAGUUUUUUUAUUAGUAUUAUAGCUUUUUCCAGUAUGUAGAUUUUUUUUUUUUUGAAAAUAUAACAUAAAACUAAUAAUUAAAGAAAGAAAAAAGCACGCCUAUUAAGCUAUUCUUGAAGCAAAACUCGGACUGUUGGUUUCAACGAGAUACAGACGCUCAAAGCAAAGGUUCAUAUUCAGAACCCACAGACCUCAUCCUGGCUCCGCCCUUGAGGAGAUUGCUUGUUUCCUUUUCUUUAUUAAAAAAAAAUCAGGUAAAGUAACAUUUAUUUUUAUUAAGAAACUUCAGAAAAAUACCAAGGAGGUACUACUAAAAUACAAGCAAAUACAUAGGAUAUUGAACUCCUGCAUGUCUGUGAAAUUUAAAAACUCAAUCAGGUCUUCUACUACACUUCCCUUAACCGAAAAUUACAAAUUUUGCAAGCAUCUAUUUCAAACAUUGGAGAUGUGGAGCCUCUGAUUUUCAAAGCAUCUUUGUUUCUUUCUUCGAGGAAUGGUCGUCCAUAUCUUCUUCUCGCUUUUGCUUACCUGUUGACUCGCCUACUUUCCAACAGACGUCUAAUUCUAUUAGGCAUUACCCACUUCACACCAUAGAUAUUUUGGAAGAUAUCCAUAUCUGUCCAGUUUGUGGAGAAACGCGGUUUACAGAUUCUUGAAUUUCUUAACAAAUAAAAACCCUGCUGCAUAAGGCAUGUCCUCUUCUAUGUAGCAUAUCCUGAGCAAGACAUCUAUUCAAGGCUGCAAUCCAUCCAAAACCACCAGCUUUUGUAUGUGUUUUGGUCUUCCAAAGCACCUUCCAAGGCCAUGAUACCUGCCACUGACCAGUAUGUUGUUGAAAAAGUUUGUAGCAGAUUUUAACAGAAAAUUUCUCCUCUCUAUUGGCGCUCUAUAUCUGAAUCCACUCUGCUUUCGUCCAAGGUUAGAGGUUCUAGAAGAUUGAGUAGUUGACAGGCAUCUUCCACUUCCCACUCAUUGACUUCUGAAGUUAAGUUGCAAGGCGGCUUCUGAAUUACUUUCCCCGUGUCAAAAUAGUUGGCCCUUGUUGACUUGACACUCCCUUUAAGAAAAUAGAAUUUAUUAAAAUCUUAUUUUACAAAAUUGGCCUUAUUAAUUAUGCUUUAAAAUAUAAAUUUGAGUAUAUACACUUUAUGUAGUCAUUUAAUGAUAGGGGUAGUAUUGGAAAAACAUAAUUCUCUUGAUUUCUUAAAUAGGAUAACUAAAUUGACACAAAUAAUUUUAGCAAGAGGGUCAACUAUUUUGAAACAGGGGGAGUACAUUCUGCAAUACUACAGAGUUUGUUUUUAGAAAUACUAUAUAAAUGGGGAACAUUUUCCAUCAGUUUCUCUUCUCCAGCCUGAUACCUCUGCCCGGAAUCUAGUUUUGCUCAUGUAUCGAAUCUCCUCCUUUAUGUUUUGUUGUAAGAUAGGCCAUAAAUUACUUAUAUAUUUCCACAAACCAGCACCUUCAUAUGUAUUAGAUUGGGAGAGCUAAGUUGCUCGGGCUCGGGUGCGGCUCUACGAUACGGUUACGGAUCUAGAGGUCGGAUUCUUUAGUCUCAAUUUAAAGAUUUGGGGAUAUGGAUCUAGGGAUGGAUACGGGUGCAGGGAUUUGGCGAAAAAUAAUUUAAAUAUCUAAAAAUAGAGUUAUAAAACAUAAAUUAUGAGAUAUUAUGUGGAAAACUUAGGAGAAAAUAUUGUCAAAGAAGAAAAUCCUGAUAGGAGAUAAAGGAAAAGCAAUAACAUAGGAAUUUAUAUAUACAGCGUAUUCCAUUUUCUUCAAUUUCACCUUAGCUUUUGUUUUGAUUAUAGAAUUUCUUAAAUCUUUCUGAACUUUACCUGUCGAUUUUGGUCAAAGUAUCCAAAAUUGGUUGACCAGAACGGGUACGGAUCCCACACCCACACCCACACCCAUGUUGUGUCGACACGCGUGUGGCACCGAAAGUGAAAAGUCCGAGUAACUUAGUGGGGGAGUGCUUGUUCCUCCUGCUGGGUUUCUUUCUGUGAGCAGAGUACUACUCUACUUAAAAUAGAAAAUGAAAUGGAAUUCAAAUUUUCGAGAAAAAGAAACCGCAGAAAGCUACUAACUUGUCAAAUCCUUUCCCGCAGCAAUCCUCUCACCAUCUUUUGAAGUCUCCAUCCACAGUGAAACAGAAAAGUAAUGUGGACAGUAAUGAAGAUUCACAGAGUGCAGAUAAAUCUCACAAUUAACUGUCACCAUAGGAUAUAGUAAGUAGGUGUGUAAGAUAGCAUAAAUGCCUAUUUAUGCAACUACGAAUUUCUCCUUCUUUUCCUUUCUGACGGUGGAGUGCUACAUUGGAUAAUCAGUUAAGUCUAUGAAGCAUUAUGAUCUAAAAAAAUGGUCAAGCUUUAUAUGCUUUUCCUUCUAGAUAUAGAAGGUUAAUGGUGUUCGAAAUCCCCUAAUGGGCUUGCAGGACAUAUGUCCAGAGGGUCAAAAUACAAAGUAAAAUGAGAAGCUCCAAAUUGUUUUAUUUUCCAACCUUGGCUUGCAUUGAAGAAACUUUCUUCUUCUUUUCGUUGUACACAUGUACGCGCACAUGCAUACACAAACACCUAUUAUAUAUAAAGAUUGCAUUGAACAAAGCUUCUGGUACAUACUAAUUAUACCCGAUUCUCUCCAGAAAGUUAUUACACAAGGAGCAAGGCAAUCCGAAUUCAUUCUGUGGAAAAUCAAUAAGCAAUCUCUUUGGAAGCAUGUUCUAGACAAAAUGUACCAUGCUGCCCUUAAUUUGAGAUUGAGAAUAACAAAUGAGCGGGAACAGGGAAAAGAGGUUUGUAUAGUGAUCUCUCUUUGUAUCUGUUGCUUGCUUUUUUUUGUUAUUUUUGCGUUCAUCUUCUAUCAUCAUGAACUUUGCAAGUGUUGAUGAGCAGAUAACGUUUAUGUUACUGAACCAAAUAAUUAAUUAUUUCAUGAUUACGGAAACAGUAUGCAUCUGCAUUUUAGGUUCAGUCUCAUCUAGAAAGAUAAUUGAGUGAGAACAAAGUUCUCCUCCUUUUGUUCAUCUUAGACAGACACAUCAAUUUGCUAUGAAUUGGUCAGCCUACAGUCUGGCACGAACCAAAAAGGAGUUCAAAGUGAAGAAAAUAGUCUUCCUAGUUCUACUUUGAGACAUCAGGGGCGGCUCAACAAACAUGGAGGCCUAAAGCAAAACAUCAAUGAGAGCUCUUACGAUUUUGUUAUAAACAAAAAUAAUUAUAUUUUGUAUAAAAAUACCAAUUUUUCUCUUUUUCAUAUUCAAAGUGGGAGUGACUUCGCUAGAAGACAAGAUGUGUGAAACAAGAUUUAGAUGGUUCGGGCAUGUGAUAGGGAGAAGCAUGGAUGCCCCAGUGCGAAGGUGCGAGAAGUUGGCUAAGACCGAACAAAAUAUUGGAGGGAGGUGCCUAGACAUAUCAUGGAACAAUUACAGCUUACUGAGGACAUGACUUUAGAUAGGAAGGUGUGGAGGACGCGUAUUAGUGCAGAAGGUUAGUAGGAUGGGGGCUACUAGUUGUAGCGUUUCACGAAUAGUAUCUUGCUCUUGGAGUUCUUGGGUGUUGUUUGUGGUUUUGGGUAGAUAUUUGGUGGUAUUAUUUGGUGAUAAUCUUGUUUUUGCUACUUCUGUUGUUUUGUUACUGCCUUUUGUUUCUUGUUCUUAUAUUAUGUCUUUUCCUGCGUUGUUUGGUCUAGAGUCGGGGUCUAUUGGAAACAACCUCUCUAUCUCACCUUUGAGGUAGUGAUAUGGACUACGUACAUUCUAUCCUCCCCAGACCCCACCACGUGGGAAUAUACUGGGUAUGUUGUUGUUCAUAUGCAAAAUUUAAAAUACUCUCUUUCCAAUAUGUAUGAUAUUUUUCGUUUUUCGAGUUUCAAACUUUCUGACUUUGAUUGUGUGCUUAAAUUUAGUGUCUUUAAACUUUUUGAAAUAAAAAUUUACAUACUUGUAAACUAUGUAUACGUAUAUAAAAAGUACAAUAAGUUAUAUUUAUUAACAAUUUAAAAUAUUUUAAAAAAAAUAUAUGAAAAAUUACCAUCAAAGAAUAACUCAUUUAACUCUACAAAAUCCAAACAUCGCACAUAAAUCGAGAUAAAAGAGUACUCCGUUCCUAAAUAAGUGAUGUUUUACUCUUUUCAUUUUGUUCCAAGAUAAGUGGUGUUUUAGAUUUUAUAGAAGAAAUUAUCUUAUUCUUCUAAAAUUGCACUUGCUUUAAUAUAUGGAGUUAUAUACCAUUAAAGAAUCACCUCUUUUUUUUCAAGGUAUUUAAUUAGAGGUAAGUUAAUAAAAACACUUCUUAUUUUCUGGUAUAAAUGAGUAAUUCAUUAAAAGGAGUACUCAAACUAAAAAGACCACUUAUUUAGAAACAGAUGGAGUAUAAUAUAGACAUAUGUUAGGAAAUUUAGAAACUAAUUUUUCUUUACUUUUUAGUUUCAUCUUUAGUAAUUGGAGAAAUGAACGUUGUAUAAAAUGUGUAUAGAAACAGUGUAACUAUUGUAUGUAUAUAUAUAAUUUGUAUAGAAAUUGUAUAGUAGUUGUAUAAAAUACGUAUUUGAAGGUCGGAAAAAAAAAAUUAUAUGAGUAGGACCGGAAGGUCGGAAUGACGGCAUGACCCUACUGAAAAAGAAAAAUUAUAUGGGUAGGGUCGGAAUGAUGGCACGAUCCUACAAAAUCAGAUAUGAGGAUUCACCGAAAAGACACGUGGAACUACACAAAUAAGAUCUGAGGAGUCAUCAAAAAGAUGCACAAUGCUAUGCAACUAAGAUUUGAGAAAGUAGUCCGGAAAGAUGUACAGUACUACGCAAAAUAUGAGUAGUCCGAAAGAUGCACGGUGCCUCGCAAAUCAAAUAUGAGGAAGUAGUCACCAGAUAGAAGCACGCUGGCCCAACUUUUGCUAAAUGAUCAUUGGCCAAACGGGCGGCAUAUUUGUGUAGUAGCCGCCCACCGGCAACGAAGGUUCUUUGAUUCUCUACUAAGAUCGUUAGAGGCUUUGAUACCAUGUGAGAAAUAUCAGAGAAAAAUAUUAUUGAAUUGUUGUUUUUAACAUUAUUACAUUGAGAGACCCUAUUUAUAAACACUACAUUAAUCCUUUUCCAAUUAGGAGACCACUACACUAUAAUCCUCCUUUUUCAACUAGGACAUAAUUGCAAUUCUUUUCCAAGUAGGAUCCUAUUUCUACUUCAAUUCUAACAGUUCUAUUUCUUAGAAUGUGAGAAUGUUGUAUGGAUUCAACUUCUCAGAUAUAAUAAGAGUGUUCUUCCCCCAUGGGGGAGAGGGAUUGGAUUAGGUUUAUGUUCAACCUCAACUUUACAUUGGCUUGAUUACUUGUUCAAUUCAAGUUGCAAAACGUUUUUCUUUCAUUUGUUUGUUACUAUGUCUUGCCAGUAACUUCAUUGUCAUCACCACCACUUCGCUUGCUACACCUAUUUUUGUACCAUGUUAAGGAAGGAUUUGUGCAAGGUUUUUCCCACCUUUAUCUUUUUUUUUUUGUCAGAAUCAGAUACUCGGGGACAAAAUGAUAAUUCUCAAGGGAAUGACGACAAUCUAUUCUAUUUUUGUUCUGCAUUUACCUUCCCCUUCAUUGUAUGACGAUGACAUGAGGGAGAAGUGAGGAUUCAAUUGUUGUUAUUUACCUUUCCCCUUCAUCGACUAUUAGUGGAUUCACAUGUACUAAUGUCUUGGCUGUUCGGUAUUGCUUUUGCUAGAUUCUUCAGAUGCCUAGAGAGAAGCUGGUAGGAGGACUGAGCGACAGACACACGCGCCUAAGAAAAAUUUGGAUUACUCUGGAAUCUUCUUUAAUGAAUCUUGAUGAUGCACUCAUGCUCUUCCAUGACUUCUAAAACAAGAAGAUGAUUUACAUUAUACAUUCUCACCUUGUUUUCCUGAUUAAAAUUAUUUUAGAUGUGCCCUUAGAAUCUUGCUGUCCUGAUUGGAUACAAAAUCUCAUCCAAGAAGUUUUUUUAAUGCAUGUAGGCUAUUUUAUUUGUCCUUGGCUGAUUUCUUGAACCAUAAGGUGACUCAUUAAAUACUGUGCACUGUCUAGUUUGUUGAGUUCCCGCCUCUUUUAUGGUUGGCAAUUAUGUAGGCGACUGAAUAGCAAUAUUGAAUUUCUGUUCAAGCCAAUCAGGUUAUGGAAACUAAACGGUCAAUUUUCUACUAAGAAAACAAGUCUCCAGGUGUGUCAACACCUAAAUAUCAGAAGAAUAUUUCGUUCUGUAGGUUGAUCGAUUGGAUAAGAUUGACAUUAGGAGAUAAAACCUAUUACAAUAUUAGAUUUAUUAUUGCAAGUGAUAACAAUUUUUUUAGAUUGCAUUAUAUAACAAAGUAGUCAAUCAAUAAUAGAAUAUCAAUUACCCUUAAAAUCUCUCUAAAAAUAGUUUUUCCCUAAUUUAUUCAUUCAUAAUUAACGUGAAAAUUAACCGUUCUAGUUCUUCAUCCAUUAUGAACUUCUUCCUCCUCCAAAGAACAUAAAUCAAUUUCAAGUGAAAUUUAAUAUCAUUCAGAUUAUUUGGUGUUAAUCGUUGACUUUUUUUUAAUUGAAAUAUAGAUUUACAAAUUUUGAUUGCAACAGGUUAUUCCCCCUCCCCCCUCCAAAAAAAAAAAAUGAAAAUCAACAUCACGUUGUUCCCUCCAGAAAAAAAAAAAAUCAACAUCACGCUUUCUGCAAUAUGGAAGGUGAUAAUUUUCUUUUAAUAUGGACAAAGAUGGAACGUCCAGGUAAUUUAUUUUAAAAAAAAAAUUAAAAUUUUUGUACAAAACUGAAGAAAAACUUGUGUAUACUCGAUAUAUAUUUGAUAUUAACAGUAGUAUCGAGUAUGGCGUGGAAAGAUUUUUAUGUGUGUUAAAGGCAUUUUAAUAUCCGAUGUGUUUUUUUUUAAUGUCAAGUGGUAUAUUUUAGUGUACCACUUUGAUGCACGAAUUAUCCUUUCUUGUUAAAAUUUGGUAUAAAUUAUAGUACAUAUUUGGUAUUAUCAGUAGUGUGGACUGUGGUAUAGAAUAUUUUUUGUUUUUGUUAAUAGGCAAUAUUAAAAAUUUGUUUUUUCUUCAUAUUGAAGUGGUAUAUAUUAUUAUAUGCAUUUGAUAGUAUGCUAUGUACUAACACUCUGUUUGGAUGGUGGUUUGCCAUGGUUUCAUAAUGUACAGUAUGAUAUGGUAUGGUAUGAUACUAUAUAGUAUAGUACAAUACAAUAUUUGGAUAGACUGUAUCAUUACUGCUGUUUAAUGAUAAUUUUUUUGUUUGAGUUGAUGGUAUGGUACUGUAUCGUAAUGGGUAAGUUUACUAAAAUACCCCUAGUUAUUAUAAAUUUUAAAUUUCAGAAAAUAAGCUUGUUGUUAAGACAAUUUAAUAAUUGUAGGUCUAUCCUUUCUUUUUAAAAUUUGGUAUAAAUUAUAGUACAUAUUUGAUAUUAUCUUUUUUUGGUAAAAAAGAGAUAAUUUCAUUGAUCAUUAGUCGGGAUUAGGGGGAUUGGAGCUCCUAUCAGUAGGAGGAGGCAAAAAGUUAGAGUUCAAGGCUAAAUCCAUGCCUUGUGGAUUAUAGUUCAAAUGUUUAACAAAACGAUUAAAAGUUUUGCCAAUGGAGUCAUUGUUUACAAUAUUGGCUGCAAAAGGUGGUGCAUUAGUUAGCACAGUAGGGGCUGGUAAGUACUCGUUUCUAGUUUCUUUCUUCGCCAAGCAAUCCGCUACUGUGUUCUGCUCCCUGAAUAUCUGUGUUGGUGCUGUUGCUCUCAGCUCGUCUAUCAAUGACCUGCAUUCGGACACAAUGUUAGAAUAAAGUGGGUGGUUUUUUUGUAAAAUAGUAAUGUCUAUUGUUGAGUCCAUCUCUAUGUCAAAAGCUUUGAGGUUGUGCUCUUUUGCUACUAAAAAGCCUGAUCUAAGGGUCAAUAGCUCAGCCAUUGUUGGGGUUGUGUGGGGGAUGUGUUGGUGGUAUCCAAGCACCCAUUCCCCAUUGUUAUUCCUGAAAGCUCCUCCCAGGUCCUGGAUUGGCAGUUGCAGAACCAUUAAUAUUGAGUUUGAGUCCCCUAGUGGUUGGGGGUUCCAUUUGAGACUGAUGACUGCAUUAGUAUGAUGCCUUUUGGUGUGGUUUGUCUUGCAGACAAGGGUGAAUUCAGUGGCAUCAGCAAUAACUGCCUCAACAUCGAUGGGUCUAUGUUUGCUGUAGAAGGGGUUGUCAUUUCUAGUCAAUCAAAUAGCCCAAAGACAGUAGGGUAAGAGGGUGACCCAAGUAAGUCAGUUAUUGAAGGGUUUCCCCUACAGGGCAUCCCAUAUUUUCUCCCAGGCUUCCAUGUUAUGCCAGGUUGAGGAAAAUUUGUAGGUGCUCUUGAUUUGGAUACUACUCUAGAAAAGGAGUGCAUUGCUGCACUUGAAGAAAAUGUGAGGGAGGUUUUCCACACUGUUGUUGCAGAAGUGGCAUUAUGUGGAGACAUCAAUGCCAAUGUAGUUAAGGUAACUACUUGUGGGAAGUCUUUUGUGGGUUAAAAGUCAUAAGAAGGUUUUGAUUUUAUUGGGGGUGUUUGCUCUCCAAAUUCUCGAGAAGGUGGAGUGAUGGUUAUCAAGCUUAACCUUCGAGUGGUGUUUGGAUAACAGAGAGUACAUGCUGCUGGUGGUGAAUUUGGCAUCAGGGGUGCAGUUCCAUAUAGCAGUGUCAGGAAUGUUAUUAUGGGGAUUCGUGACCAUACUAGUGAUGCUUUGAGUGAUGAUGUUAGGGAUUUGGAAGGGGAUAAUGGAGAAGUCCCAAUUGCCAUUAUUGUACACUUCUUGAACAGUGAUGUCUAGAGUCUGGCUAUUAAUUGGUCCAUGGAUAAUACUGUUGAGACUGUCAAGAUUGGAGAUCCAGGUGUCACCCCAAAAGCUCACCUUGUCUCCCCUACCCAACCUCUACCUAAUUCUUAAGGAGCAGUCCUGCCAAGCCCUCGUAAUGCUCCUCCAGGUUCUGGAGCUUAACUUUUUGGUGGGAGAAGUACCAUGGUUGUUGUAGUACUUAUUAAGCAACACUUGACCCCAAAAAGAAGUUGGAUUAUGGAAAAGUCUCCAAGAAAGGUUGGCAUGCAUAGUUGUGUUCCUAAGUUCACUCCUGUGAUGGCUAAGGCCUCCAUUUUUCUUGUGGUUGGUGAUGGUUUCCUAUGGAUUGUGGUAUAGAAUAUUUUUUGUUUUUGUUAAAAGGCACUAUUAAAAAUUUAUUUUUUCUUCAUAUUGAAGUGGUAUAUAUUAUUAUAUGCAUUUGAUAGUAUGCUACGUACUAACACUCUGUUUGGAUGGUGGUUUGUCAUGGUUUCAUAAUGCAUGGUACAGUAUGAUAUGGUAUGGUACCAUAUAGUAUAGUAUAAUACAAUAUUUGGAUAGACUGUAUCGUUCACUGCUGUUUAAUAAUAGUUUUUUGUUUGAUUUGAUGGUAUGGUACUGUAUCGUAAUGGAUAAGUUUACUAAAAUACCCUUAAUUAUUAUAAAUUUUAAAUUUCAGAAAAUAAGCUUGUUGUUAGACAAUUUAAUAAUUGCAGGUCCUAUCUAAAAUCAAAACCAUCUCUAUCUAUAUUACGCAAAGCAUUCAAAAAUGAGUAAGAUGAUGCAAAUACUUCUAUUGAACUUCACAACAUUUAGAACCAAUUAUCCAUAGUUGAAUUAAUCACAAUGUUCAAAGAGGGAAACAGACAGAUGUAAUGGGAGGAUCUCAACACAUAAAAACUUUCAAAUUAACUUGGUAAACAUGGGCAUCCGGCAACAAUUGAAGAAGAAGAAGACGAAAAAACGAAGAACCUAGAGGAGAACAACGUAGAGGAGAGAUUGAGCAGAUAAACGUAAAAAUAAAAAUAUAUUAGGGUCAUAAGUAAUAUAGGAUAAAGGGUAAAAUAGGAUUAUAAAAUAUUAUAUAAGGGUAUAAUUGAAAAAAAAAAAUAACAAAACCAUGGGAUACCACCAAAUCAGUGGUUCUGAAAAUUGAAGGAUUUCAUGGUUAUCAAACCAUGAAACAUACCAUACCAUACCUUUUAGAAAACAAUCAAAAUAAACAUGGUUCCCUUGAUAAUCAUAUCAUACCAUACCAUGGGAAACCACCAUCCAAACAGGUACUAAGUUUUUGUACGUGAAUGGUAGCAUAUUUAUUUAUUUUUGAUAUAUUUUUUUAACUUAUUUUUAUAAUUAAGGGGGUGGAUAUCCACAAAAUUUCUACAUAUUGUUAUCAAUGGUCUGAAACGGUUUAUAUUGUGUCUUCUAAAUAUGAAAUGUAGUUGUGGAUAAUUUUAACUAGAUAAGACCCCUUUAAAUACGGAAAGAUCUACAAGUUUGAUAGUUAUACUCAUUCAACGCAACAUCUUUGAGUGACAUGACUUCGAAUGAAGAAGCUAAAAUUAUAAAUACAUCGAACAUGAUGUGAUUAGUUAUUUUUGUUCUUUCAUUAAUAUACACAUUGGUUAAAUCGUAUUGUACGAAAGAAGAUAUUAUAAAUUGACAUUACAUGAAAAAAAAUAUAAAUUGGUACAAUGAUCUGAUUAGUUAUUUUGUAUUUUAUGAAAAUGAUAUAUUAAUUGGUACCAUGUGGUUGUAGCAGUGUAUAAAUUUAAUAUAUAAUAUAGUAUUUUAAGUAUUAGGUAAUAUAGUUUUUCCAAGGUUGAGUGUUUGACAACGUGCGUUAUUGAGAAUUUCGUAGCUAAUUUAUGUUCUUUAUGUAGUAAUGGAAGGGAUAUAUAAAUUAGUACCUAAUUAGAAUAGCAUAGUUUAAAAAUAAAAAUUUGUAGAUUCACGCCAUACACUAAAAUAAAAAAUAACGUAUAAUAUUUGAUGAGCGUUAGUUUCUACACCAAAUUCUGUAAUUACUAUACUCAUUUCAUACGAAUAUAACAUGUAAGAAAUUAUUUUAUAAGCGUUGAGCGGAAUAUAAAUAUUUCAUAUUGAUUUUAUACAGUUUUUCAUAAAUGAAAAUUUGGAGAAAAAUUCUAAGUAAUACUUAAUAUUAUGAUUAACGUUUUUAUUUCUAUUGUGCACGUAAUAUUGGUUAUAUAAAUUGUAGUGGAUAAUUUUUUUGAUUUAUUAUUCUCUUAUCAGUGAAGAAGAAUUGCCAGAUAUUUUUUGAAAGAAUAUCAACAACCCUUUCAGAAGAUAUAUAUUCUUUCAUAAUUUAAAGAGAAUUGAUUUAGUUAAUUUAAUGUUAUUCUUAAAGUCCCUAUAAAUUAGCCCAUAUAACUUGCCUACUAUCUACCCACGUACAAUAAGCUUAAAUUUAAGCCUAUUAAAUUAAUUUAAAAAAGAAUUUAGAUAAAUAAAUAUUUAAAAUUCUGUAAUAAAUCUAAUUUUUUAUGCAUUGUAAUUAUUUACUUAAUUUUAUAAAUAUUUAAAAGGUACAUUUCUAAUCUGUAAUAAAUAAUCUUAAAAGUAAAUCUAGGGUCAUUUUUUCUUGACAUAAAUCUUAUUAAAUAAUGACGAACCUUUUAUCAACUUAAUAAUAUCCAUCAUGUUGGGCUCAGCAAGCCUAAAGAUACUCUUAUAUUGUGUGAUAUUGUCCGCUUUGAGUUAAGUCCGCACGGUUUUUUUUAAAAGGCCUCACAUCUUUAAAAGAUCUUACACCUUAUAUGUAGCUUCUCAGUCCUUCAACUACCAAAGUGGGACUUUUAUUCGCCCACCCAAUAAUCUUUUCCUCGAACUAAGUUCAUGUGGUCCAUCACCACAAUCCACGGGUCUAUUUUUGAGAUUCGCUAUGUGUUACCCACACCAAACAAUCUCUCCCCUCAAAUUAAGUUCCACAUAAUCUAUCACCAUGAUUCAUGGGCCAAUUUUUGAGAAUCAUCAUGUGUCACCCAUACGAUUUGAGUAUUUAUGCCAACUGAAGUCCACUACUAGCUUCUUCUAGUGUGUGCAUCUCAAAGCUCGCAAAGAUAGCAAAUUGAGCCCCACACUCCAUCACUCCACCAUAUCUUCAUACUUAUCCCACUGAAUCUGGCUGCUUAUACAAGUUGUUGGGCUCAACAAGCCCAAUGACACUUUUACAUGGUGUGAUAUUGUCUGCUUUGAGUCAAGCCAACACUAUUUUCUACAAAAAAACCUCACGCCAUUAAGAGAUCCUACACCUUAUAAGUAGCUUACAGUCCCUUUAGCUGCUAAUGUGAGACUUUUAAUGUCACACCCAACAUAUCAUUAAUUAUUUUUGUAAGAAAGUAAUUAGAAGUUUAGGUUGAGGUGAGAAAUUCAAUCCAAAUUUGUUUGAUUCAUCUAAUUAGUUUUGAUGGAUGGAAUGGAAUAUGUUAUAUUACAAUUGAAAAUGGGACAAGUUUGAGCACAUCAUAUCUUAGAGAAAAUCACAACACACAUAAUCCACAUAUGAGGUUGUUGGAGCAUGAAAAGCAACAUUUGUGAAGGAGUUGAUGACAAGGAGAUUCGUAGUUCUUUUCCGUCACGUAUGAAGAGAAAGGUUGCCUUAUCAUUCACCACGGAUGGUUCAUUGAAGGUAAAAAGAAGUAUCAUUGUUUUCACUAGCCAGACUCCAAGAAAUAAAGAAGGGGCAUGACGAAGCCACACAACCUUCGAAGAAAGUCAAAGAGAAGAUUCAAACUUUGUUUAUGACAGUGGAAGAUAAUAAAAAACUAUUUCUUACAUUACUACACGUGCAUUACCUCUUAACAUUAAUGUAUUUCAUACUCGAAUGGAUUAUCAAUGAUUCUUUGACUAUUAUAUCACUAAAUGAGACAUACAUAUAGGUUGGAUAAAUCAAUAAUAGAACUUGAUUUGCUACAUUAUUCAUGAGUAUUACCUCCUAAUAUCAACGUAUUUCCUACUCGAAUAGAUUAUCCAUGUUUAUUUGACUACUAAUCACUAAACAAAACAUAUAUAGGUGGACGGAUCAAUAAUAGAACUUGAUUUCUUAUAACGCAUAUAUUACCUCCUAACAUCAAUAUUUUUCAUAAUCGGAUGAAUUAUCGAUGUUUCUAUGACAAAUAUAUCACUACACGAGAUAUACAUAGGUUGGACAGAUCAGUAAUAGAACUUGAUUUCUUAUAUUACUACACAUGUAUUACCUCCUAACAUCUAUGUAUUUCAUACUCGAAUGAAUUAUCGGUGAUUCUUUGACUACUAUAUCACUAACUAGGACACAUAUAUAUUGGAUAAAUCAAUAAUAAAGCUCGAUUUGUUAUAUUAGUACAUGAGUAUUACCUCCUAAAAUCAAUGUAUCAUAUUCAGAUGGAUUACCGGUGUUCCUCUGACUACUAUAUCACUAUGCAAUAUAUACAUAGGUUGGAUAGAUCAAUAAUAGAACUUGGUUUGUAAAAUUAUUAUGUUAGUAUUACCGUUUCAUAUCAAUGUAUUUCAUACUUAGAUUGAUUAUCGAUGUUUUUUUGACUAUUAAACCACUAAACAAGACAUACAAAAGUUGGACAAACCAAGAAUAGAACAUGAUUUCUUAUAUUACUGUAUGUGUGUUACCUCCAAUCAAUCCAUUUCAUAAUCAGAUGAAUUAUUAGUGAUUAUUUGACUACUAUAUUACAGAUGCAGGCUUACAUUGGUUGAAUAGAUCAAUAAUAAAGCUUGAUAAUAGGUUGAGUACACCAAUAAAUUAUUUAAAAAUUAUACAAAAAAAUUCAAAAAAAAAUCUUUUUUUUCUUGAACAUUCCAAGUCAAAGAGUGUUUUGUAAAAUAAAAUGAAGAAAAUAUAAAAUUACACGUGUUUCAAUUUAAUAGAAUUGGAGAUUUACUAGUGGCAAGUGAAUUAAUAUAAAACAACACGUGUCGCACUUUAGAGAAAAAGAAAAUACAAAAGAACUUAAACUUAGAAAAGUCAGAAAUAAUGGCCCAGUGAGGAUGACGAAAAUACGACAACUUCGCUUAUAUAUAUUAGUAAUGUCAAAAGAAGAAAAUAACUUUAUAUAAGAUAAAACUAUCUUUAGAUAAAUUUACUUUCACAAUAAAUAAAUUAUUUAAAAGAUGAAAUAAAAUUUAAACGAAUUGAAUCCUCUUUAAUAGAAGCUUAAAAGGCAUAUUUAGCUUCUUCUUCAAACCCGUCCCACAACCCCAUAACACACCCAACCGGCCUGUCAUUCCCUCCACUACCUUCUUCUUCAAACACCUCCCCACCCCCAUCUCUUUCUUCUUAUGCAAAACGUCUCAUCCCUUCCCCUCUUCUUCGACCCCAAUCCCUUAUGCACCUCAAUUCUCCUCUUUUUUUAAUUUUUUUUUAUAAACUAAAAUAAUUAAAAUCAUCAAUAAAAAUUGAUUAAACCAUCGAACUUCAUUCCUAUCAUAAUUAAGAUUUUUGUUUAAAAAAAAUAAAUCACAUUAAUAUAUCUUAUAAUUUUAUAAAUUAUUUAAUGUUGUAUUCAUGAAAAUUAAAAUUUUUCUAGGCUAAAAUCUUGAAAAAGAGGAUUGUAUGUAAGAAGAUUAAAAUUUUUUGAGGUUAAAUUUAUUUCUUUAAUUAGUAAAAAUUAAAGCUAAUCAAUGGAGAAAACAUUAAUGGGGUUGAUGGGGCGAGGUGAGGGUGUUCAUGAAAGAGAGAGUGAUCCAAUAGAGUCAGAACACCUUUCUAUCUAAAAGAAAUGGUGCUCGAUGAAAGGAUCCAAAUUCCAUACUAUGCUGUGGGCUGGGGAGAGAGCUGCUCUGCUAAGCUGGGCGUUCAGUGUUCUUAUGAAGGAAGCAUACUCGAAAGAGAAUUGAAAGGGCCACAGGGGGGUGGGGGGGGGGGGGGGGGGGGGGGGGAAGAACAUUGAAAUUUAUAUAAUUUUUAAGUGGCAAUACAUAUAGCUGAGGUGGUAAUACAUGGCGCAUGUGAGAUACAUCUUUUAUAAUGAGACGGAUAGUACAAUUUUAGGGUAGUAUUUAAUUCAUUUAAAAAUUAUUUAAGGGGAUAUUUAAAUGUAUGUAAAGUUAGUACUAAAGUAAGUUUGACUAACAAGUUUAGGGGUGGUUUCAUGAAUUCUUUCAUUUGGUUAUGGGUGUUGAAUUUUAUAGUGGUUCUUUGCAAUUUUUGUGGUGCAUGACAAUGGUGGUGAUGUGAUUCUGAUUGUGAAUUUAAUUGAAUUUAUGGUGAUUGUUUGCAAUUUUUUAUGGUGACAGUGAUUGUGGAAUGAUUUUGAUGGUGAAUUUGAUUGUGAAUGGUGAAAUCUAUGGUGAUGGAGCCAUAAGUUUGGUAAAGAUGGCGACAAUGGUAAGUUUGGCGACGCAUAGUGAAGAAGAAGUAAUUUGGGUAACAUGAAAUUAUUAAGUUUAGUGGAACUUUAAUAAUUUUUUAUGUAGUAUUUACAAGUUCCCCACUGUGUGGGAUACACUGAGUUUUUUGUUGUUGUUGUAGUAUUUACAAGAUAUCUUCUCUAAUAUUUUUUUUGUAUUCUUUUAGGUUUGGCAGUGAAAAUAUUCUUCAAAUUCGACUCUAGUACUCAACAAAUUCAUACAGGCCUAUCAAUGUCUACACAACGACUAAACGGUUACUGAACUUAAAAAAUAAAAUUAAGAAAAUAGAUGAAGAGUAACAGAACUACUAAACAUAGAAAUUAUUAUUUCAAGAGUAGCAUAAUUUUGACUGGCUUCAGAAUAGUGUAAGAAUUAAGUCAUUUUUAUGCAUAUCCCUCCAGAUUAAUUUGACUCUGAUACCACACAAAUUUUCACAACGAUAAUGGAGAUAUGAUGUAUUUGCACGGGAUAGCUCAAACAUACCUCCUCAAUAUAAAGGAAAAAGUCAACACUCUUAAAAAAAAACACUCUUUCAACAAUUAAAAGGUUACUAGGCAAUAAAUAUGUAGACCUCACAAGAAAUUCGCAAACAACUAUGCAAUAACAAAACAAAAGACACAAAUCUUCGUAAAAUAACAAGUCAAAAGCACAAAAAUCAGCAAUGUAGAAAAAGACAAUUAUAUUUUCAAGAUAAGAAGUGGAAGAAAAAGACUCGUGUAAAAUAACUCUGCUACUCGUGGACACAUGUAGAAUAGAUAUUUAGUCAUUGGCUACUCAUGAACACAUAUAGAAUAGAUAUUUAGUUAUCUACAAUUCAUGGACACGUGUAAAAUAGAUAUUAUGUCUUAGAUAAUGGAUACAUGUAAAAUAGAUGGAUAUAUUAGUUAACUUAGUCGGCAUUUGAAGUCUAUUUAAGACCUUUUAACUUGUAUCACCACAGGAUAUUUGAAAAUACCUUACUCACUUUCAUAUUGCCCAUCCUUUUCCCUAUUUAUUUUGUUUUCCUCAAAUCAAUAAAAGCUUUUGCAAGUAUUUUCUCUACUUCUACUUUGCUAAUUUUCUCUGCUUCUACUUUGCCACAUCUUAAGUGUUUUUAAAGUUCGUUCUUAAUACUUUGCUUGUUUAAUUUUGUUUAUUAUUAGUGUUGGUUUGACUACUAAAUCACUAAAAGCCAUACAAAGUUGACGAAUUAAUAAUACAACUUAGUUUCUUACAUUACUACAUGUGUAUUACCUCCUAAUAUUAAUGCAUUUUUUAUUCGGAUGAAUUAUUGAUGAUUCUUUGCCUAUAUCUCUAAACGAGACAUAUGUAGGUUGGAUAGACCAAUAAUAAAAUUUGAUUAAGCAACAUAAAGCAGUUGAUAUUGGCUCAGGUCAUGGAAUGAAGCCAUUUUGCAGGAGAUUGAAGAAAAUUUGAGAAAAAUAUAGCAGAAAUUCAAGAUAUGAGUGAACUCAAUAUUGCAUAUUCUUGUAUUGAUCUUGUACUAACAUAAAUACUAAUGAUUCAUCUUCUAAGAAAAAAAUUUGCCCUAUAUACACUGAAGCGAUGUCAUAUGCUUUACUCGUGGUUUUGACUUUCUUGAAUUUUUGGAGAUGGAAUAUAUUAGGAUUUUGGAAUGUAAUUUGAUAGAUGGACUAAUCCACCUGAGUCAUAAAACCUAAAUUAGGUAAGAUUAGGUUUUAUGCGAUAGAUGAAAUGGAGAGAUAGAUGAGAUGUCUCUCACCGUAUUGGGGCAGGUUGGAUGAAAUGGAGGCUCGUUUCGAGAAUUUUAUGCAAUAAGAAGGUGCCCCCAAGCUGAAAGGCAAAUUCUAUAUAGUUUUUGUUCGGCCUGCUAUGUUGUAUGGAGCAGAGUGUUGGCCGGUUAAGAAUUCUCAUAUCCAAAAAUUGAAGGUGGCGGAAAUGAGGAUGUUGCGUUGGAUGUAUGGAUUCACAAGGGCUGACAGGGUUAGGAAUGAAAUUAUUCGGGAGAAGGUAGGAGUGGUAUCAAUGGAGGAUAAAAUACGGGAAGUGAGGUUGAGAUGAUUUGGUCAUGUGAUGAGGAGGGACACGGAUGCCCCAGUUCGUAGGUGUGAGAGGUUAGCCUUGGAUGGUUUCAAACAGGGUAGGGGUAGAUCAAAGAAAUACUGGAGAGAAGUGAUUAAAUGUGACAUGGAGCAGUUACAGCUGACGGAGGACAUGACCGUGGAUAGGAAGAUAUGGAGGAGAGACAUUAGGAUAGAGGGCUAAGGGUAUGGAUGAGUAAUAGUCAGUAAUUAGGUGGACUUCGGUGCCAUUUGUGUGGUAAUGUAAAAAUUUUUGUGGAUGUCGUACCUAUGUUACUUUAUCAUGUUCUAUGUUUUGGAUGCUUCUGUAUACUGUCUUUUAUCUUGAGCUGGGGGUCUAUCGAAAACAGCUUCUCUACCUCUUUUGAGGUAGUGGUAUGGAUUGCAUACACUAUACUUCCCCAGACCCCACUAUGUGGGAAUAUACUGAGUUUGUUGUUGUUGUUGUUGUUUAUUUUAAGGUAGCAACUUUUUUUUUCCUAAUGGAUAACACUUAGGGGUGUGCAAAAAUCUAACCGACCGAUAAAUCGAACCGAUAAAAAUGUUAUUGGUUUAUUGUUAUUGGGCUAUUGGUUUUUAAUGGUUUUAUAAAAAAAAUUUAUUGGGUUAUUGGUUCGGUUUGAUUUUUUCUUAUUGGGUUAUGUUAGGUUCGAAAUAGAAAGGGCAUCAUGCAGAAUCUAUUAGUUGCAAACUAUUGAGACGAUAAAUCAGACGAAAAGAAAAACAUAUUAAAAACAUGAUUAUUAUAUAGUUUGGUCAAUUGACCUACAUAUAAAAACCUAAUAUAAAAAAAAAAUAAAAAACUAUUAGAGAGAAAAUCUCCCCCUAAACAAAGACACUUUAAAGACUAUAUUGUGGAUGCUAUUAUGUUAUGGUAUGAGAAGGGAUCUUCUAUUUAUAGAUGUCCAAAACCUUUCCUCCAAGAAAGAGGUUAGUCAAAUAUGAAAAAAAAAAUUAUAUUUUUUCUUUCAGGAAAAGUAAAAGUAAUUAUGGCAACUUUUAUUUUCCUUCUAAGAAAAAAUAAAACUUAAAUAUAGUAAGAAAAUCAGGCAAAAAUCCUAACAAAUCUCUCCUUUUUGGCUUGAUUUUCUUCAAAAUAUUCUUGAUCCUCCUUCUUCUUGUGCAUGAUCUUUGUUCUUCAUAUAUCAUUGCUUCUUACCAUGAUUAAAAAUUAAUAUGGGUUAAAAUUGAAGCCCUAUGCAUUAAAAAUAGAAGCACAGGUUGAUAAGAUUAAAAGUGAAGCCUUGUACAUUGAAAGUGAGCACAGGUUAAGAGUGGAGCUCAUGCGUUAAAAAUAAAUGCACGAGUUGAAAGGAACCCAGGCGUUUAAGCAAGUAUGGGUUGAAAAUUAGAGCCCAUAAACAUGGGUUAAAAAUUGAUUUUGGUUUUAAAGAUGGAUAAGCAGCAAGAUUAUUGAAAUUUUGUUUGAAAUUUUUUCUCUACAUGUAGUUUGACAAAAAUCCUCAUUAUCGCCCAAAUUGUUGCAGCUUGAUUUUGAAAUCGCUUUGAACCUGUUUAAUCUCGUCUCACCACACUAUUGGACCAUUGAACCGUAAGCUUUGAUACCACUUGUUGGGUUCGAAAUCGAGAGGGCACCAUGCGGAAGCUAUUAGUUGCAAACUAUUGAGACAAUAAAUCAGACGAAAAGAAAAACAUACUAAAAACAUGAUUAUUAUAUAGUUUGGUCAAUUGGCCUACAUAUAAAAAUCUAAUAUAAAAUAAAAUAUAAAACUAUUAGAGAGAAAAUCUCCCCCUAAACAAAGACACUUUAAAGAUUACAUUGUGGAAGCUACUAUGUUAUGGUAUAAGAAGGGGUCUUCUAUUUAUAGAUGUCCAAAACCUUUCCUCUAAGAAAGAGGUUAGCCAAAUAUGGAAAAAAUUAUAUUUUUUCUUUCAGGAAAAAUAAAAGUAAUUAUGGUAACUUUUAUUUUCCUUCUAAGAAAAAAUAAAACUUAAAUAUAGUAAGAAAAUCAGGGCAAAAAUCAUAACAUGUUAUUGGGUAAAUCGAUAACCAAAUGAGAAUAUAUACAUAUAUAUAUAUGACUUAUUAUAUAUUUCUCUUUAAUUUCUACCAAUUAACAAACCUAUUAUUUCAGUUAUAUAAACUCUUAAUUUCUCCUAACAACAUUUCGUUCAAACUUAAAGAUUCUUGUAAAUUAAAACACAUCAUGUAGGAUUUAUGGUUGCAACUAAGAUUUAAUUUUUUUUUAUGUUAGUUACUACUAUUUCUAUUUUAUGAUUAUUUUCUUAUUGGUUAAACCGAAAAUCGAAUCAUUAAGGACUAAAAAUCGAUAAACCAAAAACCGAUAAAAAAUAUCUUAUUGAUUUGGUUAUUGGUUUAACAUAUUUAAAAAUCGAAAAUCGAUAAACCGAAUCGAUAAUAUAUAAAACCGAACCGACCGAUGCACACCCCUAGUAACACUUACAGUUGGUUGUUUAAGAGAAGCUAGAGUUAACUUACGAAAAAAUAUCAAAAUAUACAACUUUAGAUUGUUUAUUGUAAGUCAUAGCAAUACUUCUUAGAUUACAAGUCAUAGCAACUUUUAAAACAAAAAAAAUAAAGAAAAAAUGAAUUUUUUAUUUUAUUAAAAAGACACCCUUAAAAUAAGAUAUCGAUUACCAAAAGAUAUCAAUCUCCCACAAUUUCUCUCAAACAAUUUUUCCAUAUUUCAAAUGAAAAAUAUUAGUUAUACAAAAUAAAAAUGUUUCAAUAUUUUUAAUGAUUUUAAAAUUUUAUAUAUAUAUACACACACAUAUAUUCAAUUAUUCAAUUUUAAAUAUUUUAAGAAUAAUUUAUAUAUAAUUCAUAUACAUAUUCGUUAGAAUUUUUUUCAAAAUUUUCAUGUAUAAAAUUCGUAUAAAAUUAAUAUGAUAUAUCAAUAUUUCGCUCAAGGCUUACUUGUACAUAUUUUGGUGUAUGAAUUGUUUAUAAAAUAUGGUAUAUUUAAUUAGCUUAGAUUUACUGUUAUUUUACGUAUCUAAAAUUUAUAUAUAAACUAGUAAAAUUGGGAACGCUUUGGUUGGUAUGACUAUGACAUUAAGAUUGUAUUAUGAAAUUUUGGAUUUGGCUCCCAUUCAUUACAUCUCCUCUCCAUUUCCUCAAGUGCACAUUUAGAUGAGUAACACUUAUCAUAUCUAAAAUUCAAUGAUUUAGAUUAAUUUACUUGAAUAAGCCUCUGAUUAAUUAUAGUUAUAAAAUAAAUAAGAAAAAAAGCUCUAACCUUGAUAAAAAAAAUCUCAACUUCCACUAAUUUUCGCUCCUCAUUGAUAACAUAAUUUUCAUGGUACAUCCCCAUUUUCUCUGUUUUUUUAUGUGAAAAAUAAAACCAAAUAUAAAGGUGUAAUGAGAUUUUUUAAAAAUGCAUAGUUAAAGAAACAACAAAAUAAAUUUAAAAAGAGACACUAUUUAAAACAUUGUAUUAAUACUACUAUCUAUUAGACAAUAUCUUUUUCCUCUCCAUUUCUCUUUUAUUUUUGACAAAAUUUUAUUCACCAAAAACUUUUUUCCCUUUUUAACUUAAAAGUUGACUUUUCAAAAAAAAAAAAUCCGGUCAAAGUUAUUUUACAAGAUUUCAACAAAAAAUAAAUAAAAGAAUUCAAUGUUAUAUGUUAAAGUACUCCCUCCGUCCUAAAUUAUUCGUGCCAAAUUGAGAUGACACAUUGAUUAAGAAAAAUAAUUAAUAACAUGGUUAGUUUAUCAUAGUACCCCUAUUAAAUAAUGUUUACAUUUUAAUUUAAAGAAAAAGUAAUUAAUGCAAAGGGUAAAACAUGAAAAAAAAAUUAUCUCUUCUUGAUUAAUGAAAAAAGACAAGUAAAAUGAGAAAUCAAAUUAGGAAAUUUGGGAUGGAUAAUUUGGGAUAGAGGGAGUAAUUCAGAAAUUAUAAUCUAAUUUUUUUCUAAAUAUCAAAUUUUUUCAGAUAAUUCUCUUACGUUAUUUUGUCUAUCUUAUAAUGUCUUCUACGUAUUUUUUUUUUACUAAGGUUAUUCACGAUUUGAUUUAAUUUUUAAAUAAAAUUAAAUCAAAUCAAUUAUAUCAAAACCAUAAUAAAGAAAAGUAUAAUUAAAGUAAUAACAUUAAUGAGGGAUUAAAUUAGUGGAAGAUGAAAUUUUUCUUAUCAAAAUUGGUGAAUCUGUUUCUUAACUUGUUCUUUUACUAUGGUUAGGAGGCUUGUUAAGGUAAAUUAAUCUAAACCUUUGAAUUUUAAAUAUGGCAAGUGUCACUCAUCUAAAUAUGCACUUGAAGAAAUGGAGGGAAGAUGUAAUGGAGGGGAGCCAAAUCGUGGAAUUCUUGCUAAUGAGAAACUUGAUCCAAAUCCAGCGAAGUAUUCCCUCCAUUUCAGUGAAUAAAACAUAUAGCAUCCCGUAAUGAAUGUGUUUUAAAGAAAAAAGCAAUUUCAUUACAUAUAAAACAAAAGUAAACUCCUAAAGAAAGACUGCUUAUAACAGCGAAAUAUACUAAAAUGCUAAGAUGCAGCAAAAAUAAUUCUAAAUUAGUUUUGAAUUUUUUGAUUAGUUUGCCUGUUGUUUUCGUUCUCGUCCUCUUCUUUAUCAAUCGACACACCUUCACACUCUUACUCAUAUCACUUAUAUAUUCGUUAGUUUUACUACCUAGAUAAUACAAGAGUCGUUGACAACAAUAGAAAUGGGAAAUAAUGGUAUUAGGAAAAGAAAAGAAAAAAAAAAGUGUUUCGAUAGUCAUGUAUGCUUCUGAUUGAGUUUCUAGAGUUCUUUUUAUAACUGAGGCGUCCAGGCUAGCUUUCACAUCUAUCAAUGAAAUCUAUGGGAUAUAGGUCACCUUCUGUAACGACCUAAAAAUUUGAUGAAAUAUAUAAAAUUUGUGAUUGUAUGUGAUUUGACUGUUUUACCUCUCUUCGUAGUUGCAUUAUGGUAUUUCUGGGGUGUGGGAGUGAUCGACAUGAUUUUCGAUGCAUUUUGAUACCAUUUAUGCGAUAUUAUGAUUUUUGAUGGCUUCGAGAGUCUUAUUUUAGACUUAUGAAAAUAUCUUUUGAUUCGUGUGACGGAUCGCCAAACGGACUGCGCCAACAACUCUGGAAUAUCAAUUUUAGGUUAGGUAGACCUUUGGUUCAGGUCCCGGUGCACCCGAACUCAUUUCGGCCUAUUGAUCGAAAAGUUGGAAAAAUUAAAAAUAUGGGUGUGGGACCCACAUUUGAUUGAAACAACCUCGGAUGGAAAAUCCGACUUCGCCAGCAGAUUCGGAAUAUCAAUACUAAGGUGUUAGCAUAUUUGGUAUAAUUUUACGGCUUUUAAAUCUCAUUUCGAUCAUCGAUUUGGAAAAUUGUGAUUUCGAAUUUCAGGGGUCAACUUUGUGAAAAUGAGGUUUUUUUGAAAAUAUGAUAUCUUCAUCGCGUCCUUAACAUCUAAUUUAGUAUGGUUGCAUAGUUUGUUUGCAUGUAUCGGACCUCGAACGAAUCCCGGACGCCCCAUCGAAGUCCGGAUUGGACGAAAAAAUAGUUUUUUUGCAAAUGCUAUGCAGAAUAAUUUGCACUAUUUAUACCAGUUUUUGGGCCUAUUUGUUCAUUUUUCAUCUUGCCUCUUGAGACUUAAACCCUAAAAUAAUGUGGAGCUUAAAAGUGAAGUUUGUGGGAGCUUGGAUAGCUAGAUUAACAUUUAUUUCUUGGUUUUAUUACGAAUUUAAGGUAAGAAUUCACCCUUUUUUUAGUAAUUUUUGAUUAAUUUUUUAAAACCCCAAAAAUCUUAAGGCUUGAUUUUAAAUCCCAAUUUCACCUUUUUCCCUUAAAUAAUAUUUUUAUCUUAUAAUUACUAGUUUUUCAUCAAUUUAACCCUUAAAACAACUCUGAUUCUUAAUUUUAACCCGGAUUUCAAAGAUUUUACCCGGUAUAGCUCAAAAUAAUUUUUCUUCGAUUUGAACCUCGUUUUUUACUUGAUUUGACUUGGGUUUUCAGCAGUAGGUUUCUAAAAAUAUGGGAAACACGUUUUUGAAGUAAAGUUCUGAUUUUGCCCUUCUUUUUCGAAAACGUGUUCUGAGGGUCCGUUUUGACCCAGAACCAAAAGUACUCAAUAUGGGUGUCGUUGUCUUUUUUUUACGCUUAAAUUUCAUAUUUGAUAUUUUUAGUACAGUUCGAAAUCGUUCAUGAAAAGUAAGGUCGUGAGUUCAAAGUGUAGCGGAUCGAUUUUGGCUUUUAAGGUAGGUUAUGGCUUAACUCUUUUAGACUGAGCUGGUAGUAAAUGAUGAUACAAAAUGUAUGUUAAGAGUGGGAACUAAUCAUGAAAAAUGGCUAUUUAUGUACUGUGUUCGUGUGGGGGCCUAUAUGUAAUGCAAUUAUUGAAAUUGAGUUAUUAUGUGAUAUGUGUGACCAUGUAGGGUCCUAUGCGACAUUAAUAGCCCUGAAUACAUGUGAAUAAUUUUAUUGUGUUUUUAAGAUGCUUAAUAUGGUAUCAUUAGUGUAUUUUUAUUAUAUUCAUACUUUAUUUGGCAUAUGAAACAUGCAAAAAUUCGUGGAUAAAAUUGAAAUAAUGAGUGAAUAUUUAUUCACAUGGUUGUGGAAAUUUAUCAUUGUGGUUGAUUGUGAAAAUACUUAUUGUCAUUGGUUGUGAGCAUUACAUCCUCAUAUCAUAGUCAUGCAUGAAACAUUGGUGCCACUGUGGCAACAUCUAAGAAACACUGACAACACCUUUUUAAAACUCUCUCCGAGGGAUGUGCUAAAAAGGAGGUAUUGUAACAUCUUAUAAAACCGUUUUUGAGGGAUGUGCAGGAAAGGAGAUGAGAUAUGUGGAUUGUAUACGGGUUGACAAACCCCUUAUGGAUCCUGCGUUGGGAGGCUUGCCUCCGUAGGUCUAUAUGAGGAUUGUGUGAUGAUCCCAGAGGUUGUGCGAUGACCUCGUGCAUCAUCAUCAUCAUUAUCAUCAUUUUACAUAUUGCACUUACUUUAUGCUAUUAUGUUGUGUUGUAUUGCCAUAUUGAGUUGUCAUUUAUGUAUUUAUCGUAUCUUUUACUUGUAUUUGACGAUCUUGUAUAUGCAUGUUCCCCCUUGUUCUUCUUAUAUAUGAUAUAAUACGUAUUUUUGUUCUAUCUUGGUGUGAUGUUGCAAUAUAUGUGAGAUAUAUUAGAAUUGUUGGUUCAAGCGGUGUGAGCUACCACUGUGGGACAUUUUCUGAUUACAGGUGGCGUGCCCUUAGUGUAUAUUUUGUAUGUUUUAUUUAUUACUUUGCUUGGUCGGCCUAUGAUACCUGCUGAGUACAAGUGGUCCAUACUCAUGCCUACUGCGCCCUUUUGGUGCAGGUCCUAGCUCAAGUGUGCCUCAGUUUGCUUGACUCGGGUGAUUGUUGGAGCUUCCAAGGUAGCCGUUGGACAUUCAUACAUCCGAUGUUCACCUCUAUCUUUCUAUAGUAGUUAUGUAUUUAUUAGUAUUUGAAGACAUAUAUUAUUCCUUUGUGAUUAUUUUUCUGAUGUAUCUGACUCUUGAAUUGUAUUAGUAGUUCUUACACUAUUGACAUCUGGUUUUGGGCAUGAUUGGUAUUUUAAAUAAGUUCUUUCCGCAUUGUUAUGAUUACUUAUAUGGUUCGACUUCAUUCAAGAAGUCUUACCUUGGGAUAUUUUCUAUUUUUUUUUUUUUGGUUUGGGUGAUAGGCUUACUUGUCAAGGUACGCCGCGACAAGUGCCAUCAUGACCUUAAUUUUUGGAUCAUGACACCUUCCAUCAGAAACAUAUAUCAGGUAACUCACUCUAUUCACCAAGGUUACGACAAAUGAGAAGAAUCAUCUAGUAUUUUUUGUUCUUCAGGAAUUUGAACUUGAGAUCUCAGACUUUCAACCAACUUCAUUUUGAGAUUUACCUGCAAAAAUUUAAGGUUUGUAGCUCCAUCAUGCAUUAAGGUGACCAAACACCAACAUAAGAUGUUAAAGUUGUACCAGUAAAUAGUUAUCACAGAAGAAGAGAAAAAGUUAAAAUGAUCAAACUGACCAUUUAUAUAUUGAAAAGAACAUAAAUAGAUGUUAAACAUAAUAAGUAAAGAAACAAUUAACGGGGGAAGGGAAAAAGUUGAUUAGAUGUUAACAUGCUUCUAUGUAGAAAUAGUAUAUGCUUUGGUUGCUGAACAUGAGAAGCAGUUAACUUGCUUUUAUUGAUUAUCACUUAUCUUUUCUGUUCUUAGCCUGCCUUCGUGUAUAGACAAUAAACUAACUGGUCUUUUAGGAAGGUAUUGAAGAGCUACAAUAUAAGAAAAAUUCAAAACAAAGCAUAACAAACUCUCGCAAUGUCACCACCCAAAAACCAUAGGAGUUGAAUGAAGCAAAAAUUACUUUAAAAAAAAGGAGAAAAUAAAUAAAUACUAAUGUUACUAAUUGAAAAGAUAAAGCAAACACAAGCAGACAAGCGGCUAACAAUUCAAAAGCUUACUACUUAAAAACUAACCCACAUUGAAUUUUAUAUAUAUAUAUAUUGUGAUCGUUACAGAUGAACUGAAAUUAAUCACUGCACAUUUCAUUGUUAAUAUCUCCUCAUCUUCCUUAACCUCAAUUUUGACAUAACAUACAAGUGAUUUAUUAGACUAAAAUUUAAGAAAAUUUAGAAAAUUCACAAAGAAAUUCUAAACAAAUUAUGGAAAGUGUGUUUUUCUCAAAGUACAAUUAUCCAAAAAUAUUGUAUGGGAAAGCUAAGGAAAUUAUAGGGAUUGCUAUCCGAAUGAUUCAAUCGAUCUGAAUCCAUACUAGUGAGGCUCUAAUGUAGGUAUCAAUAUUUUUUAUGUAAAUAAAAAUCUAAGAAAAUUGUUGAAUAAAAUUUGUUACAACAGAAAGAUAUUUAAAACAACAUUUAUUUAUAUAUGUUCUGUGGAGAUUAGUUGAAUAUAAAAAUAGCAACAAAACAACGAAAAGAAUCAAAUUGCUACAACCAAAUAGAAUUUUAGAGUACUGAAUACACAUAUACAUAAAUUAUCAAUCAUGAAACAGACCAAACCCAUUGUAAAAUCAGAAAAGGAGAUUUACCUUUGUGAAGUAGGCAAAAGUAGAGAAAGCCCAUAAAAUAUUCAGCAAAAAUGAAGAAUACAUAAUAAAAAAUACAUCAACAACAACCAAAUAUGAAAAAAGAAAUGUCAAUUACAAAAGAAAAUUUUAUCUUGUGAUUUGAGUGGAACAACAAAUUGAAAGGGAAUGAAAAAUAAAGAGGAAGAGGAGGUAAAGACAUUAGAUACAAAUUGAAUAAAGAAAAAAAGAAAAGGAUUAAUUACAAUGGUUGUUGAAGUUCUAAAACCUAAAACAUUAAAGUAGGCAUUUAUUGUAACAAGAUUAAAAAUAUGAAAAAAAAAAAACGUUAAAAAAGAAUAAAAAAUAAAAAUGAUGUUCCUGAAUUCUGAGACAUGCCACAUCACAGAUUUUUAGAGAGAGAAAGAGAGAGAGAUUGGUGUAUCUUUAAUUUUUUUUUCCAUUUAUACAUAUUUGUAUGUAAAAGAUUUAUAUACAAACUUAUAUGAAUCAUGACAGCGAAGUUGUUCACUAAAUUUACUAUUUCAUUUAAAAAAAAUCAUGAAUAUAUACAUAACAUGUUUUACGUAUGGAUUGCAUCUAAAAUAUGCUACAUUUAACUAGUUUAGAUGUACUUUUAUUUUCUGUGUUCUGAAUUUUGUAUAAAAAUUGAUAUAUCUUUCGGCAUUAUGGUUGCUUAUCAAAUUGUAUUGUUCGUUAAUAAAUGCACAUAAAAAGGUAAAUUUAUAUCAACUGUAUAUGAAAAAUUAUUCAUUGAAAUCACUAUUAUCUAGAAAAAAAAUCAUGAAUGAAAACAUGAAAUUCACAUUGACUAAUAUAAAAAAUUUGAUGCAUGAGUAAAAAUUAUAUUGCAAAAAAUAAAAAAUAAAAAAAUAAAUAUUAGUUUAUGAAAAAUUAAGGACAAAAUGUAAAUUUUAAUAAUCUGAUAGAAUUUUAAAAUAAUUAUGGAGAUUAAUAUCUAAGAAAAGAAAAUAUGAAAAAAUUAAGAAAAUAUAUGAGAGAUAUUUAUGAAAAGACAACACUAUAAAAUUUUUUAGAAGAAUUAACUAAUAUAAAAAAUUAUUUAAGAAAAUGAAAAUAGAAGAAAUUUAGAAUUUCUUAUAAUCCUUUUACCGUAUUUUUUUUUUCCGUUGUUAAGUGGAGGAUUUGGAGAAUUACACGGUAAAAAGAAAAAAGAAAUAUUAGGAAGAAAAUUAAGUUAGGAGAGGGACAAAGAUAAAUACAAAUACUCAGGAGAUUUUAAUUGGUAUAUAUCUGAUAAAUAAAUAUAAGAAAAAUAUUUUUAAAUAGUUUUUUUAAAAAACUGCUAUAACUUACAAUUAAAAACUUUUAAUUCAAAAAUAAUUUAAAAAAUAGAGUUACUACUUGCAAAAAACACUCUAAAAAUGUUCAUUUAAGAUAAUUUUCACCUUACGAAACUGUGAAAGUAGAAGUCUCACUUUGUGCGUGAAACGAAUUUUGCCUAUUUGGCCAUAAUUUUUUUUUUUCAUUUUUUCUGAAAAGAAUUUUCAUUUUAUGUCAAAUUCAACUCUAAGUUGAUGUUUGGUCAUGAGAAUUUCAAACAAAACUUGAAGUUGUAUUUGAAAAAGUGGAAAACAAAAAAAAGUAGUUUACUUCUCUCACAAAAAUUCAAAAACAACUCCAAUUAUAUUCAUGGACAAACACAUCUCCAACUCCAACUUAAAAUUUUUUAAUUUUUAUGGCUAAACGCAAGAGUUAGAAAUUUGUGUUUAGCAAUGUAAAACAAUGUUUUCAGUGCAGAAAUCAUUUUUCAGUGUGAAGUAAAUAUUUUACACAGAAGAAAAUUGUUUCCAAUUCUAUUACCACCCAAGAUUGCGUACACUUAGUAGCCGUUUGGCCAUGAAAACUAAAAUUUUUCGGAAUUAGAGUUGAAGUUGGAGUUGAAAUUGGAGUUGGAGUUGUGUUUGGCCAUGUCUCUUUUGAUCUUUUUUUUUCUUAAAAAAAAUAUGAUUUUAUGCCUCAACUUUUACAAAUUAUUAAAAUCACCCAAUUAAAAUUUACCUAUUAAUAGAAAAAGAACACAAUUAGCCACUUUUAUAAAAAUAAUUACAUAUAUGUGGCCAUAUUUAAUGAAUUUCAAUUAUGACAUAUAUAAUAUUUACAUUAAUAAUCGUUUUCUCAUAUUUGAAAAUUUUAAAUAUAAAUGUUAUAUUAACAGAUCAUUGCUUCCUAUUUUUUAGGUAACAAAUAUUAUCUUUCAAAUAAAUUUAUUUUUUUAGGAAUUUAUUUAAUUCAUUUUCUUUAUUUUCCAUUCCUAAAAAAUAUUAAAUGAUGAGUUAUUAUUAAAUUUUAGGGUGCCGUUAAUUUAUUUCUUUAAUUUUUUUAUACAUAAAAGAUUUUACUGUGUGUGAAUAAAUUAUUUCUAUGUAAAACAUACUUUGCAUAUUUAUGGUAUAUUAUAUCAUAUACCAUAAAUAUAUAAAUAUGCUUAGUAUUUUUCUUUAUACUUUGUAUAUUUAUAUGUGUAUAUGGUAUAUACAUGGUAUAAACUUCAUAUAUAACAUACUUUAUAUAUUUAUGUUAUAAAUAUGUUUAAUAUGUUUCUUAAUACUUUGUAUAUUUAUAUAUGUGUGUAUAUGAUAUAUUAAUGGUAUAAACUUUAUAUAUAAUAUACUUUGUAUAUUUCUAUUGGGGAAAAGACAUCGUUUCCCGAUUAUGUUUAGGUGUGGCUUAUAUACUUUUAUAUAGUUAAGAUGUGUAAUAAGUCACUUAUAUAAUUUAGGUGUGGCUUAAACUUUUCUUGUAUAGUAUGGGGUGGAAAUGAUGUCUUUUCCCUUUCUAUUAUAAAUAUAAUACUUUAUAUAUUUAUGGGUAUAAAUAUAAUACUUUGUGUAUAACGAUAUCAAGUAUUAUGGUAUAUAAAGGUAGCAGUUGCAGUUUAAGGUAUAAAUUUGUUAAAUUGGACAUAUUUUUUUUAUGAAAAAUAUGUAUCACCGAUUUAUAUUUUUAGCAUACAUAUGAUAUAAAUUAUUUAUAUUUAAAUAGUAUAAUGAGAAUAAUUUGUGGCAGUGGUAAACUAAUCUGCUACAACUUUAUUAAUUAAAAAAUAUAUAGAAAACGAUUAUCCAUUUUAAUUACACGAUUAUAAUUUUUUAAACGUCCGUAUCACAACAGAAAAAUUAUUAUUAUUAUUAUUAUUAUUAUUAUAUUAUAGUAAUUAGAAUCAUUAGUAGUAAAAUAAUGUUUUAAAUAAGGGAGAAAAAUAAUGAAGAGGCUGAAAAAGAGAUAUAUAUUAAUUAGGAUAAUAUUAAGUUUGAAAUUAUAAUUAUCUUAUUCUUUAAAACUGCUAUAUACGUAAUAUUGAAAAAGUAAUGUUAUAGGAGAGUUUUAUGUAAAAAUUUAAAAGAUUGAGGUUAUAUUUAAUAAUAAAAAAAAAUUGUAAUAGGAGUUGGAAAAUUGUGAAAACACCAAAAAUCUGUUUUCCCUUUUCAGAAAAAUUUUUCAAAAUUAUUUUUUGAAUUUUCAUCACCAAACACCACAAUUUCCAACUCCGAAAAAAAGAAAAAAAAUUUCAUAACCAAACGGGCCCUUACAUUUCAAAUUUGAAACCUUGAAGGAAUCUAGGUGAAAUUCAGCCUAGAGAAUGAAGCGGUCUUAAGAUACUUCACAUUUGCACCACUUUGAUGCAGAGGUGACUGUCAAGAAUUGAAUGUCUGAUGUUGAAUUACAUUCAACCAAAAACAUUGGGCAAAACGCUCUAGGCUUAUUCUAGGUACCCGUUUCACAAUCUAGAAAUAUAUCAACAUAACAUUUAUAUUUAUAAUUUUUUCUGUUUUUUGAGUUUUUUAUUUGUUUUUUUGUACCAUUAUAAUAUUAAUUGAAAGUAGUUUAAUAAUCUCUCAAUAUUUUAAAAUAUUAAAUCACAUAUCCAUUUAAAUUUCUUGUGUCCUAUUUUUUUUAGUUCGUCUAAAAAAAUAUCUUUUUCUUUUUUUUUCCAGAAUCUUUUAAUUUAUUUAUUUCUAUAUGACAUGUUUAAGGUUAUAAGAUUAAAGAAUAUUUUGAUUCUUUCCACAUAUAUCUUUAGUUUAAGAUCACAAAAUUCAAAAAUUUUUAUCACGUAUUUAAACUUUGAGCUUAGUCAAAAUCAAACAAACAAGUUAAAAUAAAGAAAGUAAAAGUCUUUGUAAGUUAAAAAAUAAUAUUUUUUUUAGAGUAUAUUUUAGACUUUCUUUUAAAUAAACGCACAUGCCGAAACUGUUCUUCUUUUUAUUUUGCUGAUUUUUUUUUUUAAAUUAAAAGCUUUAACAAUCUACAAUGAUUGUUGUUUUAUGUUGAAUUACCUUCAUUAUCUUUCUCAAUUAAAUUUAUUGACUAACUCAUUUUAUUUUUAAAAUAUACAAUAUUUAAGUAAUACAAAAAAUAUUCAAUGCUACAAAUUAUUGUAUGAUUACGUCAAUAAAGAUAAUUUAUAAAUAAAAAUAAUAUUUAAAUUAAACAGUUGAAAGUCUAAUUUAACAAAAUACUUUUGUAGAUGUUCUUUCAGCGGGAGAAAUCUUACAAGGUUAUUAAAAUUUCAAUUAGAGAUAAAAUAGAUCUUAAAAAGUUGGGUGUUUUCUCUUAUUAUUUUUUUUCAUAUAAAAGAAAUCAUCAUUUUUUAAAUUAAUUUUCAAUUUAAUUGAAUAAAUAGAUUUUUUAUGGUGUCACUAUCACUUUUUUAAUGGCUCAUUAUUUUUUAUAUAGUAUUUUAAAUGUCAAUAUAAUUAUUAAAUUUAUAAAAAUUGGUGAGAUCUUCCAUGAUUUUUAAAAAAUAAUUUAGGAUAAAGCUGACAUAAUAAAUUCGUAUAAAGCCUAGAAAAAUUGGGGUGUUUUCCAUUAUAUACAGUAGUAAUGCAAUGUGAAUCAUUAUAUGUUUUAGGAUUAUUAUUUAUUGAUAAAAACUAUAAAUAAAAUAAAUACAAGUAACAUAUACUCAUUUAUUAAAAUACAAGAUGAUUUUACACAACCUUUUAAUGAAAGGCAAAAAAUGCAAAUCAUUUUUUAAAAAGUUUUCACGUUUUUAAUAUAUUAUUAUCAUUAUAGAUACAUAUAAGAAUAUCAUAUAUAGAAGGGACCAUAUAAAUUUUUCUAAAAGUCUGCUUUUAAUAUAUUACUCCCUCCGUUUAAAAAGAAUGACCUAGUUUGACUUGGCACGGAGUUUAAAAAAAUAAAGAAGACUUGUGAAUCUUGUGAUCUUAAAUUAAAUAUAUGUCAAAUGUAUCAAAAUACCCUUCAAUCUUAAGGUUUUAAACAUGUCACAUGAAAAGUUAAAAUUAAAAAGUUGACAAAAAAGAAAUGAAGUCAAUCUUUUUUAAAUGGACUAAAAAAAAAGUAGGUCAUUUGUUUUUUAAACGGGAACAAUAUUAUUAUUAUAGAUAGAUAUAAUAAUAUCAUAUAUAGAGGGGACCAUAUAGAUCUGAUGAUUAAAAGUAAAGUUUGACAAUUUGACAUACUUUAAGCCAUCGUGAUUAAAAAAAAAAGGAAAAAUUAACUUUUAAACUUAUUAGAUUAGUUAUUAUAAGUUAUAGCAAAACUUUUAAGUUUUUAAGUUAUAACAACUUUCAUUUUAAAAAAAUACAUAAAAAAUAUUUUUUUGGUUGAAAAUAUAAAAAAGUAAUUAAUGAAAAAGAAAUUAAGAUUUAAUACAAUUAAUAUAAAUUUACCUUCCUUAAAUUUAGUUAACCCUAAUUAAUGAUAUUUAUCCACUCCUAAAUCCCUCUGACCGUUGUUUUUCCUCCUAUUUUAAUGCUUUCAUUAAGAGUUUUCAUCUUCAUAUACUACCUUCCUCUUUGUACACGAUUAAUUUCUGGCAGUAAAUAAAAAACCUUGAUUUCGGCGUCUGCAAACAAAUUGCUGAGGAGUAUAAUUUGAAAGAAAAGCAAAAAUAAGUUUUUCUUUUGAUAAUAAAUAUGAAUUUUAUUGAUUUGCAUUUAAUCAUGAUACGUCAUGGAGGGAGAUGAGAUUCGUCAGGUUUGUUAAAUUUUUUUAUGAAAAUAGAUAUUAUCCAUUCAAAAUGAAUUUAAAGAUUUUUUUUUGUGUUUCUUCAAUUCUGACUUGGUUAUUAAGAAUGGAAGGAAGAGAAGGGGUAGGGAGGGUCGAUCUAGAGUUAGGUGGGGUGGCCUGACCCUGGUUACUGCUUUGGAGAUAAGGGCGAAGUUGGAGGGGAUGGGAGCUUGGGAGUGUAGGGGGGACGUGGAUAGUAUGUGGGAUACAACUGCAGGUUGCAUCAAGGAGACGGCUACAAAGGUUUUGGGUGUCUCGAGGGGCGGGUUUGGCUGACAUCGGAGGGAUUGGUGGUGGAAGAAGAAGUUAAGAAGAAGGUAGAGUCGAAGAAUACGUCUUACGUUAUGUUGGUUGAGAGUAAGGAUGAAUAGGAGAGACGGGUGAGCAGGGAGGAGUACAAUUUAGCUAGGAAGGAGGCUAAGUUAGCAGUCACCGCUGCUAACACAACAACAUUUGAGAGAUUGUACGCGGGAUUAGAGGAGAAAGGCGGGUACAGGCUUGCCAAAUCUAGAGAACGUAAGAGUCAGGAUCUGGACCAAGAUAAGUGCAUUAAGGGGGAGGAUGGCAGAGUUUUGGUGGAUGUCGUUCUUAUUAAGAAAAGAUGGCAGUCAUAUUUUCAUAGGCUAUUGAAUGAUGAGGGGCACAGAGACAUUGUGUUAGGGGAGUUGGAGCACACCGAAGAUUGUCGUAAUUUCGACUAUUGUUAGCAUUUUAAGGUAGAGGAGGUUUGUGAGACUAUUCCCAAGAUACGAGGAGGCAGGGCGAUAGGGCUCGCUGAGAUUUUAGUGGAUUUUUAGAAGUUUGAUAGCGGGCAAGGUUAAGGUGGAUGGCCGACUUGUUCAAUAACAUUUUCAAGACCGCUAAGAUGCCAGAGGCGUGGAGAUGGAGCACAAUGAUUCCUUUAUAUAAGAAUAAGGGUAACAUUCAGAGUUACAACAACUACUGUGGUAUAAAGUUGUUGAGUUACACGAUAAAGAUUUGGAAGAGAGUAGUGGAGUAGAGGUUGAGGAAGAUAGUGUCUAUUUCAGAGAAUCAAUUUGGAUUUAUGCCUGGUCGCUCGACAACUGAGGCAAUUCACCUAGUACGGAGAUUGGUUGAGAAAUAUAGAGAAAUGAAGAAUGAUCUACACAUGGUGUAUAUUGACUUGGAAAAGGCAUAUGGCAAAGUACCUAGGGAGGUUCUUUGGAGAUGUUUGGAGGUGAGGGAGGUCCCAGUGGCAUACAUUCAUUUGAUUAGGGACAUGUACGAUGGGGCGAAGACUUGGGUUAGGACGGUGGGAGGGGAUUUCGAGCAUUUUUUGGUCUUGAUAGGGUUGCACCAGGGAUCGACUCUUAGUUUAUUUUUAUUCGUCAUGGUGAUAGAUGUGUUGACUCAGAGUAUUCAAGGUGAGGUACCUUGGUGUAUGCUUUUUGUGGAUGAUGCAGUUUUGAUUGAUGAGUCAUGUCAAGGUGUUAAUGAUAAGUUGGAGGUUUGGAGACAAACCCUGAAAGCUAAAGGAUUUAGAUUGAGUAGGACUAAGAUAGAGUAUUUGGAGUGAAAGUUUAGUGACUCGAGCCAAGAGGAUGAGGUGGUAGUGAAGUUGGAGUCUCAGGUGGUUUGUAAGAGGGAUAGUUUUAAGUACCUUGGGUCUAUGAUCCAGGGGAAUGGUAAGAUUGAUGAGGAUGUCUCUUACCGUAUUGGGGCAGGUUGGUUGAAGUGGCGGCUCACCUCAGGAAUUUUAUGCGAUAAAAAGGUGCCUCCCAAACUUAAAGGUAAAUUCUACAGAGUUGUAGUUCGACCGACUAUGUUGUAUGGAGAGAAGUGUUGGACUGUUUAGAAUUCUCACAUCCAAAAAUUAAAGGUGGAAAAAAUAAGGAUGUUGUGUUGGAUGUGUGGAUUCACGAAGGCUGACAGGAUUAGGAAUGAGAUUAUUUAGGAGAAGGUGAGAGUUAUGUCGGUGGAGGAUAAGAUUUGGAAAAUGAGGUUGAGAUAGUUAGGGCAUGUGAUAAGAAGGGGCACGGAUGCCCCAGUUCGUAGGUGUGAAAUAUUGGCCUUGGAUGGUUUUAAGCGGGGUAGGGGUAGACCGAAGAAAUACUGGAGAGAAGUGAUUAAAUGUGACUUGGAGUAGUUACGGCUCACUAAGGACAUGGCCCUCGAUAGAAAGGUUUGGAGGAAGAGUAUUAGGGUAGAGGGCUAAGGUGUGUGGUCUAGUCAUAGGCUGUAGCUAGGAGAGUUUGGUGUAGCUUGGUUGGUAAUGGUAGGGUAUGGGGGAGGAGGGUAUCCUUCGUUGGUCAAUGUACUCUAUUUUUGUGGUUGUUGUAUCACUGUUAUUUUUAUCAUGUUGUAUGCUUGCGAUGUUUGACUAUGGUCAUUUGUCUUGAGCCGGGGGUCUAUCGAAAAUAGCCUCUAUACUUCUUUGGAGGUAGUGGUAUAGACUGUGUACAUUCUACCCUCCCCAGACCUCACUAAGUGGGAAUAUACUGGAUUUGUUGUUGUUGUUGUUGUUGUUUCUUCAAUUCUCUAUUGUUACAUUAUUGAAUUUUCAAUGUUUAUCAAUUGCAUGAAAACUAACAUUGUUGUUUAAGCAGGAAUACCGAGGGACUUUGGUAUGAUGGGAUUAUGUAUGAUGUAACAACAAAGUACAAAGAAUUGGUAGAAGCAAUUGCAACAUAGCUGAUGAUAGACACAUCUUCAAAUAAUCUUGAAAUAAGAUACAUUAUAAGUGAAAGAUACCCAACUAUGGUCAUACAUAAUGACACAAGUGUGCAGGUCUAUCUGGAAUAGAGGAAAAUAGUUGCUGACUUUUUCUUAAAAUAUCCAUUGUACAUUACAACUUUGGAUAAAUCGAACGAUCUAAUUCACCAAACUGAUGGAGCAAUUGUUUGUGUUGGGCAACAGACUUUUAACAAAAAAAAUGAAGAACGGAGAAAGCUAUUUUCAAAAGAAUAUGUUCAUUUGAUCGGGAUAAGUUCAGAUUUUGAAGAAGUUGAAGAAGAAUGUGUGGAUAUAAUUUGUGAUGUAACGAAUAUCAACAUAGCUGUAAAACAAACUUACAAGGAUAAACAAACACUGGUUAAUGUUAUGGUGUUGCACGCAUUUGUGAAAUAGUUCUCGUAUCGAACUGAAAGGUCAAGCGCAAGCAGGUAACAACGAUUGUAUUUUUUUAGUGUAUUAAAUUAGAUAUUAUAGUUGUAUGUAAAUCAGGUAUAUGUUUUUUGAGUAUUAAAUUAUUAUUUUUUUAAAUUUAAUCGCUACUAUUUGGUUUGUGUGGUGGAUAACUGUACUUGGUUUCUUAGUUCUUUCAGAAUUAGCAAAUCAAAGAUUUUUAAGAUAAGAAAGUAUUGUGACAUUCAUACAUGCUCAAUAAAGGAUCAAGUUUAUUCAAGACAUCGAGGGAUGACAAAAGUGGUAGCCGAACUGAUUUUAGGUAAUUAUGUGGACACCAAAAGAAUAUACACUCCCAACGAUAUUAUUUCUAACAUGAUGAGGGAGCAUGAGAUUUUACUAAAUUAUCAUCAGGCAUGGCGUGUAAAAACUAAAGCAUUUAAUAUAUUGCGUGGUGAUACUACUGAGUCAGAUCAAAGAUACCAGGUUAUUUAUAUAUCUUGAAAAAGCAUUAUCCUGAAUCUAUUGUUAGCUGAGAGAAAACUGAAGAAAAUAGAUUCUUGUAUGCUUUUGUUGCAUUGGACGCUUCAAUUGGGGGAUGGAAAUAUUGCAAGUCAAUUGUUGUAGUCGAUGGAGCAUCUCUAAAAUCUCUUCAUGGUGGAACUAUGCUGACUGCGAGCACUUGGACCCAGGAGGUAAUGCUUAUUUUUUUAAUUUUUUUUUUGAAAUGGCAAUCAUAUUAGAAUUUUAAUGCGUUGUAUAAUAUUAGUAUGCCAUAUGUAUGUAUUUUGUUUGUUUUGCUAAAAAGUAAUCAAACAGUAAAUUAUAUGAAGUAUGUUAUGAAUGUAGGUCAUAUACUACCCCUUACUUAUGUCGUGAUUGAUUCAGAAAAUAUUGCAUCUUGGACUUGGUUUUUUGAUAAAUUUAAGAUUACAUUUGGUGAAAGGGAAGGUAUAUGUAUAAUGUUCGAUAGGAACGAGAGUAUUUGGAAAGCAAUAUCAACAGUAUAUUCUAAUCUAUCACAUCAUGCUUGCAUUUGACAUUUGUAGUGAAACAUAAAGUUAAACUUUCGUAAGAAUGUUGAAGAAUUGCAUAAACUUUUUUGUAAUGGCAAAGACAUAUACUCUAGAAUAAUUUAAAAAGUUUAUGGGAAGGGUGGACCAAAUGGAUAAGAGAGUUAGGGGCUAUUUAUUCUAAAUUGGCUACCACAAAUGGGCUAGAGUUCAUUCUACUGUUAAACGGACUUGGACGAUGACAUCAAACAUAACGGAAUCCAUUAACAACACCAUCAUAAUAGCUAGAAGAUUGUCGUGGUUUCAACAAUGGAUUUUAUGAGGAUAAUAAUUGAAUCAUGAAAUGCAAAACAGCAUGAGGCGGCAACAAACACGUUAAUAGAGUUGACAGUCAAAUAUAAUGAUAUUUUGAUAAAUAAUCAUUUGCUUUCUUAGAGAAUGAUAGUAAGUCCUUAUCCAUUACUUUAUACAUGACUUAAAUUUUUCCUUAAUUGGUUUGUGUAUAAAAGUUGCUUCUGAGUACAGGUAAAAAUAUCAAAUGAAUUCCUACAUAAUGUAAGUAACGGAGCAAAAAGAUUCAUUAUUUAUUUGCAAAGUAGAAAGUACAGCUUUGGAGAAUUUUAAUUGGAAAAAAUACCAUGCUCUCAUGCUAUGACUGCUAUUACGUAUAGAAAUCAACAUGGCAAGAACUAUUGCUCACCUUACUACAACAACAAAAAUUUUAGAGAUGCUUAUGCCAUACUGGUUGAACCUCUUCCUUGUAAAAGUACAUGAGAAAUACCACGUGAAGUAUUGGAUGAAGUUGUAUUGCCACCUAAUUCAAAAUGAGCUCCCGAAAGAUCGUGUUAUGAAAGAUGGAAAACACCAAAUGAAGACAAGUGUAAAUGUUCAAAGGUUACAUGUAGUUAUUGUCAUUGUGAGGGUCACAAUAAAAAGACUUGCCACAAACAUGCACCACAUACUUAAGAGGGAAUUUGUGUGUCUUACUUUAUUUUGAUGUUAAUGUUUUUUUUUGAAACAUUUAUGAUCAAUAAAUGCUAGUGUUAAGAUUUGUGUUAUUUUAAGUAAUUUGUGUUUAUGGAUAUUUAUUUUUAUUGGUUUUAAAUAAUCAAAUCUUUGAGAGUUAGUGAAUUUGUUUUUCAAUUAAUAUGACUGAAAAAAUUAAAUAAAAUAUCUUUAUCAUGUGUUAUGUUUGCCUAUAAUGGUGUAUUAUCUUUAUAAUGUUUUAUGAUAGAGGGUAAUGGUAUCAGAUAUCUUUAUCAUGUAUUAUGUUUGCCUAUAAUGGUGUAUGAUCUUUAUAAUGUAUUACACCAUAACUUCCAAAAUAAUUACUAAAGCCAAGUGCUUAACAGUUGAACACAUAUACAAUGUUGCAAAGCAAAAAAUAACAACCUACUCCAGAAAUCACAGUAAUGUGCAGUAGUUGCAACUUGGUAUGGAAGAAUCAACAUGUUACAUCUCAGAUGUAGAAUCAUUACUGAACUUGGUAUGCAAGAAUCAAAAUGUUACAUCUCAGAUGUAGAAUCAUUACUGAAUGUAAUACCAAUAAGAAACAAUGCUUAAUGAACAAAGACAAUGAAUGUAAUACAUGGUAUUUUCAACCAACAAACAAAUGAGUUCAAACAAAGGUAUUAUCUGAAACAAAUGUUAGUGUCAAAUUAGCAUUUGAAAAUACCAUGUAUUACAUUCAAACAAAGGCCAUUAUCAAAUCGGGCAUUUGUUAUCUGUUUGUUCAACCAACAAAUACCAUGAUAACAACUGAAUGCAAUAAAUGCUAGUAUCAAAUCGGGUUAAAAAUGAUAUAAUCUACAAGAACUAAUACAAGCACAAGAACUCCAUCAAUUAAAAACACUGUUGUUUUACUUCAUCACAUUAAUAAAGUUCAACCAAAAGGAAUCAAAAAUUAAUAUGGAGUAACAAAAUAAAAUUUGGGUAUCCUUGUAACUAUUAGAACAGAACCUACUACUUUCAAAUAUCAAAACAUUCGUAAAAAAAAUACAAGAACUAAAUAAGAACGUCUACUGCAAUCUUAUUUUGUGACUGGUAUUAUCGUAUCCUUGAACUCUUAAAACUGCUCCCUAGAUCUUUUGAAACCACCAUACUUGCUAGUAACAUUUCCAGUUGCCUCACUUUCACUGGUUGCUCCAUCAUUCUGCUUCCGUCUGGCGUAAUCCCAUAGUAGUGCACCAUAGCUUAGUUGAUGGUUGGAAGCAACAAAUAGAAUACUGGAGAUCAAAUAUGCCAAGACUAACGUACUCAGCAAAGGCACAUACAAACAUACCACAGUCACUGUAAAAUAGAAAUCAAAAAAAUUAUUGAUGAAGCAACAUAUAUAUAUUAAUAUAAAUACAUAAAACACAAUUUAAAUGUAACUUACUUAGAUUGAGGUCCCUGCUGUGGUGCAUCCUUCACAAUGACAUGCUCCAAAGGUUCAUUCUAUGAUUUAUCAAUGUAUGCAGCUUUUCGAUGUUAGUCAAUAUCCGAAUGUUUUUCGUAAAAAUUAGUGGCAGUAAAAAAUAUAGGUAUCAUGGUAGAAAGAGAUUGAACAUGAUCUAAAACAUUCUUUGAAUGCACAACACAUUCCAUCAUUGAAUCAAAAACAUAUAGACACCUAUGUCUAAUUCAAAAAACAACCAACAUCCAAUGAAAUGACUCACUAACAUUCACAGGAAUGAUGAUAUUAUCAACAGAAUCCCACGAAAUAUUAGCAAGCAGUUUGUAACCCCUAAUGUACUGGCAACAUGGUGUUUAGGAGUGAUACAACUCAUUUCUUCAUUCAAACUCAACCAUUGUUCAUGAAUUGAACGUAUCCAUUUAAUAAAGAAAACAUCGAUAGUGGUGUAUAUAAUAGGCUUCAAGACACUAUACUUUGAUUUUUUUCCUUAAGUAAUACAUUAUAACGUCAACCUGAUGAAUAAAUAAAAAUUAUAUUAGAACAAAGCAAACAGAUAAACAAUAAAACUGCACAACAAACUAUCAAUCAUAGCAUACACAGAACAACACAGGACAAAGAGAAUUAUACACUAGUAUAAUUAGUGUGUCCUGUGCAUAACAUGCUCUCAAUCCAAGCAUACUAACCAGAAUUAUACACUAGCAUACACAAAAAAUACAGAUAUGCCAGUUUCUCAGUAUUUUGGAUAAAACGCAUGAAACUGUUUUGCAUUAUCGAAAAAUAUAGUACUCUUUUUCUAAAAUUCAACAUCUAUCUUCUGUUUUUUUAGCUUUCUCCAGAACAGUCAACGAUGUCAUUUUCCUAACAAAGAAUGUUAUGUAUCCCAUACUACUCAAAUCAUAGUAUUCCUCGUUCACAAUGAAAUAGGACGAAAGCUAAAAGAUAACAACUAUCAACAGACAGAUAAAUAUGGCAAUCAUUACACAGAUAAAUUACAUGGUGCAUUAAGUUAAGCAAGAACAAACAACCAAAACCAAGACUUUUAAAUAUUUAGCUAUCAGGGGUUAUACAGAAUGUUAUAUAUUUUACUCAAUUUUAGGGGAAAUGACUCCACACUAACAAACUUCCUUCUCGAACAUUUUUAAUAAGAACUUCGCAACCAGGAGGGGCGAAUUUAACAUGUAGUUUAUGGUGCACGUAAAUCCGUGAUCUUUCUACAUAACUAGAAAUUUAUAUAUAUAUAUAUUAGAAUUGAUCUAAUAUUGCCUUCUGUCACCCAUACUACAAAAAGGAUUAGCGGUGCAAUUGGUUGAAAACUAAGUUAUUUACAUAGAGGUACAGGGAUCAAUUUCCACUUGAUGCAUUUUCUUUCUCCAUUCUUUAAUAGUGCAUCCAUCUUCUAGAAAUUUCAGAUUGCCUUCUGUAAUCGUAACAUCCUUUUGAAUCAACACUUGAGAACACUAAUUUAAAUUUCAUGCGCAAAGAACAUUAAAAUCAAUAUCUGUAUACUCUAUCCCGCAGGUUGCACUAUGAGCAUAUUUCACCUACUUUAUAACUUACCAUACAUUAUAAAAUGCUCCAGAAACUAGUUCCAGACCCGGUAUGCCAGUACAUACAACAAAAAUAAACUAGGGCAAACCCAUAGUAUGCUAAAAAAAUAGAACUUUUCUUGUUCAAUGAAUAAUAAUAGUGCCACACAUUAAAAAGUUAAAUGACAUGGCGCAUUAAACUCAGCAAGAACAAAGAACAAAAAACAAAGAAUGUUAAAUAUUUGGUUAUCAGGGACUGUGGAGAAAGUUAACUAUUUUACUCAAUUUGGGGUAAAAUAACUUACACACUAACUAGUUUCCUCUUCAGAAAACUCUAACAUGUACUUCGUAACACUCUCUGAAUUAACACUUGAAUAUUAUAAAAACAUACCCAGUGUAAUUCCACAAGUGGGGUUUGGAGGGUAGAGUGUACGCAGACCUAACUCCUACCUUGGCAUUUUAACAUUAAAACAAAAAAAAAGAUACCCAGUGUAAACCUACAAGUGGCACUCGAACACUAAUUUAUCAAAAUCUAAUACACAAAAACACUCAAAAUCUAUCCUCGUACCUAUCCUUCAGAUAGU
This 92204-nucleotide long non-coding RNA is filed under the name Capsicum annuum. RNAcentral's name for it is "long non-coding RNA (CANN_LNC020916)". Lineage: Eukaryota; Viridiplantae; Streptophyta; Magnoliopsida; Solanales; Solanaceae. The record is from RNAcentral.